Molecule: long non-coding RNA, 92493 nt
Filed under: Musa acuminata (dwarf banana)
Lineage: Eukaryota; Viridiplantae; Streptophyta; Magnoliopsida; Zingiberales; Musaceae
Source: RNAcentral
UGAUCUCGUUGACUUAACCUUUCACUUAAGGGCUGCUGCUUACACUCGAACUUUCACUUAUCCCUGCAUCUUAUCUGUCUCUAUCGACAUAGCUCCUUCCUUUAAGAAUGGAGUUUGGGAGAACGGAUUCCUAGUAGUUGCUUGGCCCAUUCUACACUACGGGAGAGAGAGUCUAUAUAUAGGGCACGCACGGACAAGAAAGAACAUAAUCCGGUAUUCAAAAGAAACCUCUAAGACAUCCUUACUUUGGGCUAUCCUUCGUCAUGUCAAUAAAGAGAUGGCCGAUCACAAGAGAAAGAUUCCCACUCUACACUACGAGAUCACAUCCUACCAAACCGAUUUCCUACCUACCUACUUAGUGCCAAUCUCUCAUAGAAUAUCGAUAUAUGAAUUCCUCGCUAUCAUCAUGAAGUCAGGAAGCUACCUUACGAGGCGCUAUCAUCAUGAAGUCAGGAAGCUACCUUCCAAGGUUAUAUGGGCUCCAUUUCUGAGGUUAACGAUCCAUCUUCUUAUAUCCCAGACUUGGUACUGUCUACAGCUAUGAAUACAUUUACUAUCUGCCCUAUCUGCUAUGAAUGACUAAAAUGGAAGAAGCACCACGAUAGGUCUUCUUCAUCUCAUCCGCUCAUCGGAGAAAGGUUCUAAUUUAUCCCAUUCCAUGAUUACGCUUUGCCCGACCAAUACAGACGCGGAAAGCUAACAAGGUAACAUAGUCAAAAGCAAAAGAUAGGUAGUAAUGAUAGGCGCUUAGGAAAGAGAUAAGACUUAAGGAUGAGUGAAGAGCUCGGUAAUGGAAGAUGGAGGAGGUAGUUCAGUGAUGGAAGAGGUCGUAAAGUCAGGAAAGGCAGAUGGGAAAAGGUAGUCAAGUCAGGAAUGGAAGAUGGAAGAGGUAGUAUAGUCAGGAAUAGAAUGGGCUUUCUGCCAAGACGAUAGGGAUAGUCGGGAUGUUUAACCCUCUGGAAGUCGCCAUUGUCGUGAGAAUACUAGAGUUAAUGAAUUUGAGGACAGGUUCCGGAAGCUCAGAUGCUGGUUCAGAAUACUUAUCGUAGGCCUACUUAAGCAUUUCGAUGAGAAGGCAGGCACGACAGUGAGCAUUUGAUCACUUUCAAUGAGUAAUCACACUGGAAAAGGGGCGCAUUAGAUACAUUCUUUACAUAAAUAUGGACUUUGGCCCGCUCUUAUCUUAGGUUUUUGAUUUCUCUUAGAUGAAGGAAAAAGUUAGAAUAGAACUGGAUUCUAUUAUGGGUAAGCUCACUCUAGGUUAUAGGUAAGCUCACUCUAGGCAGCUUUCUUAAUUCACACUAACGGAACUGGAUACGUAGCUAACUUCAGGCAGUUGUCAACCAAGCUGGCCUCUUCAAAGGCAGUAAAGGGGGCGAAGCUAAGGAAGCCAGCAACAACAACUAACUCAACAUUCUUCUCUGGGUCCCCAGCCUGCUAGGCCCUCUUCUCUCUACUACGGGCGGAACCUUCCUUUUGAAUCUUGUUGAUCAUAGCAUGAAACUCUCUGGAUUGGGGAAAACGAUAAGGAGAAAGAUCCGUCUUCCAACAGCUAUUCUAUAGUGUUGUUUUGGUCUACUGAUACCAAUCGGCCCAACACAACAAGAAGAACAUUCGAUUCCGCGGGAAAGAAGGUUUAUCAUCAGUGCGGCUUACUAGAAAAGCGAACCCGAUUCAGAAACAGAAAGGGUCUUCCCUACUGACUCAGCGCUGCGAAGGAUUCAGUGGUACCAGAUAUGGCAGAAGCCUUACGCGGGAAGGCCCGGGCUCGUUGUCUUCUUCCUCAAAACAAAGAGUGGAUCCCACAGAUAGUUCAGUUCAACUCAACAUAUGGAUUGCCCACAUGAACCCUCAGGUUUUCUAUGAUUUGCAUAUUUACUGCGUACAGACUCUUUUUAGUCUAUAUGUCACAUACACAAUUAAUGUGUUUUAUAUCUCUUAUGACUUUUUGGAGAGAGAAAAUCACUUAUGAAGAGAAGAGGGAUUGAUUGACUUUAUUCCCUGUCGCAAGGGAAAGAGAGAGCCUAAGCGAGUUCUGGUCCGGCGAUCAAGUUAUAGAACUUGCUUCAAUGCGAGCUAGGAUUUCUUAUAUUCCAAGGCAACUCACACUCUCACAGUUAAUCUCUUAGAACCAAAGUCGAUUUAGCAGGGUCAUUAGAGCGAGUGCGCCAGUUACUUCCUUAUGAAGUGAAGGUAGGAGUCCUUUCAAACUAUUGGAAGUUAUCCUUCAGACAUUAGGAGUGAUAGUUAUCUUCAUCGAGGUAGAGUAGCUUUCGAUGUCGUACCAGCCUCCCCUCAUUCUGCCGAACCAAUUGCCCAACACAGCAGGCCUCAAGUCUAUUUGUCCAAUCAUUCCCCUCCGAACUGGCUUGCAUUCGAGGCUUCUAAAGGGGGAUUCUUGUCUUAUCUUAUUCAAAAGAAAGGGAGAUUCAUGUCUGAUCUUAUUAGAUAUAGAAUUAUGCAUCAGUCCGUUUUUGACCUCAACAGCGCUUAUGUAGCAUCUCUGAGAACAAGCCCUUCUAUUCUAACCGAUUCUUCCCAAUACAUUCCGACUACACCGCUUACCCUCAUCGACUGGAAAAAUCCAAUAAGUUCACUGUCCAAAAGAGGCAGACAUCUAGCUAACAGCUCGUUGCUUUGACGGGGAUAUCUAAACUAUAUUCGUUGCCUUGCCUUCCGGACCUGACUCGGACAAAAAGGCAGUUAGUUCACUUAGGGCAAGCAGUUCGUCCUUUUCUUGUUCUUUCAAAGAGGGCAUUCCUCGAUGCAUCCCCGCUUGUUUGCUUAUGUUGGCCGAAGGCAAUUAGACUCACUUACAUCUUCUUUCUUUCGAAUUGUCUUCGAUUCUCCUGCUAACUCUUGGAAAGUGUUUAAGUAUCCGAAAAGAAGGAUUGACUUUAAGCCCGAGGGAGGGGGUUUUUCGUUUGCCAAGAAGUGCAUGUGUUGGGGAGCUCCGCUCUUGAAAUUGGGUCGGUUGUGAUGGGUGUAUAAUUGUCCAGGCAGUAAUGAGAGUAUCUUUUACCUGGCUCACUUUUUCUAAGUAAUGGGGAAGAGGCAUGAACUUAUUGCACUGAAAAAGUCUACUGAGACAAAGAUGGGCUGAACGUAGAGGAGGUGCGUAAGGGUAUACGAAGGGGGCGGGCAAUCACUAAUUCUUGAAACCUGAAUUCAGAAGACCAAAAAGUAGGGUGUAAAAGGGCCGUUCCUGGUUCUCCUGUAGCUGGAUUCUCCGGAACCACAAGAAUCCCCUUAGUUAGAGAUUAGAAUGAGAUUCCGACUAAGCACCUUUUUCGAAGAGUUGCUCUUUGUCUUUGGAGAGCACAGUACGAUGAAAGUUGUACGGGGGGGAGUUCUUGUCUAUCGUUGGCCUCUAUGGUCGAAUCUGUCGUGGGCCUGAGAGGCUUUGGUUUACCCUGUGGCGGAUGUCAGCGGUUUGAGUCCGCUUAUCUUCAACUCGUUAACUUUGCCGAUACUAAGCUAUAUGAUAGCACCCCAUUUUUCAUGAUAGCACCCCAUUUUUCCGAUUCGGCAGCCUUAUCUUUUGGUUAGUAAGGGCUAAGCUAUGAUUUCUCAUUCAUGGACGUUGAUGAGAUUCUUCCAUUUAGCAGCACCUUAGGGGAUGGCAUAGCCUUAAUAAGGGCGAGGUUCAAACGAGGAAAGGCUUACGGUGGAUACCUAGGCACCCAGAGACGAGGAAGGGCGUAAUAAGCUUCGAAAUGCUUCGGGUAAUUUCCAAUAAGCAGAGAUCCUAUGAUUCCCGAAUAGGUCAACCUUUCGAACUGAUUCAAGAAAGCAAUGGCGCGAGGCAGCUCGAUAACGUGCUUAAUUAGCUUGUUGAGUUGAGUUCGGGCGUCCGCUUUGCUUUGGUGUUUAGGUAUAGCCAGCCUGCAGUCAGGAGUUUCGAGAGAUAAGUUAAUCAAGUAAACAAGGAAGAGAGCAAGUGUACGAGUUCAGUAACUGAAGUUCCGCAAGCCUUUGUCAGGAAAGGAAGUAAUGCAGUUUGUUUGCUCUUUGCUAUCAUAUGCUCUAUCUGGAUUCCAUGAAACAAGUGAGUGAGCAGUGCAUUGUUAAUAUUUUGCAUUAUUAUUCUCUUAUAUAUAUUAGAUGUGUGCGCACUUGGAUACUCUUUAGAGUCGGCAGUAAGCAGUGAGGUUCGAAGGAAAGGAAGCAAGCCCUUGUGCUUACGCUUAUGUCUUGGGGUGCAUUAGCGGGUCUUAGAGUGUUGUAGAGUCAAUGUCAAUAUAGAAAAGAAAGAAAAGGCUACCUUACCUCAUCAAUUACACAAGCCUAAGUGCUGACGUUUCUGUGUUAGGUGGAGCACUUUUGCGUUAGUUAGAAAGUGCUUGUGCUGACGUUUCGGUGUUAGGUUCCCCGGACUCUUUCGCGUUAGUGAUCAAAUCCUUGCUUAUGGCUCCGCGUUUUCUGACUUUAUGACUUUAUUGGUUGGUGCACUCUCCUCUUUAGAGUCAGGAGAGCAAGAAGCAACGGAAGAAUUGUUAGUGAAGCAGCAGGAACAAGACAAGUUAGCUAGUUUUGUUGCGGGAAGGGCCAAGCAACGGGACAAGCUACGAGGCAAGUAAUUACGUUAGACCAAGCAACUAGGCGCCGAGUAACGACUACAGUGUAGCGGCAGGCUGCUUAUAGGAGUUCUGAGAGUGCCCUGCGCCCCUAGUAUACGAGUCGUUUUUUCCGUAUUUUUCGCAAGAGGAGAUGCACACUAGGGCAGUGAGUUUACAAGGUAGGUAAGGGAGACUGCUUUUCCAGGGUAUAUACGAUGGAAUCUUUACUCGACAGCCGCAGUAGUAUACGUUUGGCCCUGCCGCUCGAACAUAGGUGUUUUUUCUCCUUUCUUUUGGUUUUAGUAAGCAGGGAUGGGUUUGAGUUUUGAGUGAGGUUAAGUUCGCGAACAAGCAACAACGGCUUUCGCACAAGCAAGGAAUUCCGUUCGGUUGAUUUUGCCUUUCAAGCGGCUUUGGGGUGUACUCUAAUGUGACUUUCUUCCAUCUAUACAAUGCCAGUGAAUGCUAAGCGAGAUUCCAUUCAGAAGAGAAACCCUAAUGGCACUUGCGCCAACAGCUCUCUUUUCUACGGCAUAUGUUCUGGUCGACUCCACUUUCCCUGCACCUUUAUUCAGUUGCUCGUUAGCGCUGUAGGUCAGUCAACUAAUACCGGAUUUCCUCUUUCUUUUCGAGGGCAGAAGAUCUCUUUUUUCUCUUCUAACAAGCUCCGCAGGAAGAUAUUUGAGGGCAUAAGUUAGUCCACUUGAUUGGGAUCCUUUAAGCCAUGUUCUCCUCCUCUUAUGACAAAUUACUUACCUAUCUUGCUCUCCUAGAAAAUAGGAAUGGAAUCUUGAGAUGAGAGUUAAGAGUCUAUAUUUCUGUAAAGUAGAACAGUACAAAUAACAGCCAAGCUACUAGGUGCCAAGUAUACGAGAUCAGAAGCGGGCCGUUAAUAAGCAUCAGAAGUUCACCUUUGCCCUUAAGUUAUUGGUGUCCGAGGAAGAAGAAAGUGCGGGCUUCGAAGCCAUAAGGGAAUGAGUUGGCUUAGAGUAUCUUUCUGUUCUUGUUGAAGACCGAGUUUGAAGCUUAAUUGUAAGGCUCGGAGUCGAGAGUCAGAAAGAAGAAUUCGUUUACCUAGGUAUCGGAGCCAAGCCAGAGUGAGAUUAGUAAGUCUUCCUCCAAGGGGCAUAAGCCAAAUCGACUCUCUUUUCUCUACUGCUGAAGGGGGUUGUGGUCGAUAACACCAAACUUACGCUAUCCUUAUAUAAGUGCACAGUGAAAAACAUGACCACUUUCUUUUGCUCUUCUCUGGUCUUAAGUAUAUACUUGUCCGCUUGGUCCCUACUACUAGGAAAACACGGAAUUCAUUUACAGGUGAUGAAGAAGGAUUUGUUAGUUAGUUUGAAGCAAGAUCAGAAGCAGUGUGGUAUGCUAGGUAGAAGUCAACAAGUCCAGUUUCUUUGGGUGCUUCCUCUGCGAUAAGGGCGUAGGAUAACCCAUGUUUGUAGCAGUGCCUAGUUAAAGUAAAGGCUUUGAUGCAGUAGAGAGAAAGUCAGCACAGCGGGAAGUAGAUCUGCUCCCGUUCCGUUGAAUAUAGUUUCCUCGGUGACAGUGGAAUUAUGAGUGGAAUACCGAGUUGAGCUCGGGGACUUAUUAUAGGUGUCGGGUUUACAAGGGAAGCAGUUUCUUGCUCUAGUAGUUGCGUGUCCCCUGUUUCUUACCAAAGAGUCAAAAGAGCCUAAUUCUGGUAUCAAACUAAAGAUCUAUAGUCUAGUACCCCGGACGGAGGAUGUCUUACUGCUGUGACUAAUUAAUAAGGCUUUCGAUCCACCCUACCCUCCCCUGUUUGUUACUUCGUUAUUAACAAGUCCAGUGUUUUUACCUAAUGAUACCAGAGUUUCCUUUCUUUUUAGAAGAGAUAGAAUAGGGACUGAAAGCUAACAUCAAGUUGGAAUAUAAAGAUUUUCCACCCGACUGGCCUUGAUUUCUGUUCAAUCCUUUAGGAGAUCGUCCGAUCCAUGUAGUGCUCAAUAAGAAAUGGAAUUGGAAUUCGAUGCUGCUUCCAAUAUGCUUUUCCCUAGCCUAGAUCCGGCUGUGCUGUUCAACAACCAUUCCCGUCUUCUCUAGUGAUUGAUGAUCCCACUCUUACCAAAUAUCCAAUUCUAUACUUUAUCCAUGAUAUCAGGGAAUCCGUACUCGAAUGCGGUGCUUUUUCCGUUUGCGAUAAGUCAGUCUAUUGCCCGUGCUUCCUUCAUUCGCUUGGGGCGGGACUCGCUAGCGACUGUUCUAUCUAGUUUUCACCGUUGGGGGGAAAGAAAGGAUUGUUAUUUUCCUAGUAGGAGCUCGUAGGCCUUGAGCUCAGAUUCUAACUUGAAGGACUCGGCCGUAACAGAACGAUAUGAAAAGAUAGUGGAUUGAUAUGCUGCUAGGCUUCUACAAUAAGGAAUAUAAGGAGAUCGCUACUUGUCAUAGUUGUGAUCCUUAAGGGGAUCGCUACCGGUCAUAGUUUUGAUCCUUGACAGAUUAUGAACUCCCCCUGAUUGGCUUGACACUCAUGGCCGGGCCCUGUUAUGAAACCGGAAUUGCUGGUAGAAUCUUCCUUCUCCGCUGCCUUUACUGAGUAGUUGAAGACUAGCUAUCAAGAAAGAGCCUUAUUGGGAGACUGUCCCGGGAAUAGGUCCAUACGAUCCAAUAGGGUCUCUGCCAACCAGUAAGUUGAAAAGUCCUUCUUGUUAAGCGUGUAAGGCAGGAAUCAAUUGAUAGUAGUUCUUCCGCAAUGCAAGAUAAAGCUAUCAAUUCUAUUACCCACCUUAUUAGAAAGUAGCUGUCCUUCGGCCCCUUCCUGUGAGCUAGGGCUAAUUUGAUGCAUCGAUGGCUGUUUUCUAUCUAAUUCAAGUCCUGUUCUUUUCCCUUAGAAAGUGGUACAUAUGAAGCGGGCGAACCCCUAUAAGCCAUGCCAGUCCCUUUUGGAUCCUUAAGAGGAGUCAAAUAAGCACGUUUCGAGUGUACUAUCUAUAUCAGUAUUAAGUAAAAGCGGAAAAAGCUUUCAAAAAGGGAAAUACCUACGGAAGUCAACAGAUGGAAUACAGCAGCACUGGAUUUCGGCACUUCUGCUAUCCGGCUAGCUAUUCAAAGCAUCGAUCAAAGUGCUGGGGUCGAUAUGCCUUUUCUUUUCUCCGUUCACUCCUCUCCCCUUUAGGUCUUUCACCUAGAAGACACCGGAAGGAAGCCUAAUGGUAGAAUUUCACAGACCGAGUAAUCCUUAGUUAGUGCUUUCUUUUGAAGUAUAUAUUUCGAUCUCUUUCCUCAGGUAUUUAGGAAACUGACCCUCUUCUCUUGUGUCACGAACCCUUUCUAUUCUUUUUGUUGAAUUGAAUCCUUCGGGUCGAACUAGCUCCACCCUUGGGAAUGUUCACUUCAUAUACUAGCUUUCUUUCGGGGCCAUUCGCCCUUUAUUGUUAGUGUUGGGCAUCUCCCUCUCGUCCUAUAUUGUGCCGUAAAGUAUUGUACAUAAGGGUUUUCAAUCAUUCCCACCCAUAACGUAUUGGCACUUUCCAUUAAGCCAUUCUGCUAUCAUUCUAGUUGUUAGUGAAGUUACUGCCGUUGUUGAUGUUCGAUCGUGUAACUGGCACCGCAGCCAAUGAAUGUCCUCAACUCAGCAAAGAAAGAAAGAGGUUUUACUGAGAGUACUUGGACUUUGAACUAAAGUAUAGUAGGCGCUGUUCCACCCUAGAAUAUAGAAACAUAUAUAAAGAAGUAGAACAUAUAUAAAGAAGUAGAAAGCGAAAGGAAGUUGCUUGGCCUGACCGCUUCUCUCUCUCUUCUCGAUUGGCUUGGCGCUGCUACGCCUAGGUCAAGCCCCUGAGGAGACGAGACCCUUACUUGCCUAAUCAAUAGCUUCUUGGCACUCUCAUUCUCAUCUUCGGUAUGUGACAAAGAAAGAUCUUUUUUCUCGUAUCAAAGAGUGAUGACCCCGCUCAGCUUUAUUCAGUUCCAGAGACAUUGGCACCCUCGCGAAUCACUUAGAUGGAGCUGACAAUAGACAAUAGAAGAGAUCGGGUUCAAACUAAUACUUGCUUAUACCUUACUCCCUCAUCCAUUCCAUGAUCUCAGGUUCUUCCCAACCGUGGAACUGGCUAAUCAAAUGCCGUUGCCGUUGAAUUGGCGUAGUCGUAACCGGCAGAGUCUUUCAACUCACACCCAUUUUCCUUUGGCUUAACUUCUAUCUUUUUGCGAUACUAUGAAUCUAUACUGAUAAGAUGAUCAAGACUGGGAUUCCUUUCUGGAAGAUUCCUACUCUUUCCCGUCUUCCAUUCGAAGGGAUGGAUGCACUUACCUGAAUUAAUCCUAUCUCCCGGCCUGGCCUCCUCUCUCGCCGUCAAUCGCUGCUCCUAGAACCGGGGGAAGACUAAAUGGGAGAAAAGAAGACAUUCAGGGGGCAACCUGUUAAUCAGGCUCCGUGCCUGUUUCUUUGGGAGGUUGGUUCGGGGCUUUACCUUAGCGGGGAGUAAACGGUUUCAAGUAGGCUUGCUCCUGGGCUGGAGUACGGUUGACAGGAAAGCGAGGGUAUAAAGGUAAGGACCAGGAUGUUUAGUUAUAGUCUAUAGAUUGUAGUUUCAGAGUUCAGUAUUUAAACAGAGAAAAUGGUUCUACUCUAAUAAGUACUGAUUCGGUUCUUGUUAGUAUCGGUUUGAGUGGAAAAGUGAGUAAAGGCAGCUUUUAUUGCAGUAGAGUAAGCCCUAGUUUUGUAUUGAGUUAUUGUCUACAUUGGUCCCAUUCCUUUUAUUGACUUAUAUCCUGGAUUAUUGUAUUGGUUCUUUUAGUUAGUAGUCACAGGCUUUAAUGCGGGAGCAGGAACGCAGCUGCCGGGGAGUAUUUACAAGCUAAAAGCCUAGCAAGCAAGACUCUAAAGAAGAAGUAAGAGAAUCAAAGCCAACUGUCAAAGAAAGAAAGUCAGGAAGGGCCCUUCCUUUGCUUGAAAAAGGACUCCUGCUUACCCGAUUGCUAUUAGCUCAAGUGAUCCAUUUUAGUGCUUUGUAAUACAUUAGUGAUCCAUUUUAGUGCUUUGUCUAGGGGUCAGCAGUCAAGUAACCUCAUUGCAACAAAAGUGCUUUAGUAAGUUUGCUUAGAAGAUACUACUCUAAGGUACAGUCAAUAAGGUAAAGUCAAUAAGGUACAGUCAAUAAGGUAAAGUCAAUAAGGUAAAGUAAAGGGUCUAUGUUAUUGGGGUAAUAGGUGAUUAGCCAUGAGCUCUGUUGAAUAUGGGUGUUACGACGAGAAUUGCCUGAUUGCCCUUACUUUAGAGGCGCUAAGCAUAUUUCUGCAACUCAACUACUUUGAGCUAUAGUGGCACAUUAUGGUCCAAGGAGCUAUUGCGGCACAUUGUGGUUCAAAGUCUUACGCACACUCGCCUCGGGUCGGGUACCCUCCUUUUUCGUGGAUAGUCUCAGUGAUAGCAACCAUUCUAUUACAUCUUACGAAGCAUAAAGGUGCGCCUCCCUUAAGAUUAUGGCCUUAUGAAGCAGGGUGUGUUGUGGUCCAAGACUUAUAUACGCGUCAACAGAUUGUCCCGAACAAGCAACGAAUAAUAGCUGCUUAGUUAGUUAGAAGACAUCAGCAAAGAGACUCAACCGACGCUGUUUAUCAUGAAAUUCUUCCAUUCUAGUAGGGGAGCUAUAGGGCGAGUGGAGUCUAUGAGAUCAGAAACAGUAGAAGGAAAGUCUAUUGUUGUUGGCCAAAGUGCCCUUCAUGUAUAGGUAUGGGAAGACUAUCAUCAACAUGUCAAAUAAUUUAGAUAAUCAUUUUUGUACCUUAUUAGGGGUCAAAGGGAAUGCUAGCAAUUUGCAUCUCACAUCAAUAAGUUCUUUCAAGAUGUAUUUCCGGGUAUAGUAAAUAUAAUGGAUUUGGUCCGCAAUGUCGGUUGGUUAUCCGCUGCCUUUGAGAAACCCGUCUUUCUUCUAUAGUACACCUAUAUUCACAACUGUACAGCACUAUAUGAAAACUCCAGCAGUAAAUAUAUAGAUAUACGAUCGUAUCCACAAGAAAAGGCGUCAAGUGACUCUAGUAAUUCCCACGUAAGAUAGGGAUCGAAGGAAGACUCAUUUCAAUAGUACUUGAAAGCAGGGGAGGGGCAUAAGCCUUAGUGAGAGAGUUGGCCGGCGCUAUAAUAUAUAGUACCUGAAAAGCAAGGGAACAAGCCUUAGUGAGAAAGAUAGAGUUGUCAUAAGUGAAUCAGGCAUGCGUGCGCUAUAAGUUGUAGAGCAACGAGCAAGCACAGUAAGGAGUGAGUAGAGAAACGAGCAAGCAGUAAGGAGUGAGUAGAGAAACGAGCAAGCAGUAAGGAGUGAGUUUGGAAGGCAGAAUAGAGUCCGCAGUAGGGUUCCGCACUUAUACACUUAGUUUAGUUGUCUUUCAUAUGCAUAUGAUUGGAUUUCGCCCUUUAGGUUAGCAAGUACAGUUUGCCAGAACAAGUUUUAGGCAAGGGAACCUGCUAACAAAGAUAUUCGAAAUACUUAGUGCUGUGCUUCAAGAAGGUCAGAUUCUUUCUCGUCAUUUAACGCAACUACCCGUCAUAGGGCAGUAGAGUCGUGACUUGACUUAGCGCUAUCGUUCCUUAAGACUUUUGAGCCUGCGCACAUUAUAUCUUUCCUUUCCCGAUUACACUUGAUACCCGCCGGAACCCUGCGCUUAAUCUUAUCUUACAGCAGGAGCAUACCCAGCUAGCAAACACGUAUAAAGAAGAGCAACCCGAUAUUCGUUCAACAAAAGUCAAAGAGUGAGUCAGCAGUAAGGGGGAAAGAGCUUAUUGGCUACGCUGGGAUAGUGAGUUUUCAUGGCGGUAGGAGUUAUCUUCCUUAGGCUCAAGAAGUGGAAAGUGGAUCCAGAGAAGCAAGCGGUAGCGGUCUCGUCUAAUGGCCUUCUGCUGCCUUACCUUCACUCGAAUCACCAAAACCCUUUGGGGUAGCAACCCAGCCCGAGUUCUUUUUCGGUUGUCAAAUGCGUGAAUUGGAAAGUGCUUUUAUUCUGGAAGUUCAAAGAUGUAAAGAAAGCAUUGAAGUCAUGGUCUAAGGAGGAAUCAAUAAGCUCUAACUAUAUCCUAAGAUAUCGGGUCUUCUUCAAUCCAACCUCAAAUCAAUCGGAUCCAAUGAAUCCCUUUCUCAGUAAAGAGGAGGAUCUUGUGCUACGAAGGCUCCAUGCAAUGCUUGGAAUAAUGAAAUAGGAACAUAUAAUGAAAUAAACUAUUUAGAUAGAAUACAGUGGCUUCAUUCAGGUGUUAGAAUACAGUGGCUUCAUUCAGGUGAUAGAAAUACAAGAAAGGGUUUUGAUUCUCAUCUAAGAAAAGUAGCAUUGCUGCAAAUACUAGAAGCAGGGUAAAGCUAUCUGAUCGGUUUUUGGAAAAAGAAUGAAAAGUGAUAAAGGACCAUAAGCUGUAAAAUCUAUUAAAGACCUGUUUUGUUCUGAUGCAGGCCAUGUUGACUACCCUUGAAAAACAGGAUUUUCUCAGAGGAAGCAACAACGGGUAGAUCGAUAAGCCCGCGCAUCAAAGGAAGCAAGCAGAAAGAGAAGCCCGCGCAUCAACUAAAACUGUCAGCGGUAGCACGCCCUGUAGUUUUGAUGCGUCAUCUGCCACCUGCAAAGAAGGAGCGGAUAGGGAAAGAAAGAGAAAAACGAAACCAAACCCCAAAGCAUAGAGAGUUAUUAUAUUAUGAAUGAAUAUACGAGACCGCCCCACCAUUCCUCAUUGAAGAUAGGCACUGGGAGGAAAGAGAUAAGCGCAUCCAAAACUGCCAGCGGAGUCAAAUAAGAAAGGUGCUGAAAGCCUAUUUCUGAAAGCUAUCACGCCGCUGCUGUAAAUGAAAAAAGAAGGACCGAUACGUAACUACUACUUCCACUACUACCUGCUUAUAUUAUACCUCUGGCUAAUUCCUAUAUUUAGGUGUAUUUCCUUACACUUGCAUUCUGACUUCUAGUUACUAGUCGGCUUGUCUUCUUUGCGAUGCUACUAAUUUCGCAAGGUUGGACAUAAGUCCCGCGGAGAAGCCCUAGUAUGCCGGCUUGAUUCAUUACUAAUAAGGUUAUUGGGAGCCUCUCGAAUGGUUGCAGCAAACCUUCCCUCAACUCGGUCUUGAGUACGAACCCGGUCUGUCUCUCUGAGGGGGAUAAUUUGUCUAUUUCUUAAUCCGUUUACUUAAUCUCGUACACUGCUAACGGAACUGUGGAAGAAAGAGGUCACUCACCUCUCGACAGCACUCCCACAGCCAAGUACUCCUGAGACGGCUUUAGCUUCAGAUUCUUAGUGCUUCCCUUGUGCUUGUGCAAUCACUGAGAAUCCCCACGAAUUUCUUUGAACUAACUCACUGGGCAAGAAAAGCUUCCAUUCCUCCGAUGCAUGCUUAAUAUUCUGCGACGUUCUUUGUUAAUUGUUCAAAAAAGCCAAAACAUUCCUUUGAUUAUUCCGCUUUCCUAUGAUAUAGAUUUGGCUGAGACUUCUCUGCGUCUACGGAUUCUCUAGUAGCUGCUCUAGCGUCUGCUUCGUCGGGUGCGGAAUCGGGGUGUUCCACGGAGUCGAAAGGAUACGUAAAAGCGCCAGGCCCCGCUCAGCCUUUUUGCCGAUACUUAGUGGUUGGAGGGCGACGGGUGGUCAUAUCCGAUAAGUAGACGCCCUUUCUGGAUCCGGCUCUCGUCUUCGAUUUCAAGAUUAGGGCUUCCCUCCUUAUAUAAGGAAGUGACUUUCUCAAGGAUGGCCGAGAUCCUUUGGUCGCCAGAGGAGGAAAUGUCGCUCAGUGGACUGCCACUCCUUGGAUUACAUAAGAGCUUUCCACUCCUCUUUUUCCUGCUUGACUUAGUGUCUUGCCAGCCCUUCCAUUUCGCAGAGUUAAGGUUGCUAGUGACUAAUGUGGUCAUGUCUUUUACAAUCCGACAGAAGUAGAUAGGACGGACUGUGUUGACUGACACUUUCGGUGCCUAUCGCUCCUAGCAAGUUCAUAAGAAGGAUGUUGUUCGGGAGCAGAGAAUAGCUGGUAGGACCAAUAGGCUCUUAGAUAGACUUCUUAGGAUAGGUCAGAAUGAAGCAAAUGUCUCUAGUGGAAGGAAUCCGCCUAUAAGAGGAUUCGAAAUCCAAAAAGAAAAUAAGAUAAGUAAGAUCGAAAGGGAAGGGGAUUCUCUGGAUUUUAGCAUCCUAAGGUAAAUCCUUGAAUCGAAGGAAGAGUAAGCGAAAGGAAAGGCUGCACAUUCAUGCAGAGACUAAGCUGUUGUAGGAAUAAGCGCUGUUCUUCUGACAGAGGGACUGAUUGACCACGGUCUUAAAGAAUCCGCAGUGAAGAUAGCCACGAGUAGGAAUUCCAUGGCAUUUAUAGGCUCUUUGGCUGGUGGAAGGCUCUCGCUCUGGAAAGAGGCAGGACCGGAACACUUCCUUUUGAAAAAAGGGCUUAUUUAAAGGUUGGAACACGCUCGACCAACGGGCAAGGAAUCAUUAGAAAACCAAAUGUGCGCAGGAACCAUAUAAUGGAAUUGCAUUAAGCAUUUAGUAAGAAAUAAUGCCCCAUUUCCGUCUGAGGAUAAGCAAUUGGCAGAUGAGGAGCAAGCAUGCAUAGUAGAGGUAUAGAUAAUGGAAUAUCAGCUCUUUGACACAGAUAUUAGAUAGAUGCCAAGAGGAAGACAAGGAAUUGCACUUCAACGCUUAGUAAGGCAAUAGGAAAAGCAUCGAGAGAGACUGCAGACGAUUUAGUGCAAUCAAUUCCUUUUUCAUCACUUUAUUUCGCUACGCUCCUUAAAGUCUUUUAUACUAUUUUUGGAAGGAUUUAUGAUUAUUUGUUUUAUCGAGACGUCUACUAAACGAAGAAGCCCGCUCGCAUUAGCACGCACGACAUCUUAUUGCGACUGUGUAAAGAGCUACCCUCUCAGACAUCUUAUUGCGACUGUGUAAAGAGCAACCCUCUCUUAUAAUGGGCAUAUAGGAAUGGAAUCUUUCUCGUAUUACCUCUUUAUAGACUUCACCCGCUUCUAAGCCAACACCUGGAGUAGCACCUUACUUGAGAUUGGAGUCUGCCCCGAUACCGGAACUUGAAUUUGCAGGCCCGCGCCUCUUCUCUCUCUCUUGUCGACUGAACUCACUCCUAUACAGGUCCUGGACUUGAUACUUCACUUUAAGACCCUACCUCUGCUUCUGCAGAUUGACUUUAUACAGCGGAUUCUGUUGAAACUCCUUAUGCAGCUGACUUGUUAGGUUUUGAAUCUCUAUCAGCUUACUUUGAAUCUACUACUGGCUGAACUACUUAUCUUUCUUGCGCCGUAAAGCAUUAACCUAGCUGUAAAGAAAGAAAGUUGGUAUUCAGUCAACUAAUCAUUAAUUUCUUAUCGAGCGGUCAACAACUCCCGUCCCGUCCGGAGCUAGUCAAGUUUUUCACGUUACUGAGCGGGCAGCUGACUACUCACUUUCUAGUGCUUCUAAUUCUUCUCCUGCAGGAUUAUUCUGAUUCCCCAUUUUGUAGGCUUGUCGGACUUGCUUAUGCCUCGUACCAACUCCAGCUUCAAAGCCAGGAGUAAUAACUGAUAUAGAGACGUCGUGUACUAAGCAAGACUUAGGUUGUGUGUUAGGAGUUUUCGGUAUGGGUUUCGGGGAACAAGUAAGUGGUAGAUAACCAGAAGCAAGAUCAUCAUAAAGUAAAGGGUCAGGGGCAAUUCCUAGUGUUGGCGCAAGUGCUGUGCCACUUAUAUAUCUGCGGUCUUCGUGCUCUAAGUCUUGUUCGGGAAUAAUCUCUUUUCGAAUGAAUGCCCACCGGAGUACUUAAGGCAAAAGUAAGGUAUCCACCCAUUUCUAAAGGCAGGUAGAAACCAAUUGUAAAUAACGGAGUUUUCAAUCAAGCUUGAGUUUAGGGAAAAAGCCAGAGGUAGAUUACAAUCAGAAGAUUCAAAAGAAGAAGGUGAGUUCCGGGCAGAAGAUUGAGCAGGAGCAGGAUCAUCCCCAGUUCGAUAAUCAGCAAAUGAACUGAAAGGAGAGGAUAGGUCGGAAAAACGAAAAGCUGUCUGUGUCUUGACUUCCAUCUAUACUAGGAUCGAUAAGAGAUAUAUUCCAAUUCAAAACUUCAAAGAGAGGUAGGGUGUGUUCAAGGGAUGCAGCAUCUUUCAGUUGGCUAUACCUAGUGCUCCACAAUUCCAUUCUUCAAUUCAAAACGGAGAUUGCAGCUGGCCUUGCAAGUUAAUAAGAUCUGAUUUGGGGAAAAGAGAAUAAGAAUACUGGAUAGUUUAGUCUCUCUAUCUCGCAUUCACCUUAACCUUUCAUUUGAGGAUUCUUUCUCUCUCUGAUGAGACUGUUUGACUUUAAGAACUGACAAAGCGAAUUGCCUUAACUUACGCAUAGCUUCUUUCUAUUGGAAAUGACACUGAUUCAUUUACCCCAACAAAAGCACCGCCCAAGACUAAAGCCUUUCCUGCCGCCGAAGGAACUGUGCCUUAGCUUUGCUUCGAACUCCCGUAAGCGAGUUAUGUUAGUUGGGCGCGCUAGUCCGUUUCUAGUUUGUUGCGGGGCGCGAAAGGAAAGGGGAAGUCAAUAGAAGAGCUCAGAUUAGAGCCAGCAGGAAGCAGUGAGUUUGUGUCCGCAGUAAGCUCUCUUUUGAAUUACUUCUAUACUUGGAUAGCUAAUUAAUAACUUCUCAACUUGGGGUGGGCAGAGACUUCUAGAUACAGGACUUGGCGGACGAACAGAUGAAACUCUGGAUUAGAAUUAGAUAUGAGGGAGCGGAUACGCGCAUUCCCUUCUUUUAUAGCGGACAACGAGCUGGAGCACCAACCCUCGCUACCAAUAGGGAGAGAACUUGUACCUUCUCCAACCCUCGCAUCCAACCCUCGAACUUCACUUUCACUGUAAACCCUAAACUUCUUAUAUAGGCCUCUAGUGUUAACGCCUACCUCGCAUCAAAGCCGGUAAGAGAAUCCCUUCUUCCCGACACCUCGUAGGCAUUUGAUAAGAACUAAAGUCUCUAGUUAUAGUAGAAAGUCCAGGGUAUCAAGUCUAGGUAUCAAGCCCAGGACCAGUGUAGUAGCGAGUUUUCUUCUUUAGUGUCAUUAUUAUAAGUAGUGGAAUGAUUUCCUAUUGAAGGAGUUAGAGUUUAGUCUCAUGGGGAAUUGCCAGCCCUUGACUAUUAAUUCGGUCAGUUCAUAAAGUGGAGUUCUUGCCCCAAACCCCGGACAGGUUAUCUAUUGGCUAGAAGGUAUAGGCGACAUCCCGAGUUGCAAGAGGAUAGGUCGGCACCCCUCGUUUUCUCACUUAUAUAAUCAAGAAAGAAAUCAAUCCAGUGCGGGGCGAGUUGAAAGAAGUUAUAGUUCCCAUAGGUAUGCCAGCAGGGUUCAAUCAAUAGUUUCGAGCAGGGUUCAAUGCAGAGUUCAGAGUUCGGGAAGUCAAGAAUAGUAGCUAGUGGCCCUUAUAGUAAGUCGGAGUGAAAGGGUUUCCCGAGUUGAAGAAGUUCUCAUCUUCCCGGCAUAUUUGAAUCGGUCACGAAUUCAACCCGAAAGUGGGAAUUUCCCUCUACUUCUUGAAACAAGCCCUGCUGCUAGGGAAUAAAGAGAAUAUGUUGCUACUGCUGCUAGGGGAAUAAAACAACUGUUGCUAAGGUUGCUAAUAUACUUGAUGCAGAGAAUUUGUCAUAGAGGCUAUAAGUAUGGAUAUGAAGCCGAAGAAUGGAAUGCUCUCGCCCUUAAGUUAAUUGCUGUAAGUAAAGAGUUUCGCCUAGUUUGUCAACUGACUGUAGAUGGAUUUCCCAAUAAGGGCUUUCCCCACUACCUUACUAAAUGAGAUAGAUACUACUAGUGCCCUGUUUAGUUGCUUGUUUAGUAGUUGCUUUGCGGCUUUCCCUAUAUAGGUUGGUAGGUGCUAUUGUUGUUGGUGAAGAAAGGAUAGUUCCGGUGGUGGGUUUGAUCCUUCUUUCUCUUACUCUUCUCAAGCUUAUGUAUCAAAGGAGGAAUUACAGAAUAGUUUGACUUAACACCCUUGGAAUCCCUAUAGUCCACUGAUAAACAAACAACUUGCAUUUCCCGUAUACCUACGCUAUACACACUCUGUAGAAAAACCCAUAUAUGUGAAUUCUACCAUAUAUGUGAAUUCUAUAUUAAUAAAGGAGAAAAGAAGUAUGGGCACCACCCUUUGUUUAUCGAGUGAAGUAAACUAUCAACUAGAAACUGGGGAUGAAACUAUCACUGCAAUAGCAUCAGAAGGAAUUGAUUCUUCCUCAACUUACUAUAGAGGCCUCUGCUCCGCCCUUAUAAUUAAUGCUAAAGAAAAGGUAGAAUACCAUUGUGGGGACUGCUCGAGGAAUGUAUCCAAGAGAAAUAAGAAUAAGCCUGAGCCAGGUAAGGUCAAUUCCAGAGUUCACCUUUAUUCAUGGCGUUAGUCCGAUCCGCGGGUGCCUCUAUUUGAAAGUCGGGGCGAGAAACUUGCUAUGUGCUCGGCCAUCAAGAGUUUUCUCAAUAGUAUAGGCGUGAUCCCGAGUAGCAAGAGGGGCUUGAAGUCUGAAACUACCUAGCAUCAGCUUGCCACUACACCUGGGUUCGCCAGGCUGAUACUACUCCUACUAAGAUUGAAGCUGGUGAGUUACAGGCUAAGAGUGGAGCUUCCAAGCCUGAUACUAGUGCUAGGCGGAUUUCAACCCUAGCUACUAGAAACUACGGGACUAAGGCUUCAACUAGUGCUAGUCAGAAUGGAACUACUCCUACUGAGACUACAACCCGUGAAUUUCCUAUUUCCUAACUUGAUUCUUAUAAGUAAGUAUUUUCUUUCCUACUCUCUUAUGUUGGACUUUCUAUAGAGCUUAUCUAGGCGAGCCUCCAUCAGUUAUGCGCGUAUUAAGGUGAGCUUCUACAGUCAAGUCCAUUCUUCGUUGCCUCUUUUUGCUAAGGUUAGCUUGGUCUCUAUUUUCCAAAGUAUAAGGAUUACCCAGAGACUGGUCGGGUUGGCAGGUAUUUACCAGAGCAUAAAGAAUAGGAUUUACCAAUGGCACCGGCUCUCCAGGAAAGACCUUCACUUCAUGUAUUUCCUUCACUUAAUGUAUCUCCUUCACUUAAUGUAUCUCGCGUAUUUCCUGAACUUCCCGGCAAUCCAUCAGCUCUUGGUCUUGAGUAAGAAUAAAAACCAGCUUUUUCUCUAAUUUCUUCUUAAAGUAUCUUCUGAACUUCAAAACAACUAAGAGACACAGAAAUUGUUCUGUUCAUAAUUAUUGGGUAGUUUACUUAAUUAGUAUUGGAUCCGCAGUUAACUGAAUAAUGAAUACCUGUGUUUGAGCGUCAGUAACUUUUGGCCAGGACUCCAUAAUAACUGGCAAUUGAAGUUUACCGCGAUGAUAAAGAUGGGUGUAAAGGGCCUUAAUGAGAAAUAUAGGGUCGACUUAUUGCUUGCACCAACACCGAGAUACUUUCCUGCUCCAGCUGAAGCACUUAGCGCUGAAAAGCCAAGUUAAGUUAUUGUGGCAGAAUAUACUAGUACUGGCUACGCUACGAUAGGUUCUCGGCCAAGGGUCUGUGAUAGAGGUCAAGUGGAAGGAUCCGAAGAUGUAAAGGAUGGUUCCGUUCUUGUGUAAUUCUCCCCGAAAGGCUCCUCUACGGCAUUGACGCCUCUAAUCUUUGCUUUCGAACUUGACUUUGAUUUCCUUACUUGACUCUCCUUUCAUUGCACUGCACAAGCAAGAACAUCAUGGAAUUGUGGCUGACCUCUUACUCGCUCAAAGAGCACUACUGGACAGGGAUAGCAAAAUUCUCCAAAGUCAACUUGAUGAACCGACUCACUACUCGCUGCUUUAAUAUAAGGGCAAGCAACUGGCAAAGAGUUACUUCAAACGGAAAGCAUAGUGAAGCGGAAGCUACAAGCCCGUCGUGAAGUACAGUUUUCGACUCCAACAGCGGAUUCUAUGAAAAACGGAUACAGCUCUAACAGCAAAUGACUAGAAGGCCUGACUUCACUUUCACUACUUCUGCUUUUUGGCCUGUACUGUCUGAAUCAUUAAUCGAAUCUCUGGCCUCGGGGUAAACUCGUCUUAGCGCUGAGUCUUCUUGCUUAGCGCCUGUACUUUAGGAUUCUUCUGACUCUAAUUCUCUUUUCUUCCCCGUACGAUUCCACUCCUUAUUAAAUACCCGAACUCGACUGCAAGUUGCAAAAAGAAUCUUGAUUGACGACACUCCUUCGCCACCUGGAGACAAAGAGAAAAUAGAUGUUGAUUCCCGCUCUGUCUUCUUUACCUGCUAAUUCAACACCUUUCGAACAGAAACAUAUCAAUCAGGCAAAGUGUAAUAAUCAAGGGCCUAGACUUUACAAGCACAAUAACUAAACCUUGAAGUGAAAAACGCACGAUUCAAGUCAAGCACUCGAACACUCCCCUGAAUUUCUUAACCGCUCACUCCUACCCAGGAACAUAACCUUUCUUUAUAAAGAUUAUUAUCGAGUCGAUUCUUCUUCUUAAUAUGAUUCAACUAGCACAGGGCUCGGGCAUGAAACUAGGGCAUGAAACUAGGUCGAAUGGGACUCAUAGACAAUACAAGCACCAACACAAGUCUCUCCUGACGCUAACUUCUCUUGGAGACUUAAACCAGAUUUAUGGAGUUCCUUCUGGUUCUGAUGGAUGUCAACACUAUCUUCAAUUCUGUCUUUCUAAAUAAGGGGUGCCUCUCUUCAAUGGUUAGGGAAAGCAUGGAGCAACGGGACAAACUACGGGAAAAGCUAACCUUAGCAACGUAGCUAGUAGACAAAGGCAAGGGAUCAACCAAGGGAAGAAGCAUCAGCUGGAUAAGAGUAAGUAGAGUUGAAGCCUAAGUGGCACUGGUUUGAGUCUGAGUCGACUUAGGUGCAUUCUUUCCCUUAGUAGCCCAGCAGCAGCUACCGAGGUGCAUUUUGUAACUACUUACUGGGUUGAUUCGGAGUCUACUAAGUUGCAUUCUUUAACUCCCGAAAACAGGACUUUAUGAAGAACCUAUCUAUACUGAUUGACUUAGGCGUUAGGGACAAUGACAGGAGCAAGAACAGUAGCUUCCUCUGGCAUAGAAACUUGGAAAUAACCAGCUCCAUCUGAGCCGUAUCAUUGGCAUAAGCUGCAUCUGGAUCUGAAGCCGUGCUAGCGGGUGUUGUAUCUUUGGGUGCUUCUGAAAGGAGAGUUUCUUCUGUUGUUGACGUCGGUUGUGGAUAGUGGAAUUGAAGAAUAUCCAUUUGAGAAUUGGGUUAUCCACUGCUGAAGCACUAAGUAAAGCAAGAAGUGGUUAUGAGAAGGUCUAUGUAUUGUCCCGCUGUAACUCUACGCUCAAACUAAGUAGUGGAGUUUUCAAGUCAGCAACAAGUAGGUAUGCAAAUGCAAGUGGCGUUCGAGAAUCAGCAAGCAGAGCCAGGAAAGGAAAUAGAAUAUCUUCCCGCUACCAUAUAGUCAGAAUUAGCACAACGGAACAAAACACAGGCAAAUCAAAUAGUAGAAGUCACGGUGUUAGGUAGCUUCAAGAGCACAAGUCCAGGUGCUCGAUACGCAUGAUUUGAAUUCAUUGAUUGUGGAAUUGACAACUUUCACUCUUUGUUGACUCUAAGCUUGAUAGAUGAAAUGAUUGUUUGACUGAAAACUCAAUUGUUACUGAAGACUAAACUGUUACAGAAGACUAAACUGUUCCCAACAAGACUAAGUGCGUUAAGAGUUACUGUUCCAUUAUCAGCAGCAAGAGGAGGUGAAGCAGUUCAAUUGUCAGCAGCAAUCGAUUCUUCCCAACACUUAGAUAUUCUUUAGAGCCAAGCCAGCAGUAAGCUAUGUUGUAACUCUCUUACAUAGUAGGUACACAGCACUCUCUUCUUUCUCACACUUCCGAAAUACUUAACCGACAUUGAUUGGAUCACAUCAAGAAGCAUAAAGCGACUUGGACCACACCCAUCUUGCAGACGGCUUAUUGACUAGACCGAGCUAGCAAACUAUAGCAUCAAAGCAAACUACAGCUUCAAAGAGAAACCGCUUAGACCAGUAAAGUAGUGAGCUUGACAAAGAGCCACUCCAUACCAAAAACUCUGCGUGUUGGCUAAGACAAACAUGUCAAACAAGUAAAUGAGCAACGGCUUUCAGAUAUUAGUUAGAAAGACUUAUUGAGUAAUGGAGCACUUAUAUGAUUUUCUUACUUUCCAUUAGUUUCAGCAGUGUUAGGGGGUUUUCAACAAGCAGUGAGGUUUGUUUGGUUAUUAACUAGAAUCUCAGGUUAGUUAGGUUGUUUAUCGAUUUAUAUACUAUGUCCCGUACAAUUCAUUCUUGGUUUACUGUACUCUGCGCUCUCAAGUCAGGGUUCCGGGCGGGUAAGAAUAUAAGAAAUGUGAAGCGGUCAGGAUAGGAUAGUUUUGGGGAGUUUCCGUUUAAGGAGAUUACAGUUUUGCUUGUGUCUAAGUAAUCAAGGAGAGUGAGAAAGGAAGCAGUUAGCGCAGUUCAAGAUCUUUUUGAAGAAGCUGAAGAAAGAAAGUAGACAUCAACGAGAUCAGGAUCAGAUGACGCAGAAGCUUUGAAAGAUCAUCGGCAGAAGAUUCAGUGCGUGGAAGGUAUCUCGGUGUUGGAGAAAGUCAAGUAGUUCCUUGUACGGAAGUUUGUUGAGUUAGCCGUUGCGCGUAAGCUUAUUGAUCCACGCUUAAGUCUAAAGUCAACUCGCCUACAUACUUAAUGCGGAUUCAGAUAACAUGCAGAUUCAGAUAACACAAUACGAUUGAUCUCGCCCAGUAUAGCUUGAUUAUGAGAUGAGAGCUCUUCCGUGCGCUUAUUAUUCGUUGCUUGUUGAGUAGUGCCUUGUUUAGCCGUUGCUUUAAGACUUGUUGCGAAACUGUAGUAGUCGGCUGCCGCGGCUGCGAGCUAAAAGCGGGUUAACCCCAUAUUAAUAACACAAAUCCAUAUGAGAAAAGAAUAUCUAGGUGUUGUCGACGAAGCAAAGCAAGAAGUAAAGAAUACGAAAGAAAGGGGUUUGCAGGAUCCGUAUAAGAUUUCGGGGGGGUUUUCUAUUGACUUCAUUCUAUAACAAGUGCUCGAUAAUCCAUUCAUGGUUUCCUCGGCCCAACUAGUGUAGUUCUUGUGUAAGCAUAAUAAUUGCCAGUGACAGGUAUGGAAAGGAGUCAAAAGAAUUAGGAGAAAAAGCUUCAGAAAGGAAAUCAAUCAGCAGGAAGCAGUUCUUCAAGUGUAGUUAUCGGGGAAGAAUCAAGUAAAGGCUUUGAUGCUAAUGCUGUAUUUGUUCUUGCUCCAGCAAAUCAUGGUAGAGAAAGAAAGUAAGCUAAACUCACUAAACAAGCAACUCGGGGUGCUAAGGAGAAAGAAUCUAUCCCUCUUAUUUCUUGGAGAAAGAAUCUAUCCCCCUAUUUCUAUUAAUUCUGACUUGUUCCACGGCCACUUAUAUAUCUGCAGCCUCUCUUAUUGCCCUGCUCCCGAGAUCCGAGAUCUGUUCUUAUUAGAAGAUUGAAUUGACUAUAGCUCUUAUAGUAAGUUGUUUGUCUACUUAGGGUAAAGCUCACUGACGCCGAUGUACUUGUUUAAGAAUCCUACUUUCUAUGUGGUUUGGGAGCUAGGUUCAGAAAGGAGAGUUCGACUCGAGAAAGAAGCAAAGCUGGAAAGUCAACUCAUGAAUCAUAGGUGCCAAAGUAAGCUACAAGCGGGUCAAUAAGCCGAUCCGAAGCUGUGUUUGGAAAGUGAAAGUUCCGGUUUGAAUGAAAGAGCACAUACUAGGUUAGUUACCAAUUCAUAAUAUCUAUCAUACAUAGUAGAAAUAAGAUGAAACAUGAAGAGAAGAAUCAAAGGUGAACAUACGAAUGAGCGUGCUUGCUUAUGCGCCAGAGACCUCGGGCUAACAAUCGUACACAGAGGGUUUAAGGCAUUAGUGUAAGUUUGCUAGUAGGGGCCAAGCAACGUAGUUCGCCCAGCAAGAUAAGAGAGAUAUUAUAGUCCUGCUCAGGUACGGGAUUCUGCUAAGCUAUUUCUUUACUUACUUAUUUAUAUGCUAGGCGAGAAAGAUUCCCCUUACGUUGGGGCAAGAACAAGUCCUUGGGGGAGUUCACCUUUGAAAUGCGAAGGCACAAAGCGCGCGUUCCCUGCCUGAGAGUCUUGUUUCGGGGAAAACCUGUAAAUGAAUGAUUUGUUGAGCCAGAUCCACCAGGAGUAAAGUAGCGAGGGAGCUUUCUCAGGAUCCUUAGCGGGAAGUUCCGGUGAAAAACCAUUAAUAUAUAAUAACAAUUAAUAUCUCUGAAAUAUACCUUUGACUCUUGAUGGCUCACUCUUGAUGGCCGAACACAUAGCAAGUAAUAAAUUAGUUAUAAUGCACAGAGUCUGGGCCUAAUCUCCAGCAUAAGCACCAAUGAUAGAAUCAAGUAAAGGCAUAGCAUCCCUCUGAAGAAUCUGACCUUACAAGCUAUACUUCCUUUCUCUGAAGAAUCUGACCUUACAAGCUAUACUUCCUUUCUACUUAAUUAAUCGCUGAUUCAUUAUCUGGUCGACAACUUCACUGUCUGCUACUACCACAUAAAGGUUAAUCCAAUACUAUAGGGGAGAGUUUUUUUCGGUCUCUACUUCAUUUCCUUCCCUACUAAUGGUGUUCUACUCACUCCGGAUAUUCCUAGUAAUGAGCUCCUCUGUCUUUACCACCUCUCCUCUGUAAACUAUCUUUCUUAUAUAAUGACUUUGGAACUCACUUUUCAACUUCACUUCUUCUUGUUCGGGUAAGGCUUCUGAAAGGCUGCUUUCUCGUUGUUUAAGCACCAGACUCAGUACCCAUCUCUUUAGUUACCCCAUUCUAUAACUGGUAUAGUGUACUUGUGCCUGCUUCCUUUCUAUUUGACCUCCCAAAGGAAGGAUACUUCUGUACUGAAGCACUAACUGAGGGAAAAGAGAUGAGAUGAGCCUGAGUUCACAGAGCCGAGGUCCAGUAUCAAGGAAGGAGUUAAUGGUUGGCGAGAGGGAGUAGAAAGAAGAUUGCAUCCACUCCCCCCAAAACAAUACUGGAACUUGAGAGAAGCAAUUCUUGUAGGAGAGCAGUAGAGCCAGUAAACCAACCGAUACUUCUAAGACAAGUCAGAAUAUCAGUGAAGUAUAAGGUACGAUCUAGCGGAUUAGAAUAAGACAAUAUAGUAUUAGUUACUAAGAGGGAUAGAUCUAGCGCAUCUUGUAUAGGAGUCCUGAGUUAAGGUAUUCAAUAGUCACCACUCCUGUUCCAGUUCGAGGUUAGGAAUACUGAUCAGAUGCGGGAACAACGGAAUCUACUGGAGAAGAAAGAAGAAUGGAAGGUAAUAAAGAACUCGAUUCCGUAGUCAUAGAGCCCAGUAGAAUAGCUGCCCUAAGCCCAUUAGAAAGAUUCUGAAACUACCCACGAACUAUCGGAAUGGAACCAAUAUCAAACUGCAAGAAGGAACUCCACAUUAUUUGUUUUGUAUGAGUUUGGUUACUGUGAUGUCUUCAUGGAAGAAAACUCUCAACUAGGAAUCUCCAUAAAAGAAUAAAGAACUAAACCAGCGAGUCAAAGGAUGAAACAGGCACAUAAGAAAUGGAAUCUAAGGUAUGAUCUAGUACAUCCAGCUACUAAAUAUAAGAAAUUCACCAAUGGUUUAAAGCCUACUAUUUCUUAACGGGUUUAGUCUCUUGCUUUCCACUAGCAAAUAGGGAAGCUAACCCAUAUAAGUAGGAAAUCAACUCAAACUAUGGGAAUUCCACUUUACCUAAUAGACUGGAACUUACUACUAGGAAAUAAACUACAAAUAGAGAAUAAGAAGCAUGGAACACGAAACUAAGGCUUUCAAUACGGGUUCCAAGACUUUUACUGCGGAUCAGGUCUUCAACCAAAGGCAAGCAACGACUCCUAUUAGAAUUAAACACUACCUUGAUCAGACUGAAAUAUGAAACACAGAAUUCUACCGUGAGACACCGGAUCCAAACACUGCUUAACUGGAAUUCCACUUGCAUUAUCAGAAUGAGGGUUCGGUGUGGGAAGUCGGAAUCAACCUAAUAAGUAAGGAAAGGAAACCGGUCUACGCCUUCGAGUAGUAAGUACCAGACUGGAGCGAGUGCCAAUAAGAUCAAAACAAGGAAUAUGGAAUAUAUGGGUACGAUCCAACUCAUUACCGAUGGGAAUCAAACUCCAAAGUCAAGAAUACCAAAAAGGAGUCUCAGACAUAACCCAGUGAAUCGAAGUAUAAAUAGGGAAUUUCACUCAGUGGGUCAAGCCUUACUUCGCUAACUCAAUCUUAUUUAGUGGACCCGCCCAUUCUCGUGGGUCAUUGAGCUCCUGUAGUUAAAGAAUGAGUAAAGGGACCUAUAAGGCAUAGGAGUGGAGUCAAAAGGCACCUACCGGGCAUAGGAGUAGAGCCGUAAGUCAAAAAACAUAGGAAGAGGAAUGCAAGGAGCCUAGGCCAUUUCCCACAACUAAAGACUUUAGGGAAAGAGUGGAAGAGUGAAACCAAGGAGUCGAAGUUUUAUACCCUAUGGAGAUGUGUCAGGUUAGCACUCGCACAUAGGAAAGUGAGUAGUCGGAUUUCUCAUUUCAUAAGUCAAUAUAAGCUUGAGAUAAAGGAGUCACAGGGCAGUGAGCAGAUUUCGAUUCAGGAGAGGAAGAAUCAAACCCCGGGCAGGAGCGGUUGGCAGUGAAGCAAAAUGACCUAAUGGAUCACUGACAACUAAGGUAAAGAACGUGACUUUGCGCUUCAACGCUAGGCCCUGUACUUUAUUAUGCCCUUAACAACACAGCAAAACCAGUACUCUCUUCUGCCCCGAACUCGACUUUCCUGUAAACCGUAUUCCACUACUUUGAACUCUAGCGGGACAAUGACUUCGUGGACAAGGAGCUACCACAGCAUCAACACAACCACUUCUCUAUACAGCAACACCUGCACCCGAAACAGAUUAACUUGCGGAACGUCUUGCUCUGGCAACUCCCGUUAGUGCAGAUCGAUUGAGCAGCUCAUCUUCAUCAUUAAUGGAAUCUCUUGCCUCGCCUCUUGCUCCCUUACGCGCGGAGCGGAUAAGAUAAGAUUGGAUCUAUUCUUUGGAAUCUGACAUUGCUGGUAUAGCAGUAGUAUGGCGUUCAUAGCGUUUAGUAGUUUUUGGGUAUGGAUAGGUAGCAGCAAGUAGUGCUUGAAUGGUAAUAGUUUUUUGAGUGGUUAUUCAGUCAAGAUAGGCAAUCCUCACCCGGGGCCAUCGAGCACUGAACUUAUAUCCCCGUCUGCAUUCUGCCCUUCUUCUAGAGUAGAGAUGGACUGACCAGUUAGCAGUAUAUCAUAAGCAUCAGAAAAGGGAUCUCGGCAAUAGCUACUAAAAUGACAUUUCUACAGACUGUAUGGAAAUGAAACAGAAAAUCAAGAAAGCCCCUAUUUUGGUUAUAAGGAGUGAGUUCAGCCCGGGAGAGUUAUUAUAUCCGCCGGCUAUUUUCAUAUUACUAUGUCAAGACUAGUGUGAUGAGACUUUCAUUCCCGUUUUGCUUGAAUCAACUAGCUCUUACUGAAAAGAGCAAGACUACGUGGCUUUACGAGUCUCUGAAUUCACAGUAAUAUGCCACUUUCCAAACUGACUUAUGGGGAUUCCGCUACAGCUCGCUCUGUCAGUCCACUAGCAAUAUACCAGCAGUAUAGUUACUUCCGCAACGCACCUGAAGCCUGAAAGCGUAGUGUUGUAAGAAAGCCUCGAACAUGAAUUCAGUAACAGUGGAAAUGGGACCUCUGGCGGCAAGGAAUGAGAACAACAACUAUUGACAGGCUUUUGAACACUUAUACUUCCGCACACAGUCGAUGCUGCAUCAAAGUAGAUUCUCUUCCCACGUAGCGGUAACUAGCCAAGGAAAGAUCCCGUCUUUAAAGCAAUGGUGUAUGCUGCUUAGCCCAUCUGCUAGCUCGCCUUAAAGUAAAGCAAAUAGUCUUGAAUACAGCAUAUUUGGGGCUUAUUUCCAAAACAGGCUCUCUUGUUAAAUCAUUCAUAAAUCAAUCUCUCCUAAGACAUGCAAAGAAAGACACUUACCCAAGAGCGCACUCACACACUCGCAACUUACUGGUUAGCUGACGGGCUUUGGCUCCUUUGAUUGGUACUCUUUUUCUGGCUACUGCUUCGCUGGACUGAUAGCGCACUGAACCGAACCGUAAAAGAAUGAACUAUGGACUGCCGCUUCAUGGUUAGAAGCUUAUAGGCAAGAUUGAGAACCCCGUAAGAAAGCACGAGACUAUUCGUGAAGGCUAAUGGCUAUGUCCGGCCUACGACCGCGGUCUAGUGCACUCCUACUGCAUGCUUUCUUUCUUCCUUCUGGUGAAGCACGAGUCUAACUCGCUGGACCGUAUAAGGAGCAAUCCGAAAGGUUAAGGGCUGCUUCUUUCUGUUUCUCUUUAUAUAUAGCGGAGAACUUCUUCCAUUCAACAAGAAUAAUAACUAGACUAUUCCACUCGCGAUUCCCACUCACACUUCGAUUCCACAGAGAAAUAUGAACUCACACCCGACCCGAACGAAACUGGAAACUGAACCUCGUCUCUUUGAACUAAGGCUUGGAUCCACUAUAUUUACUUGGGUUACAAAUCUUUCUAUAAGAGAACAGGUGCACCUACAUUCAACAAGUGCUUGCACAAGAACAAGUUCGUUAGAAGUAAAGUGACCAACAAGAGGUCUUAUAAAGGAAGAAUCCAUCUCUAAAGUCAGAAUGUCUAUUGAGGGGACUAAACAGCAGAAGGGUAUUUCGCUAGGUACAAUUGAAUAAAAUAAGGGAACUCGGUCCUAUAUUCUCAAAAGAAAGAAUCCAACUAGUACGUACAUAUAAUCAUUCCACUCUCAAAGAAGAAACUGAAUCAUGAGCCAUAGGGUAUAAACUGAAUCAUGAGCCAGGUAUGUUAGUAUACGCUUGUCUGGCUUUCUCCUUGCGUGGAACAGAGUUGAUAGUUCUUUCUCCGUUGCUUGUCGGCUUGGCGCUAUGUGUUCGUAGUUGACUUUCAUGCUAUAGUUGGUUACUCUCUUCUGUGUAAGUGAACAGUUUUCUUCUUUGAAUAAUAAGAUAAAGAUGAGAAUUGGAAUGGAAAUGGGAAUGAAGUCUAUGAAAGUAGCGAGAGUGAAGGAAUACAUCUAGUCUAGAUCCGUAAUAUAGUCAUAACAAAGUUAUUACAAUAUAUGUCGUCUACUACUACCUCAAACAAAGAGGAGAGGGAAAGGGCACUCUGAUCCGAGGGGAACUACAACAACAGCCGGAAGUCACUCAAACAAAGGCAAUGUAUACGCAUCAAAGUCAUUUCUUGAACGGAGAAGAAAAGUAGAUGAAUAAGAAGAAGUCUCAGAAUAAUAAGAGAAAUCAGAAGUCUAAUAAGAGAAAUAAUAAGUCUAAGAAUAAUCAGAUAGAUAGGGCGCAAACAAACAAACAAGUGGGAGAUGCGGAUCUAAGUGCUAUGUGUCGUUUACUUACACUUAUAUCACAUGCUAGAUAGAUUAUAUGAUUUCGCCGUAGUUAAGUGAGUGGAGUUCGGGUUCGGCUGUACACCACGCGCGGAAGAAGAGUUCCAGAAGAGAGAAGUAAACAUAGUUUCCUAAGUGCGUUAGCGAGCAAGUGCUUAUGUUUGCGUUAUUAGCUGCUGACUUUAGCGGGUGCGUGAGAGGUGCUUCUUCCGUAUUGGGUAGCUGCCUAUUAAGUAUUGGGUAGCGUUCUCCAAGUUUAGAGUCUACAGUGAGGUUACGUUCCUCUAUUAGUUGAUGUGCAUGACAUUCAACAAGCGAGUUUAGUUCGCCCUCCCUCCCUUAUUGGAGUUUCGCAGUGUUGUGAGUUUUUUAGGAAGCAAUGCUCUGUGUUUUUACUGUCGUUAGUAUAUCAUAUGCUAGGUAGAUGAUUUGAAACAAGCAUAGGAACAAGGAACGGAAACAAAUAGAAAAGCCAGUUUCGUUCCGCUCGCCUGAGUAAGUCAAUUCGGUAGCUCUUCACACAGGUCCAACUGUAGUUGCGCUCCAAGUAAAGUAGAAAAGUGAAGUUUUGAUGUUGGCGCUCCUAGUAAAGUAUCAAGUAAAGUAUCAAGUCAAAAGAAAGUACUAUCAAGUAUCAAGUGAAGUAAGAAAGCUGCUAGUCCCAGAAAGCUGUAAGUAGGAUGUCCUAUUCCGAUGGUUAAGGUUCUGUUGUAUAAAGUGGGGGUCAGUAACAUAAUUGCCUGAUAGUGAUUGUCCCGCUGAAGCUCAAAGUACUGAAGUAGAGUGUUUUUGGGUGUAAUAGUUCUCUUAUUAGAGAUGAAGCAGUGCUUUUUCAUGAUCUUUCUUUUUUCUGUUCUCAAGUAUUGAUCAAGAUUAUGGGCGUCAAAGCAUUAUCAGAGCAUUUCGGGACAGGGGUUAAUAAGACAGUGUUAGGCAUGGGAAGGAAAGGGGGUAAUAAGACAGUGUUAGGCAUGGGAAGGAAAGGAGAAUAGUAUAUUGGCUUAGCAGUUAAGGGAAGAAAAGGGAACAACUUAUAAUCCUAGGAUCCUGUAUUUGAUCGAGUCGACUUUCUUUCUUAUUCUUUUACUGGCAAUUCAUACAUAAGCUUACUAGAGAACUUUAACUCCACCUUAAAUCACCGCUCUAUUCUAUGACAAACAAACGGAUUCUAGGGAUUCAAACUCGCGCAGAGAAUUCUGUAACUACGUCUUCUGUUACUUCAGCACAAUAACCUUCACCUCUCUCGUCGUCUACGCUUGUGGAAUUGAAGAGAGCGUUGCUAAUAUGGAUUUGAGUAAAAGCACAGCAUUGCUUCCUUAUAGCAUAUUAUAUAUAAGAAAAUGAAGUCAAAAGACUUCCCACCACCACUUCUUCAAGACUUACGUGAGCUCAUGAAGAAUAGAAUCUAUAUUUAGGGCACCCGUAAUGAAACUAACUUAGAUUACAAAAAGACAAAAAAGGACUUCGCUUGCAGCAUACUUUCUCACUGCUGAUGAUCUAUCUUCUUUUCUAAUUACCCUAUAUUUAUUUCUAUACAAGGGCUCGCAACUCUGGGACUAUAUUCUUGCGCCUGCAUCCUCCCCGUUUAUUUUCUAUAAUUCCACUACUACACUCGGUUAGCCAAUAACCUAUCGCGACAAUGAUACAAAAACAACCUCUACGACUCUUCUCGUCUUUUCUACCUUCCUUCUUCUCUUCCGUGAUUGAAGCAGUAACUAACACGGCCUGAGCAAAACGAACUCUGCCCUACUUAGCUACAGCACCGCUUCCUACUAUGUCUUUCUGGAAUUCUCUCUGGUGUUGAUUGCUUAUAAAAGCGAAAGGGAAACCCCUAAAACCUGACCCUUGCGCUUUACCUCCGCCCUGUAAAGCCGGAUAGCCUCUCUGAUUUAUGUCACUUUCUCCCCCCAAAAUCCAGAGAGUAAGUAGGCCUUUGAGGUAUAGCCCGACUCGACUCAUCGGGUCUUUAAAAGCAUAAGAUUGAAUCUUGAGUAAACACAAGAUGGCACGAAGAAGUAAGCGCUUGUAUAGUAGUGUUUCGUCACCAACACCAGUGGCUUCUUUCUGCUCCUGCUCCUACAGCUGCUUCAUCUUCCGUUUCUGACCUGAGCCCUGCUUGAACUUCAUCUUGAGAGCCCUGCUAACGCGGCAGCGAGCAACUAUUAACUGACGCUACACAUGAGCAGUUACUUGUUGAGUCAAAGAGGAAUAUUACCGCAUCUUUAUCCAUAUCUCUACAUCUAACACCCCUCUCUUUUGUUCCUAAGAUUGUUGGCAAGUAUAGUUUCGUCUUCAAGUAUUGUUUCGGGUGCUAGUAAUCUUUAAGGAGGUGAUUCUGAUUCGGGUGCUAGUAAUCUUUAAGGAGGUGAUUCUGCUGGCGAACUCUACUUUUUUGACUGGAAACUGGCGCCGAGGAAACUAAUACGGGACAAGUAUGCUUCUUCCCUUGGUUGUUUACUUGCUAUCUUCUGAAUUGCUUGUAAAGACACUGAACGCACAAGCACUUCCUCAUCUGCUCAAGACUCUCCUCAAAGAAUGGAAUAUAUCUUACCCUAACCCGCCUAUAAAGCAAAGGAAUGUGAUCGCUCACUAAUGCGCAAGGGAAGGAAAGGGCUAUCGCAGUCAGGUAAACUCUACUUAGCACAACAUCUGGUUCUGGUUGCUAGAGUAUUGCCAACUUGAUCCGUAAGCCGAGUUGACUUGUAUCCUUCGAUCUACCAUUUGUUGAUUUGUUUGUUUCUGCUUAAGAUUGGAAUAGCAACUUGUGUGUUACGAGAUACUUGACUUCCGUUUUCGGGAAGCGGGACAAUAUGUGAAAGUACUUUGAGAUCCUGCAGGACAAGAAGUGGAGUGUUUUAAUAAGUGAAAGAGCAAAGGUAGAGAUGUCAUCGACCCGAACUAGACUUAGAGCUAGAGCACCUCUGCAGAGCUUCUAUUGGAGAUUCUACUGAUUGACUUGGGUAUCCAGUAAAAAGCUACCGUUCGUUCUUUCCGAUUGUCGGCUUGUCUCUACUUAACCGCAGCAUGGGCUAUCCGACCUCGCUUCGACUUGCCCUUAGAUUAAUUGCCAACAACACCCUAAACUCUACUUGAAGUUCCUUUACUUCCCGAAACAAAUCAUGUCCUGCUUGUCUGCAGCUGACUUUCUCCUUAACAGUGAGGAGCUCCAUCUUUAUCUCAUUCUUUACCUUCAGAUUCUCUCGUUGACAAAACCAGGGGACAAAUCAAUAGGAAAUGCUAUUUGCUUCGAAUAAUAAUGAACUUCUAUGGAAAUGAAAGACUUUCACGGGCGUCCGAUAUCAUUGAGAAAUAGAAGAAGUGUUAUCGAACGAUUUCCUGCAAUUCGCGUAUGGAAUGAGUCCAAAAUCCAGCAACAAGUCUCGAUCUAUACGAAUGGGUUUUUUGUGUUUCUUUCGGUAGCUUUUUUUGUUUCCAAAGGAUAGCUGAAUAGCCUUACUCCAUAGGGAUGCUAGCGCUUUACUAAGAACAUUGCCAGAAAAAGGGCUUUUCUCGCUUGUUUAGUAUGGUGCGCAGGUUUGGAACCGGGCUAGGGCGCAAUGGCUUUCUCUGCUGUAGGCUUCGCUUCUUCAAGCUUCGAUUGCUGCUUUUCAUUUUGAUAGGCGUAGGUGCUUGCUGCUCGCUCGCCGUCUACUAAAUGAGCCUUCACUGCCCGCUUAUCCAAAAAAGACCCUAUCUUUUCUCUUAAGUAAAGUGAAGUGAACACUUAGUUGGAAGCUUCGCUUUGCUUCCCCUAAUUCCGAAAGACAACACAACAAUAGACUUUCCACUCCAGUAUAGGAAAAAGCUUCUCUUUGAUAGCAAGGGGUUUCCGAAAGGAUCUGAUCGUAGAUAGAGACAUCAAUCUGUGCGGGGGUAGGGGCGGAUGUAGCCAAGUGGAUCAAGGCAGUGGAUUGUGAAUCCACCACGCGCGGGUUCAAUCCCCGUCGUUCGCCCAUCAAUAAAUGGACCAUUUCUUAAGGAGACACAAGACAAACAAGACAUUUUGAUGCAAGUAAUCUCGAGGCUUGAAAAAGCAUCCAAGCAAUUGGUAUCCGAUUGAAAGAUUCGCGUCGCCUACUUGAUUAAAGCACAAAUAGAAUGGCAGAUCAUGAAUUCCAUUAAGUUUUUAAGAGAGACCUUACCCUUUUUGUGAAUCCUUUCUCGGUUGUGGGAUAUAGCUUUCUCUUUCUGUCUUUUCAGUGCUAAUUGCCCCUUAGUUGAAUUCCUUACGAGCCUGGGCCAGCAGUAGCUCUAUCUUGUAAGCCACAAAGGAAAGGUUUUUCAUAUUCAUAUAUCAAAAGAGAAUAGAUCGAUUUUGGACCCUAUUGAAUGAUUUACCUUAGGGUCUAAGGAUUUCCCAUCUGACCGGAUGACCCCACUUAUCAAGCUUUACCUUAGUUUUUCGUUCCCUUCUCUCUCUUUUGCGCCUAUGGAAGUUUUGUUGUAUGUCGAUCUCGGCCCGUGGUGGAAGUUUGAAGGGUUUGAAGUUCUUUUUUGCCUUUGGCCUCCGUGUGUGAAAGGUCAAGUGGAAUAUUGAUUUACGUGGGGAAAAGUGGGAGUACUUCUUAAGUAGGGAUGAAGUAGCUCGACUAACUCAACUAACAAGAUUUGGAUUACAUUCUUCUCUUUUUGAAUGGAAUGAAUGUGAAUAUAAUUGAUAAGAAAGCCAGCUAGGGAAAUGGGAAUAGAAAAUGGCUUUUAUUACUAGUAGGCAUUGUAGGAAAAGACAAAGUUUACAAAAAGCUCCAGGGAAACACUUUGGAGGGCCUUUCUAUCUUUGUGUAAUAUGUAUUGUAAUAAGGCGGAAGGUUCAGUCCAAUAAGUGGAAUGUGGCAUAAGUUAUUGAUUCAUUACCGAGUGUGAGAUUAGACCUAUGUAGCGUUCUCUCUAGUCUUUCCCUCUGCGCCUCUCCUUUAUGGGCAUAUCACUAGGUAAGAAAUGAUACUUAUUGUAUAGGAGUGAGUCUUAGGAAAUGAUACUUAUUGUAUAGGAGUGAGUCUAUUGAUACCAUAAUGGUUGUUUACAUAUACAGUUAUACCAUAAUGGUUGUUUACAUAUAAAGAUAUGGAUGGAAUCUUCCCCCGGUUCUUGCUUUCCAUGGUUUGCUAUCCAUCCCUUCUUUGAACCCCUUUCACAGUUAAGUCAAAUCAAUAGGUCUUUCUUAGCCUCAUCCUCUGAUCAGUUGCUAGACUAGCUGAUUGCAAUUAUGGGUUUCGGCUUUUCUCUUUUUUCUCUACAAUAUCCUUAAUAUCCUUUCUUUCUUGGCCAGUACUCAAUUCUUCCCCUUUAUGUGGGAAUACUUUUACUGGAAUAUGGCCCUAUGCUUUUUCUCCGGGCUAGGUAAAGCAAACUCAUUCGUUUUUUCCAGCCCAGCAAGCUUUAGUAUUCAAAGCCCUCAGGUCAGGGUAAGCUAUGUGCCUUUUUUGAAUUUCUUGUGUGUGAAAAGAGUUAUAGUCCGACUUUAGUUGCUGGCAAGCUCUUCUCCAUGUCAGUGUAAUGCCUUUCUUGUAUAGUGGGUGAGUGUUGCAGGCAAGCUCUUCCCCAUGUCAGUGUAAUGCCUUUCUUGUAUAGUGGGGGUGAGUGCUCAGUCUUUCUAUAUCGUUCCCGUCUCGUUAUCUCAUUCCUCAGUCACAGAAUUCAAGCUAGUAUGUUAGCAAGUUACAAUUUGAUCCGUUUAGUAAGUUUCAAAGUGAGUUCAAGUUCCUGUCUGUUACUGGUAAAACUCCAUUCCUGGCCAUUACUCGUCGCUGUAACACUGUGGAAUCCGUUUCGUUUAUAGUCUAUCUGUUUCUUUGCCUUGCCCCUUUCUUUACCAUAGGUUAAUAUGGCUAAGUCCAAGCGAGUCUUUCUUAGCGGGCAGUCCUAGAAGUCUCAGUAGAUUCGUAUUUCCCUCCAUUAGUUUGGGGUUAAAGUCUAAGGCGAGGCGCUAAGAGAGAAAUGGGAUUCCUCGCCAGCUUUGCACUUAAUACAAAUCCAACUAGAAACCGGCCCAUUGGAAAAAAAGGACUAAAGGCCCUUAUUCCACAAAAGACACUCUGCGACCCUUGCUUAUAUAUAAGUGGAGGUAGUGUUUUUUUCUAGGGAUAGAUCCGUUUUGAGCGAGUAUACUAUUGGACUCUUUUUCUAUACUCUUAAGUAAAUGAAUAGAAUAUAGUGGCGGAAAUGUGAGUCUUGGAAAUAACUCGACCGAAAGGAAGAUCGACAGCAAAGCAAAAGGAAAUCGAAUCGAGGAUCUUUGUUUGCGGAACCUAUCUGCCUUCUUUGUCUUGGCAGACAGGGCCGACUCCUUUCAAGGGCUCCUCGGAAAAGGGAAACACGCGGGCCUCUUACCUACUGCUGGCUUGCUUUAUUGCCGCCCUAGUGGGUGGUUCUUAUCGAAGAGAAUAAACAGAAUCAAGAUCAAUUGCCACGUGCUCUAUUUCUCCUCCGUACCCCUCUGACUCUAUAGGGCUCCCUUGAGUUCAAGUUCCAAUUCCAAAGGGGAGCUACAAGUAGUAGGUAAAGUGAUUCGCAUCCCAUUCAUCAUCUCGUGAAUCUUUUGGUGGCUCAACAAUCUUCCAUUGAGAUGUAACCAACUUUCUCGAGGAUUGCACCCUUCCUGCAAAGAAAUUGAUCCUAAGAUCGCCUAAAGUAAGAGCCCCUUGAUUGAAGGUAGCUUGAGUUAACAAGACACGCCUUCCUGUUAGACAUACUCCCACAGGAUAGACUUCCAUGAAAGAAAACUCGAAUCCCUCCGCGACUGGCAGGCUGGGAAUUACAAUUGCUUACUUUCUUUAGCACUGGGAAAAGUAUUAGGCUAAGAAGAAAGAGCCGGAUUGGAGUAUGGGCCUUAUUCUAGUUCAUCAUUCAGUAGUGCUUGCGGCGUUUUGAUCUACAUCCCGCCUUACUUCAUGGCUGGUGCUGGUAUUGAACAUGCCGAGAGAGGUAGAACAGGGAUAGAACCAUUUGAUAGGUAGGAUGAAAGCGAUAGACCUACGGGUAUGGAAUCGCCCUGAAAGAAAGGUCAAAGCCAUAGGGAUAUGGAGGACAGGGUAAUCAAGAGCGAAUACAACUUCUUCUUUUUUCACAGGAUACUAAUAUGGAGGACAGGGUAAUCAAGAGCGAAUACAACUUCUUCUUUCAAAAUAGGAUACUACCCUUGCGAGUAGAGCAAUUUCAGAGAACAGACCAACAAUAGAUUAGAUACAAUUGCAUCGGGGACUUACACUUAUGUCAUACUUACACUUACUAAUACUAGGCUCAGAAACACCCACCUAUCAAAUGCGGCGAUUGCUAUCCACCUUUCAGAAUUUGUUGCAUAAAGCGCUACGUUUGGAUAGUCCCAUGCUCGGCUAAGCCAUUGAGAUUCAUUACUUUCGAGUCUAAACCCGGCUUCAGGGGGACCUACUUUGCUUCUAAACUGGACCUAUACCUGGCAUGACUUAACGCGGAAGUUGCCCCCCGCCUGAGCACAAUAAGCAUUAGCGUGUUGAAUGAUGGUGCACUCAUUAUUUGUAUCAUUCUUGUAAUCUUACAUUACCCCUCGUAUAUACAAUACUAAACUAAACAAGUAACAGAAGAAGAAAGGGAACCUCCACUAAACAAGUAACAGAAGAAGAAAGGGAACAAGCAAGUGAAGUCACGUUUGAGCAAGGGUAGCAAGUAGUCUAUAGGGAUAGGGAGCUAAGCAAAGUCCCUGAUUCUCUAUCUCUAUUUCGAAUUACUAAUUCUAUAAUAGACUCUAUUCAUACUUGACUAACGCGCAACCGAACUCUACCUUUUACUACUUGCUUCAUUUUCUCAUUGCUGAACUCCUCAUUUGUUUUUCUCGAGAAAUCAGCUCAAUCAAUCAUUGAUGAAAGUCAGAAUUGCCAACUUCCCCACUUGUUUAGGAAAAGAAAAAGGUAUAAAAAGACUCCUUCUUGACUUCUUAUACAACUCAUAGUAAAGCCAACCUCUAGUAACUUGUCUAAUGAGCCAACCCAUAACUCAUCUAAUAAGCUUAGCUUCAUUACAUCUACCCAGCUUCUCUUCUCUCUUUGCAUCUCAUUCUUAAGCUUAUAUCCGGCCUGGUAUUCUACUUGCUUUCCGCCGUGAUGGGACUAGGCUUCAAUUAUCCCCUUUACUUGGACAAAGAACUAGAAGGUCAAGAAAGAAUCCAACUCCAGAAAUAUAUAUCCAUCAGCAGCAUUUUCCCUUUAUUAAUGGCUUUUCUUUCUCAUAAGGUUUUUCUGUAUGAAUGGAAUCUGAAAGGAAUGGUUACGUAGGCUUUACUGUAGAAAGGAAUGUUACGUAGGCUUUACUGUAGAAAGGAAUGUUACGUAGGCUUCCAAGGUUCCUAUGAAUAGAAUCUUGCUGACUUUGGAGAUCUUUAUUCUAGAGUGGGUCUUCCAAUCUUACUUUUCUUAUUUCGAUGGACAAAACAAGGUAAGAAUGCGAAAAAGCUAUUGACUAAAGAGAAUAGGUAAUGUCAUUGUAAUUGAAAUAGGGUAAUUGAAUAGUCAUUUCAUUCUGAAAAGGGUCUUUCUUUAUCUCUGUAGUCCUUGACUCACUCGCUUUCUAACCAACCCGACGAGUUGAGUUACUUAUCCUUACCUGGCUAGCUAGUCUAAAGAAGUAUGACAUAUCACUGAUUUACCUUGCAGGCUCUCUUCCUCUUCCACUGUUACAUGAGUGCGAACCCUCCUUUUCCGAUUCUGCAUCAAUAUAAUGGAGUGGAGUAGAUCCUCAUUAUUCCACAGCAAUUCCAUUCGAGUUUGAACCCUCGAGUCAGUAGAUACUGGUUUCUAAUAAGGAGUGAAAGCGUCAUCUUCAAAAGUAGGAAUAAGGCUUGAUCUCGUCCCUUCAAUGUCCCCUGGUAGGCUAAACCGGCAAGAGAUAGCAGUCUAUACCUUAAAGCUCUAAGUCAAUAAGUCGGAAGGCUACUAAUAGAAAGAACAGAGCUCAUUUUCUCUCACCUCGGGAAAGGCCUGCCUAUUAAAGACAUAAGUGCAUCAAAGCCCCUUCCUGCUUUUGGGGAGCAAGUCAUAUUCUUUUUUCUACAAGAUAUCCUAGAACGUGCUACUGACAACAAGGAAGUCGGUAUUGUUUGCUUACAUGGUAAAUAACUCCAAAUCUAUGAUUGGGGCUACUAAAUUCAGAGUGAUCUGUCUAUUCAAGAAAAUAGCUUUUUGAUUAGUUUCAAAAACCCCAAACCUUGAUUUCUUGUUUCUUGGAUCAAGGGGGCUCCGUAGAGCUUCACUAUGCCCACCCGCUCCUUGAAGUAGAGCCUCCAUCAAAGCACCUGUACCCUAUCGGGGUAGCAUCUUUUCCUACCGGCCACAAGCUUGAAUCUUGACCCGCUUCUGAAUCUGAAACCCAGACUGACUGCUUCUUAACUUGCUUGCGUGAAGUGGUAUCCAUUGCGGCUUCUACCAAAGGGGCUUUCAAUGCUUUCAAAGAAUUCCAUGAUGAAUCGGGUUGCUGAAAACAAACCCCUUUUCUAAAGCUUUCCUAUCUAUUAAGUAAGAAAACUUAUGAAGUAACGCUUCUUUGAUUCAAGAGCACAUUCUCCUUCGGCAAUUUGAAAGCACUAGCGAUCCUAUCCUAUACCAGUCACUUAUGAUCGCUUCUAUCUCGGCUUUCUUUCUGUUGACUUUGGACUCAAUCUUUCAAAGGUGGAAGCGCUAACUAGUCUGUCUCACCUGGUCUCAAUGGAGAUGUGUAGGGUUCAGGACAUAACCCUCGUCCGUCUGCUACCAAGCCAUAAUCAAGUUCCAAAAAGGACUGAUGGCGAUCGACGAAUGCGUGCUCCGUAGCUGUUUUGAAUGAACGUCGUCUUUCUCAGACCGUGUAAGCUUAUAACCACUUUAUGGCUGUAUUGCAGUUGUGGAUUCAGAACAAACUUAGGAGAGAGAAAGUUCUUAGGACCUCCUUUUCUGAUAUCACGAUAUCUAAGAGUUUAAUGGACUGUGAAAAGGAAGUGAAGACAAGAAUAGAGGAAGAAUUCAGAAGGCAAGAAGAAACUACACUCGACCCAGAAAUAAGACUAUUGCCUAUAUAAUAUAGAUCAAAGAAUCAAGAAAUCAAUUUCGAAAGAAAAUAAGAUAAGAUCAUGUAUAUAAUUGUUAUUCAUAUAUUCUUAUUCAUUUGUGUGCUUAUUAUUAUGAGAUUUGGUUGGAUUAUUCCUUCUAUAUUAAUAUCCAUUCUUAUGAAAACUCUUUCUGCCCUAACUGCCUCGCUCUGUAACCCGGCGUUAUUUCCCUGAUAGUUCUUCUUCCUUCAAUCGAGUUGGAGUUAUUAUUCUCUCAAUAGAAAUAUCAGAAUGAUAGCAGCUAGUUUGAUUCGAGUGAUAAGGCCCCGGCCCUCAAAAGAGUCUGACUUCUUAAUCCCAUCCCCAACAUUCUAGCCAUAUAGUAGCUGUGAGAAUUGCCAGCCCUAUACUAUAGUGCCAAAAGGGAAUCUCCUAUUGAUUGUAUAAGUUAGAGUUUCCAGCCCUCCGAUAGGCUGCUUUCUUACCUGUUAUGAAGAAGACUCAUACUAUAGAUAGAUAUGCUUGACCUAAUAUGAUAGAUAUGCUUGACUCUCUCUUUCUGGGCAAUUCAUCGAUCAGUUAAUACAGCUGGUUUGUUGGAGAUAGCAGGUUAUCGAGCAAUAAAGCUUACUUAGGAAAGCUCGAGUUAUAGGCGAGUUAUAAGUCCGUCCUUCCAAUUUCACAGUUGCUAUAUGAUAGUCGCACUUAUAGGUAUUUUAGGCACGAAAGCAGGAUAGGAAAGAUGCUUCCUACGCGAGCUCAAAUCCAUUGCAGCAAGAAAGAUCAAGAAAAGAAACGGAUUCGCUCGACCGGGACUUGUGAACAGUGAGCAUAUGGGCAUAAAGGCAUCAAAUAAAUAGGAAAAACUCGAGUAGGCGGCUGACCCUCUUGAACCUCCCCUUUCAGAAACUCCUAUGGCCGAUCUUCCUUCUUAGACUCUAUUCCAUCCCGCUUAUCCUUUUGAAUAUCAUUGAUGAAUUGAUAGUUUUGCUACCGCCACUCCUGAAGAACGCCUGUUACGUUACUCUCUUAAUAAGGAGCGAGUCUCUCUUGAUUAAACGCUUAACGGACUAACUGGGGGUGAUUGGAUCGAGGUUCAAUAGGUAUGAUUAAAGAAAGAAUAGGUUGGUAUAGAAUAAGAUUGGGUCCUGAUGGUCUGCAUGAUUCACAAGAUAGACGGAGAGAGGUUCUGUUAACUGUGUGUUUUCCUUCCUCCCCUUGUCAGUCGAGUGCUUACGAGCAUCAAUCCUUUUCUAUUUCACUAAUUCUCACUGUCCCUAGAUAGAAUAGAUGAGAUUCCAGAAAGGGUAUGUAUGUCCCUAGAUAGAAUAGAUGAGAUUCCAGAAAGGGUAUGUGAGAUUCAAGGGUAUGUCCCUAUAGAUAGAAUAGAUGAGAUUCAAGGGUCUGGUCUGUCCCUAGAUUCUAUUUAAAGGUAUGUUCCUAGAUAUAAUGGAUUCUAUUAAGGGGUCUGUCCCUAGCCUGGAUAUGAUAGAAUCUAUUUGAUGGUGGAUUCGCCUAGAUAUGAUAGAAUCUAUUUUAGGGUGGAUUCAUGGAUGAGGUCGAGUGGUCUCAGUUGGAGAUGGUAUAUUGCACUAGUUUAUGGAUUGAACGAGAUUAACACUUGGAACAUAGGACAGGAAAAACAAGGGUCGAGACUGAUAGGCUGGCUUGGGGGAAUAAUAAUACUGUGGCCUCCGCAGAACGGAUUGGAUGCUCCCCUAUUAAUUAGAAUAUGCAAAGCCAAUGGAAUCGAGCUGACUAAGAUGGAUGUAAAGUACUUGUUUAAGUCCUAGCAACAAAUCUUCUGUUCUUUUCUUUCUUUGCGGGAUCGGUUUCAUUCCUAUCACUUUGCUUUGUUAUCAGCCCGGUAGAAGUCAGAGGGUUCCCUUGAUUGUUAUCGCUACCGGUGGAAGGAAGAGGGCAGUUCAAAUACCUUGAUUGAGACGAGACGGUAUAAGAGGGCAGCGUCAGCUGCUACCUUGAUUGAUAGCUAUUAUGAUCAGAUUCCAUGUAUCUGGAUGGAGUCUUCUAUCAUUUAUGAAAAACACUCCUGUCCUUACUGCCAAACUGUAGUAAGCUAUAGUAUUUUGCUUGUUUGCUUGUGUUGCUUCUUCACAGCAUAGCUUCAACACUCUCAACUCUACUUAAGAAAAUAAUACAUAUAAGUAACAAACGGUGAACGAAACUCUACCCUUGGCGCGCCCUAAAAGAGAAGUCCGUUAAUGUACCCCGGAAAGUAACCUAACGCUUGCACAUUCUAUACAAGAAUAAAGGUCAACAACUAGCGCUUAAGUAUCACAUUCUAGAAGAAAGGUCAACAACUAGGUAAACAAACGGAAUCAGAAUAAUAUCAUUGAGUGCCGGAGUAACAAAGCACUAGUGUGCGCUACUAAUGCACAACUCGCUAACGCAGGAGCUCAACUCAAGCUUCUAACUCAACGACUAACGCAAUUGAAUAUCACGUGUAACAUAGUUUCUAGUUGAUUAAACAAACAAGCAUUCUUAUUAACUGGGUAGCAAAGUCGACUCAACGGGCUGAGGUAAAUAAAUCCGAAUGGAAGAGAGCUCUUAAUACGCCAAGCCAAGAUAACCAUCACAACUUCUCAAGCCAAGAUAACCAGAACACAACGCUUCUAAAUUGAUUCUCUAAUAACUCGCCCGCCUAUAAUGAUAAGAUAAUAUAAGAAAGCCUUCACUGAACUUAUAAGUAUAGGCCGGUCUGCAACUAUCAAGGUUUUUUCCACUUUACGAGAUACAGCUAUCGCAGCUACAGUUUGGCCUUUCAGUCACGCGUACCCUAAACUCCAAAACCAACUUCAGGCUAAUGCACAACUCAAAGAACUCUGUUAGCCCAUACGAUCAAAUGGUUAUUCACAUAACUCAACAAACAACGGAACAAGCAAACUAACCGCAUUGCUUCUAUUGCUUGCUUCUUUUCUGAACCCUAGAUUUCAGUACUCAUUUAUUCUCUCAGCAGCCAGCAGCUGACGCUGACCUUGCUUUUUGACCUUGCUUGUUUUGUUCGAUAACUCACUGACGUCUGCUUGUUUACUUACUUAUGCCUUUCAGAAUGACUAUGGGCAUCCGAGUCAGCUAAGCUUCUAGGGAUGAUAAAACAAUCGUCUUCUCUCUUCCUACUCGAUCUUCUAGGGCGAAUUCAGAUCUUAGCUUUCCCGGUCGCUGGAGCAGCCGCCACUCUCCCUUCGCUCUGGAACACCAAUGAUGAUGAAGAUAAUCCUUCUGAUUCUGCUCUUAACAACUUCUUCUGGUAGUAAGAUACUCUUUCUUUUCUUCUCUUCUUCUGCUCUUAACUACACCUAUAUUUAUUGCGAAAAUAGACUCGCCUUUCUACAAGCAAGACAAAGAAGCAAAGCAAGAGCGUGAAGUUCCGCGAAGAGGGAAAGAACGUAGCUAGAGCAGUUCCAGCAGUAUUUCCUGAUGUGUCUUGCGGAUGCUGGUCUUUUUGGAGUUCUCGCAGUAUUUCCUGAUGUAUCUUGCUUGCGGGUGCUGUCACUCAUGCAGGAGCCUCUACACCAGGUGUCAUGCAAUAACUAUCAAAGUGGCAAACGCGGUGGCUUCGGGCAACAACGGGCAUUUCCCAUUCUUCUCUUAGUGGGUGGGACAGCCAGAGAUGUAGGGUCUAGUGGUUUUCAGCCUAGAUAAGCUACAGCGGCAAAUCACUUCUUACGAGUUCCCAACACAACUACGCGUAAUACUUUAAACAGGUGUGGCUGGAUGCUUCUUCUCAAUAGGAAUAGUAGUCCAAAUCCAAGCAAGCUUAUUAUGAACAUCUAUUGGAGUCGAUCAUUUCCAAGAUCCAAUUCUAGUUUCUUAUUAUGUAAUGGAAUAGCUUUACAAUCUUCCGUUUUACGCUGUAGCUUAAAGGAGAAAAUGUUCUUGGUGGAUGCAGGACCAGGUACCCCACUCAAUUGUAUGGAAGAUGAGCUUACAGGAGUGCCAAUAAACCGAGCCACGAGCCACAGGUUUGAGAAUAAGGUGGGAUCCCAGAAUGUAGUGGCAGGUGACUCACAGAUUCCAGAGCGGAUUAAUGAUAGAUUCUUAAUGGAUCUAGUGGCCGGUCAAUCACAGAUCAAAGAGCGAGCUGUCUUAAGGUUUCAUGAUUUUUGGGGAUCCCUGGAUGUAUUGGCUGGUGAACCGCUUCUUCUUCCACGAAGAUUAAGACAAAACCGAGCUUGGAUAGAACUGCAGAAGAAUUGGCGAACGAAUAAGAAGGUCAAAGGCUUCAUUAUUAACAAAGUCAAAGGUGGUUAUUCAGUAGCCAUCGCGGGUUUCAUUACCUUUCUUCCAUUCUUUCCUCUCAACACUCAAAAGAUAGCGAAUGAUAGAUUCACCAUUGAGAGCAUUAAUCCCAAUAGGAGGAAAAUUGUGGUGUUCUAACAGCAGUAGAUCCAAGUAAGAUCAAAAUCCAAUCAAAAGGAAAGGCUCUCAGCUCCUUUCUUUUGUUGAGGGAACUUCUUACUGCUUGCUCUUUGAUAAGGUAAGCAGAGGAGCAUUGUAUGCUUUUUUGACCCUUGUCCCAUCCAUUCUAGAAGUCAACAACAGCUUCAUCUCGGCUUAGCUUACGGCUUCAUCUUCGUCAUAGAACAUAAAUAGUCCAUCCCGUGCUCAAGCUUUCUCUUCUAGGUUUGGUCCUACUUAUUAUUCUUUACGAAAAACAAACAAACCCCAAUUCUCAACCGGCGUGGCACAGCCUUCUUCUCAAUAGAACAGGAAGAGGAGCAAAUAAGGACCACCAAAAGUAACGACAACCAAGAUAGGCAUAGUGAUUCGAUCCUUUGAGAACCCUAUUUUGAAGAACCACUAUUUGUUGGGGCUUACCCCUAACACACUACAGAUUGGAUUGCCUGAUUCACGAGUCUUAUAUACAUUGUUACGAUCACCUUUUAUUGAUCAAAAGUCCAGAGAACAAUUUGAAAUGAGAAUAAAGAAACAAUAUCUGGUCAUAAAAACAGAAAGGCAUGAUUCAUUGCGCAAGAAGUUCUUUCGGUUAAAACGCCGUGCGACUCGGAGAACAUAAGACUCUUUUGUAAGGCUUCUAAUCUUGCCUUGCCGACGGAAUGCUCCUACCCCACCAUGCCUAGCCCUUUCCCUUAAUCAUAGGAGAGGAGGUAUGAAGCGUGGAAAAGAAUGCAAUCAGUGUAUAUGACAUCAUCAUGUAACCUUAAGGAGUGGAGGUAGCAAAACUCAACAUUGAUCAACGCGAGUGAACUGUGCUUAGACGCUUCGUCAAACCGCACCACAUCUACAAGAGGAGCAAAUUGAUGAGUGGGCUUCCCCUUUCGAUUCACGGAAUGUGAUCUGAGACACGAUGGGAGUUUGCGUGCCUCGGUAGGCAAGAGAUCACCGGAGUAUAGCACAAGAUCGCCUUUUCUUGCUGCCAUGGGGUCAACCUGUUAACAAGGUAAACCCAAUGGGAUGGGAACCAAAAAACAGUAGGGUACCGCAUUGGGCAGAAGACGAUUCAAAAAGCGAAGGCUCACCCUUGGAAGUGCCGGGUGAGAUAGGCAACAGGUAGCUUGCUUCCAUGCCGUCUACGAGGAAUCAAUAUCUCUUUGCCGGUGCUGACUUGGAUCUCGGGUGACGGAAUAAGGCGGCCAGAAGCCACUUUUCGUUUACAGCUUACUUAGCGGGCGAAGCUUUACCGAUAUAGGCAGUAAGCUUGGCCACAGCGAAGCGCUUACCAAACGCUAAAUCAAGAGGGCCUUCGACACUUGAGCCGUAUGCGGGGGAACUCGCACGUUCGGUUCUUUGGGGGGGAGACCGUCGGUUGAGCCAUUCCAUCCCAAUAGCGUAUAUUUGGAGCUCAAUAUUCAAUCCGUCUUUCUUGCAAGACCCGUUUAGAUAAGGGAAAACUCAAGAGAUUGCUUCGAAAGCUAUCGAAAAUACCUUGAAUACACUAACCGAAUCAUAUCAUAAACCAGAACCACAUUGGAUAUUGUGUCUUGGGUUCUUUUGGGAUAAUGGAUAACAAAUGUAUUUUCUUACGCGCUAUAUCCCCUGCUGUUUGUUGUGGCUUUCUCAUUCUUGUACAACACCCAACCUCUGGAGUUGAUUCAUUCUGUCAUCAUUGUACCACUAAAUGUUCAGGACGAGGGCAAGUCCCCAUUUGGAAGAUGCUACUCCGGUGACUUUGGUCCGCAACCGACAUCAACUAUUUCGUUUCGUUCGUAUAGAAGUCUGAGUGGAUCAGUAGCUUCUGCAUAAGCAGUGAAUUAUAAGACUGCGUGGAAGCUGGUCCGGGUUUCUGCAAUAGGGAGCAGAGCAAGUAGGUCUUCGGCACGCCACACUUGAAGAGCUUUCCCGCUCGCUUUCUGACGACACUGUCCUUUACCUGAGCACUGUUACACUGUAGUGAAUGUACAGGCAUUCAAAUAGUUUCUACGAAGUCGUAUAUUUAGGUAGGACUUAUGAGAUGAGAACUUACAACCACUAGGCAACCAAAGUCAUUAUCUCAAAUCUCUAAAGUGAAUUGAGUUAAGGGAGGACCUUGGGGUGUCGUGGAAUAAUUUGGUUCGAUUCCCGUUAUACGUGAUGUGGCAAAAAACACUUAUGGAAGGGGAAAUUUCAUGCCUGCAUUAAGAUUUCAAGCGUGUCGUCUACUUCUAGGAAAUGUUCGGAACAGAGAACUUUCUCUAAUACAACGCAGCAUUCUCCGAAGAUUGAGGAACAAGAGGAGAUCAAUCCAAAUCAAUCUUUCUAGGAGAGAAAAUCGAAACUGUUACAUUAAAUCACAAACAACACGAAAGUUGUCCCUUUAUUAUGGAGAUUUACCUACAAGGGGGCUUCUUCGGAGAGGAAGAGAACGAACUUCAUAUAUCCCUUUUCUACUCAAUCAAGAAACAAGAUCGGACGUGAUUCUGGUUCGUCUCCAUUUUAGUAAAACCAUUCCUCAAGCAAGGCAGCCGAUAAGUCAUCGAAAGGUUAGUUUGAAUAAUGGACAGGUCAGCAUAACAAGUUCUCAAGUUUCCCACGGUGAUCUAAUAUCUUUUCCAGAAACUAUAGCCGAAAUACAAAUAAGGAGAUCUUUCUAUAUCGACAUAUCAGUUGGCAAAAUAAUAGGGAAAUUCCUGCCGGUCAGAAUGUGGAGAAGAACCAAAACAGAAUGGUUCCGCUUACUCAAAACAAAGAGGGGGUGCCGUCUACUACUCCAAUCCGGGUUUUUGCAAGAGUUGCGUGAUUCUAUGCAAGAAGAAGACUUAGAAAGAACAAAGAAGUUUGGAUCCGCUAAAGUAUGCUUAGGCAGUUCCUUCGCUGAGCACAACAGAAUGAAGAAGAAUUUGUUUCAUUUCAAAUACUUUUUCUUAUUGAAGAGAAGGAAGGAGAAAAACCGAAAUCCUCCAACUCUUUCCAUAUGCGCUUUUGUUGACAAGUAUAAAGUAUAUUGUAAUUCGACCUAUUGCUCUGGAUCCCCUUUUACUAGGAAGAUAAGAAUCAAAAGGAUCGAACUACCUACUCAUUAUUCGGAGGUAAAUCAUAGAACACCAAAAGCUGUGGUAUCUUAUGGACCUAACUUAGGGAACAUCCCUCACGACAUAAGAUUGAAAGAUCCAAACCUUCCUCUUUAGAGCUGAUAAGUAAGAAAACGUGGCCAAAGCAUAUAAGCCCUCAUAGGGAAAUAUCCAUCCUGGGAGUAUAUCUCUCCUUAUAGAGAGGGUCUCCCUUUGGAUAGAAAUCAAUAUGUAAGACCGUCGCAGUCGACUAUAAGUAUCAGAUUGCUGGCCUGAGAGAAGGCAGUCUCUCUCGGGAAAACAUUGCCCAAUUUCUCUUCUUUCUUUUCACACAGGCGAAUAAAAGACACUAUGAACGAACAUGAGUUUCAAAUGCUCAAAGGGGAACACACUUUAGACAAAGGGAUUUGUUGUCAGGAGGAGUUUGGACUUUUCUUAGAAAGUCAAGCUCUUGACAAGUCCCAAGUGGAUUCAUAGGUCAUUAAUUCAUGAAUUCUUGUAAAGCUCUUGACAAGUCCCAAGUGGAUUCAUAGGUCAUUAAUGAAUGAAUUCAUUCCUCAUUUGUUGACUACAGAGAGGCGGAACAAGACUCAUUUUGUUGCUGUAGAUCCUGAUUAAUAGCGGCAGUGAGCUUUCUAGAAAACCACUUCUCUUUCCCGUCUACCAACUCUGUAGACUUUCUGUAUAAGAAAAGAAAAGCCUAUCAAAUUAUAUCUGAUAUUUAUAAAGAAUAAGAGUGGUCUGGUCCACAGAUAUAGGAUUCUGUUUAGAAGUUUGAGAGCAGUAGAGCCAGUAAACCUAUACUGAGGGGAAUUGACUUACUUACUUAAAUGUGGAAGAUUGCUCAUAUCUAAUCCCUUAUACUUGGCCUAUUAAUUAACUUGUUGUUACUAUAUCCGUUCUUUAAUUAACUUGUUGUUACUAUAUCCGUUCUUCUGCUCCCGUUAGCUUAGUGUUUCAAGCAGACAAAAGUAGUGAGUGACUUAGAAGCGGUUUCUCUAGGGUGUAGUGGUCCGGUCCUGUUUCAUCUGUCUUUGUUUUAUUAGUUGACACGCGUAGUAUUAGUUUACACUGGUCCAGACUUAUUAAUGGUUGCGAUAGCAGUAGCAAGUCAAGCAGAAGGUAUCUCAACUAUGAAUCAGCAGGAUCAGAGGAAGAAUUCUAAGAAAGAUCCUUAUUGAGAGUCGAGCGCAGAAGAAUCACCUCUCUCGUCCAAAAACGGAUUCCACUUUUCUCUAAAGUUGCCAACUAACAAGCAGAGCUACGGCAGGACAAUAUGGCAAUUCCUCAUCACCCAUAGGAAAUGACUGGAAAUCUGAGUUGAAGCGUUAACCGACACCACUACCCGGGCCGGGCCCUCAAACGGAAGUAUACCACCGCACAGAUAGAAUAUGGUUUUUCGGUAGAACUGCUUAUAUACGAUACUUAAUAGAAUACGGGUUCGUUUGUUCCACUAUCUGCUCUCGAGUCGCCAACACUUAUUGUUUGAGUUUGGGAAUGUUUUAUUACUUAAGUGUAUCUUAUGUCAGUGAUAUCUUAAGUCUAUCUUAUGUCUGUGAUAUUAUAUUAUUCCAUUCUGAAAGCCGUUGCGCAAGUUCUCGAGUUACUAGAAUCAGGUGUUACUAGUUUAUAUGAUCAGUGUGCACUCAUCAAUGAUAUUUCAACGAGCUCGCUAAGGGAACUACACCUCUGAUUCAGCUACACCUCUUCUCUUCUCUUCUCUUCUUUACCGCCUCUAAUGUUUGCAGAAUGUCUUUCAUCUUUCGAUUCGGCUUCUAUAUCGGAUUCCAAUAAUUCUGAACUGAUGUGAUAUACCCGAGGAAAGUCAACAACUCGCAUUGCGACAUGAAAUUGAGACUCAGUUAGCGCACGACCUCUCUUUGAAGAACUGCUUGUGGCAGACUGAACUCUUACUGCGGAUUCUUGAUACAAAGGCUUUCGCCCCUCAUUCUAUUCCAUAUUCUCUUACUGCCCCACAAGUAGGACUUUCCUUCACUCGCUUGACGAUGAAACUAGAACAGUCAAUUGCGCCUGAAAUCCCCUGCCUUAAAAGAUGCAAAAGCACUUGCUUGUUCCUAAGCUUGUUUAGUAGUGACUUGGCGGGUUGGUCUUAAAGUCAACAAGAGGCAAAAGGUAUGCUGUGUAUUUACAUACAUCUAUGCCAGGUGAUCCAUUUCUAGUUGAUAGUUACCCCAGUAGUAGGAAAUGUAGUUGCUCGCCUCUAAGCUACCUGCCGCUCUAACACCCCCUUAUAUACAAGUUCACUGUUGUACUGCCGCUACACAUUAGUAUACGCUUGUCGGGGCUUACUUUACUAUAUCUAAGGCUUUUACUGCCGGGGCUUACUUUACUAUAUCUAAGGCUUUUACUGCCGGGUUUAGCUCUUCUACUAAUGAGUCAAACUCUGUCCCCUCGCCCUCUGCCUGGCCUGGUUCACUCUAAUACCGAUGAGCUAAAUCAUAUCCCCGGCACGCCGACUACUAUGUUGAUUUACUUAUAUUUCUCAUAUGUUUUAUCGUAUUCUAUUUGAUAUUAGUUUCUUAGGCUCCACUAGGUUCUUUUUCGAGUAGUUUCUUCUAGUUUAUUGGUUCCAAAACUAUAUGACUUUUGAUCUUUUCUAUUUCUAUGUUAGUUCCGGUGUGAAGUCAAUGCUUUCCCCGAGCAAAGAGAUAGGUUUGGUCAAGUGGCUAGUAAGCUAAAGAAUGAGAAGGCAUAGCUAAAGACUUUAUGCUGGGGCACUCUUAUUGUAAUCCAGGAUGAGCUAGUGAGGGAACCCGGUGGAGUUUCACUCGUUGGCGUAGGAAUGACCUUGGAAGUUGGAAUGAAAGGACCGAGUCACAGAAUUGACACUAUGUUUCAAAGGGCAGGUGCGUAGAUCAGCUCUAAGGGCCAAGCAACGACUUAUAAAUGUUCUCCUAAUGGGCCAAGCUACUACGAACAAGUACUACCGGUCUGACUUGCUAGCGCAUAUAGUAUAGGAGUCAAGAGUUAAGGAAAGCUCUGCUCGAAAGUAAGCAGCAAGAUGUUUUUCCAGAAAUAUGACAAGUGGGAGUUUGACUCGGUGCAAGCAAGUUCCAUCCUUGGCUUUACUGGUUAACUCUCCAAAUCUUAGUUAACAGUCUUGUCUUAACCGAACAGCCAACACCGAUAAGUACUCUCCGGCGUGAAAGCGGAAUCCGGAGAAGAUCUGGAUCAGAUGAAUCCGCAAGUCCUGUCGUCAUUGAACUUAAUAAGUGAGUUGGUAACCACAGAGCAGGGUAGCUUGUUUCCCGACGCCCCAGUUCCGUUGUCAACGAGAGAAGAAUGCCGAGAUGCGAGAGAAUAUACAGUGCUUGUCAAGUCUAAGUUCGGUGCUUGGCUUGCUUUAUGUUAAGGGUAGAAAAGAGAGUUGGGACUCGACUGAAGAAUGAAUGAAAUCGUAGUCCUAUUUCUGCUGCGCUAAGUCCUGAUUGUCCUGCUUGCUGUAGCUCCUCUUUAGUCGGAUAGUCCCACUGUAGCUCCUUCCCUUGUUGUAGAGAGAGAGGUUUUUGUCCUUCCCGAGCCAAGUAGUGAGUCGGCCUAUUCUUCUUGUCCUGCUGGAGCUCAAGCAAAGUACUCUCGUGAAAUACCUGUUCCAAUUCUAGGAUCUGGUAAGGAAGCAGAAUCAAGAAAGUAGACAUCAACGAGAUCAUAUCAUAAUAUAGACUAUUGGCACCACUAUCCCAAACGAUCUAUCUAAUCUUAACUGCUUACAGAAACUAGAAACUUGAAGAAGAAGAUAAUAUCACGUUCCACAUACAUAUGGAAUGAAGUAAAAACACCUCAAUGCUAUCCUUUUGCUUCCAUACUAUAUUACAAGACUGCUAUCCUUUUCUCUUUUUCACUCUAUAAUGUUCUAAUAUUUCUCAGAUACGGAUCCUGUUUCAUAUAAUACUCCUGAUUCUUUACCUAUUUCUAUACUAGACUCCCUUUCCUUUCCCUUUGAUUUUGGCUACUUGACCUCUCCUUGAAGUUCAGAAUUCAUUGAAUCUUUCCGAGUCGUUUAACCUAUGCCCAUGUUUAAGGACUGGGGGCGUAAGAAGGUCGGGCAAUUCUCUAAGUCAGGCAAUCGAUUUCUUUUCAUAUGAUUAAAGUAGAACAGAAAGCCAAUGGAACAGCUCAAUCCUCUGUCUAAUUACCAAGUUGUUCUAUACUUGACUAAACUAGCUUCUUUCGAACAGCUUCUUCAGUAGGGAAAGCUAUGACCACCUUGAUUACCUGCUGACUUUCGAAUGGAAUCUUUGACUUGCGCUAACGGAGUGUAGUCGGCCAACACUGAUUCAUUAUCAGGUCGACAAACUGAUGAAACUAUACCACAAGGAGCAGAUCUCGCAUCUGAUCUUACAACAUAAAGAAACUAGUCUACAACACUUGUGGAAUGUCAUUGCCUCUCAAGAACUGGAAUGGUAGCUUCAGAUCCUUUACUCUCUUCUGCUAACUCGAAAUCAGGUGUUGUAAUAAGUUCAUCUUAUGAAUGGAGUGUACCUAGUAUAGACCCAUGGAGCGGUAACAACACAUCUGACUUUAGGGAAAACUUAUAGACCUACGGUAGGAUACGGAGUUGAGAGAAUUCGCUGUAGAAAGUAAGUAAGGCACGGCACUCGAAAGAUUCAAUCCAAUCCUUUGCUCGAACUCAAUUUCUCCUCUUAAUACAACAGAUUCAGUUGUUCCUACUCCUUCUAUUGUUCUAGCCUCUGAUCAAGUAUCUUCUCCAUUCUCUUGUUCGCACAGAGAAUCUAGUUUAUUUACCUACUCCGGGGACAGUCUCUCCAUCUUCUCUAAGCCAAGACCGGAACUCAUAUUUGUGGUUUUCCAUUCUUCAAUUCCAGGUAUCAAACGGAAUUCUUAAAGGCAGAAGGAGCACACGGUUGGUUUAGAGCCCAAGAACACACGGUUGGUUAAGAGCCCGUGGUGGAUUACCUCAUUAUAUAAAACAUGGCUAAGUCCUAUCAUUCUGAAAUUGCGUACUGCGCUAAGUAAACUAGAUUCUGCAAUUCAAACGGAAAGAACACUUGGUUAGUUACCCGGUUCUAUGAGAUCCCUCUGGCUAAUUAUUCCCGGACUGGGUGUUGAGUAAGUACAUUCGAAAUCGUACCCUAGCGCUUCAAAGCCAGAGUACUAUCCUUGCCUUGCACCCUCACUCAUUCACUCCCCGCUUCUGACCAAUACCCAGCUUAGAAUUCUUUACCAACUUAAUAUCCCGGUCUCGCUCUUGGAACUGUGCAUCCUCACCGGAUUCUGUUGUCGGUGUACACUUCCCUGCUCCUUUACCUGCCUCCAAUCCUUCCUACCCUUACCUUCAUUCUGAAACUAGACCUUCCCAUAUAAGAGAAAGGUUCCGGGUUAAAUCACUUAUAUAAGAGAAGGUUCCGGGUUCAAUCACGUAUAUAAGAGGUUCAAUCACUUAUAUGUUUGGUUUCCAUUCAAUUAGUUCUCUGUCAUCUCUUGGUUGAUCCCUUGCAAAUAAGACGGAAUUUCAUCUAGUGUGUUUCUACGUUCCAACUGUUUCUUUUCCUGACUUAGAGUAAAUCCAACCCUAUACUCUCGCAUUCAAAACAAUAACUACGCUGACAACAAGGAAUUAGGAAACGGAAAUCAAGAUAGUAAAGUAGGAUUUUCAGAAUGGAAUUGAGGAGCAAUAACAAGAUCCGGAGUUGUAGUUAAGUAUCCAAGAUAACAUACAAGAAUAAGUGUAUUUCCAGAAUUCUAUACUAUAUCCCUUUGGCUCAAUAAGAGAGAUAUUAAUGGAAAUGAAACAAUCAACGGAACCAGCAAGCUCAAGCGCAUCUGUACUGAAGCUUAAUACUUGUUCUGGGCACGGCAAAGCGGGACAAUCCGAAAGUGUUGGCGACUCGAAUCCCAGUUCUGUAAAUGGAAUUGAGGCAUCCAUCCCUACUAGGUUGAUAAGUUAAGCACCGAACCUUUACUUCGCAACGUUACGUUUCUAUACAACACACACUGCAUCCCUUUCUUUUGUCGACUUCUCCUGCAUAAGUAGUAUCAAUCCCUUUCUUUUGUCGACUUCUCCUUCAUAAGUAGUUUCAACAGAAUAAAAAGAAACUAGAUAAGGAUAAAAGGCUUUAGCAUAAGAAGAAGCUUUAUCCGGAUAAAGAGGCUUGAGCAAGUAGUUAUUCCGUUUCUGCGCUCGAUGAUACAUUCCAUUCAUUCUUUUUGUUGCGGGAAGGAACUAAAGGUGGAGUUCGGGAAGGGAGUUGAUAGUUUACAGAAAAGCUAAUAAACAAGUAGUAGAUCCAAAGAAAGCAAGAGAUGAGUCAAGUAAGUCGUCAGCAAAAGAUCUGGAUCAUAAGCCAUUACUAGUUUUCCUGGCGCUAGUUCAAGUCCAGUUUUCUCCUUGGUUCACGAAAAAAAGAGAAGUGGACCUGAGCCCGCGAUAGCAAGAGGAACCAUAGACUAAAGAGAAUAGAAAUGAGUCAAUGAAGACUUUCUUUAGGACUGAAGCCGAUCCUUUAGUAGAUGCCACAGUCACGUCAACUCAAGUAAGCGUUAGCGCCUGCAUACUCACUUCACUUCACUUUACUUUUCUCUUGCUUGCCACAAUCCUUUCCAUUAUAAAGGAAGACCAACCAAGACUGACUUGGGAAGACUAACCAAGACUGACUUGCAGGGACUAAUUCCUCGCUUGCAACUACUUUAAUAGAGACUAUAUCUAUGACACCUUAUUCAUUAUAUACUAUAUCUAUGUUAUUCAUUAAUUACUUUAUCUAUGACUCUAUGACACCUUAUUCAUUAAUAGAGACUAUAUCUAUGACACCAGAAGGGCAGGGAACAUACCAUACCAAUAACAUACUAUACUCUACGGUCGGCAAUAACAUACUAUACUCUACGGUCGGCUAGGAAUGAGGAAGCCGUCAAAGCCCCUCGACACCCAUAUAGGGAGAAUUGAGCAUCAAGAAAAGCACGAGAUUGAUGAUCCAAAAGAAACUAACAACACUUUGGAUUUCAAGAAGGAGCAGCUAGUAGUCCUUCCUUAUCAUUCUUCAUAACUUAGACUCUCAUAUAUGACCGAUGAAGGGCUGAAAAGGAUGUUUCAAUCGAAGCUUCUUGGGUAGGAUCUUUGCGCCAGAUAGUGGGGAGUUUCCUUCUCUCUGUCCCUAUACCCGAAUCGUACCUAUUCCAUUGGUUACCCGAAUCGUACCUAUUCCAUUGGUCAAGGGCUAGCUCCCCUUUCUCUUCCCCAAUUUAGCAGAAUGAGUAGGAGCUGUGCUUUUACGCGAUAAAGAAAGACGAACACUUGUGGCUUUUACCCUUGGCCCAACAAACUAAUGCAGUAAAUGAGCCGAUCAAUGAUUGCGCGAGGGAAGAUAGGGGUUGGGGAAAGACAAGAGAACUAAUUGAUGAAACCUACUCUCCAGGACAACUUCUUGCGGCGCUUUUCUACUUAUAUCAUAAUAGACGGGUUUAACCAUACAUACGAGCACUGGCUGGGAAUGCCACUACUGGGAUUUAUACGAAGGCAGGUGGGAAUGGGCCUGUAGAUCCAAAAAGAAAGAUGUAAACCCUAUUUAUUGCAAAGAUAGUAAGAUAACACUGCUGACAUAUUAAAUAAAGUAACAAAACAGCUUCAAGUUUUCUGACAUAUCACUUUCAUCACUCAUAUCGGUCUCUGUUGUUUGAGGGAAGAAUGGUCUUACUCAAAGGUUCUGCCUGCUCAGUUUGCUGUCUUUACUAAUAGCUCCGAUAGAAUCUCUUUUUGCGGUGAUUAGACUAGAUCAGUAAGAAAAUGGUAUCCAAACCUGUAAAUGGCUAUCUUAUUCUUCAUGGCACCCUUGUGUAUUGACAUGAGGAGUGCCUUUUCUCGAGAUUGUUGGCAUCCAAUUGUAAUCACAUCUCAUGGUGAAAGAGAAGGGAACGAGACUCAGGGCGGUCACCCACCUGUAAGAUAUAAGAAAAUGCUAUUCCAACCCACCAGGAGGAGAGAGAUUAGCUAGUUGCAAGAGGAGAUGCGAGAGAAUAUACAGUGCUUGUCAAGUCUAAGUUCGGUGCUUGGCUUGCUUUAUGUUAAGGGUAGUUUAGUUCGGCUCUUCAAGGGGAGUAUCUUAGUUUGCUGGUUUUCCCUUGCCUUAAGCUUGUUCCGUUGUUUGUUGCCUUCACAGAGCAGAGACCUUAAGACGAGACUAAAGGCUUUUGGCUUAACCGAGUUAUGGUAGGUAACACCUUUGCAUGCUUGGUUUGACCGAGUCGUGAGUUGGUUCAAGGAUCAAGUUGGCAAUUCCGUUUGUUUUGUCUUGCUUGUGUCCAAGUGUCAUAAAGUGGAGUUCCAGCAUUGGCUUGACCGAGUAAAGAAAGAGUCAACAGUGAGAUUACCGCGUACGCUACGUGGAGUAAUAGAUGGAAUAAGUGAGUUUUAGUUCUUAUAUAUGUGAUCUAUGUGAGUGAAAUGCUUUUAAACAAGUUAAGGUCCAAUAAUAGUAUAGGACUUUCAAGCAAGGGUAGCAAGUCAAGUGUGUUUUCGUAUCGGCAUUAUAAGGAGUGCAAGUCAAGUGUGUUUGGGGGAUCUGAAUCCGUAUUUGUUGAAGAGAAUGAAGAAGCUGUUCCGCCUUCCAGUUUUGUGUUUGAGUUGAAAGCUUACGCGAGUUCUGCGCACCCAUAAUCUAUAUAGUAUGAUUUCGUUCCGGCUAUCCGAACUACCUUAACAGAGACAAUAGCUUGUUCCCCUUAUACUCCCAACGCAGUUAGUGCUGAUAUAUGAGUGGAACUCACACCCCGUCCACGCCCGAACCUUACCUUAAUGAGAGAAUAAGUGGCCUUAGUGAUGCUUGUGCGAAUCUAAUUGUAUAUGGAAGCCGAGAAUCAACAGUCGAAAGGUGUUACACGGAGCGGUUAAGGUCAUAAUCAAUUCCUUCUGAUGAAGCUAAUGCAGAGAAAGGAACGAAUAGGCUCUGUUGCCCACCGAAAGUAGAGUUCACCUUCCAAAUCAAAGAAGUAAUAAUAUGACUAACAAAAGUCAAAGGUCAAAUCACGUAUUGGUGCUUGGUAUGCGAGUUAAGUAUUGGUGCUUUCACUGGACCACAUAAAGGUUAGUCGAAAGUAAGGGUAUAAAGCUUUAAAGGUUGAGUAUGGAGGAGAGUUUAUAUAGAAUGUCUUUGGGAAUACCUCAAUCAUUAUUCUUUUCUUCAAGUAUGGAGGGUUCGAGGAAAGGAAACUUCAGCUCGACAAAAAGAGAGGAAAGGAAAGUUGUAAAGAUCAGUUUCAAGAUCUUCUGCUGUAUAGAUUCGGCUUGCUUCGUAAACAAGGGGAGUGAAAGUUAUAGUUUCAGAAGCAGCAUCUGAGGCAGGAUAAUCCGCUGUAGAAAGUAAGUCAUCAAACGAUUCUUCAAGUAUAGUUUUGUAUCAGCAGCAAGCGGUAGACCAGACCAGGCAAUUCCAUCAGUGUCUUGUUAACCUUUUGAAUGCCCACGUAGCUUGGCGCAAGGUUUAGUAUCAAGUAAGCUGCAUAGACUGGAUAUGAGGCUGGCUAAAGUGAGUUACAAAGAAAGUAUAGUUAAGGUAAAAAGCUGGAUCAGGUGUUUAAGCGGGAAGGAAGUUCGUUUUCUUUUCAAUUCCUCUCUUAUAUGACAUGGAGUCGAAUCCCAAUCUUCAACUUUACCCUUUUCACUCAGACAGGAGUACCGAUACUGACUUCAAGUAUUCCUAUCUAAACUAAAGAAUAUAAGUUUACUGGUAGACGGGAAAGACAGAGAUGGGUUUACAGCCCAGCCCGCUAACUAAGUUAAGUACUCUCCAUCAGGUGUUCAAACCGUUGCUAAGUAUUAGCUUGUCCCGAUUCUUGCUCUAGUACUGUUGCUUGCCCAGCGGCUAAAGGAUCCGAAUCCGUGGUGAAAUAAUGAAAAAGUGCUAGUGGUAGGUCGGAACCAAGCAAAGACAGGCUAAAGAGAUGGUAAAGCAAGGUCCUUUUCCGCAGUGAAAGUAUUAGCCGGCAGUAGUCAAUUCAUAGUUUUGAGCUACAGCCCCGUUAGCAGCAGUUCGGGUGCGAGAAGCACCGGUGCUAUUCCUGUCCGCGCCAGUGCAAUUAUGAUUAGCUUUAGGUCUAGUCUUUCUUUUUCUGUCCAGGUGUUAGAGUUAUGUCCGGGAUCCCUACCUUAUAGCUCGAUCCCUUAUUUCUACUUUGAUUAUGUUACUAAUGAGUUGGAUUCCUACUUAUGAGGUUGUCUCUGACUUUCCCACUCCUGAGUGCAAUUCUAACUAGUCUCAUUCCGACUUCCCUUGCCUCUGAGUUGCUUCCUGAGUCUACUUAGUUUCAUUCUGAUCUCUAACUUGGGAACUAUGGGGAGUUAACUCUACGACUAAAGGCUCGGCUCCAGGUGGUAUUGGUUUAAGUCUUGAUAGUAGUAGUUCUAUUCUGUUACUGACUAGUUCAAUUCUGACCUUUCCUACUAGCUCAACCGAGGUUCAUUCUUGGUGCAAAAGGGUUUGAAGUCUGAAGUAGUACCCUAAUAGGCAGGGACGGUGGAGCAAGUCAAGGGAAUCGGUAGGCUUGGUAUUAGUCUUGAAGUUAGUGCUUUCAUUCAGGCUUAGUAGCUGUUGUUGAAGCCUUUGCCCUAGUGGGUUGGUUCUUAGUAGCUGCUGUCUCAGCAAUUAUAAUAAGGUUGGUGUGAGUUGAAGGCUCGCUCUCUCUUGUUUGAGUCUAUCCCUCCUUAGCUGCAGGCUUGGAAGCGGUGUUUGAAGUCUUGCUGGCACUAGUGGAAGGCUUGCACCGGUCAGCUUCAUUCUCUAACUCCUUAGCUACAGCCUGUAACUCCCUGGGUUAAGUCUUGAUAGCAGUGGUGGAAUUCUUAGACACCCGAGUAGAAUCCUAAAUGUAAUCCUUAAUAAGAAGAGAUAGAAUUUAGUAGUUAAUUAGUAGAGAUCAGAGCCACACAAUUAUAUCUUUUGAUCAUUGCUUAACACAAGCACUAGACCUAGCGCACAUCUCCCUGAAUUCUGACUUUCCCUUAAGGGCAUGCUAUAUAAAUACGGGUGGAAUUGACACCCCGACCCGUAAUCCUUAGUUUGAGCACCCUAGCACUAAAGUGAUCUUUCCACUCUACCACACAGAUAAGUACUGCCGCUAGUGCCACUUAACUAUUUGCUCCUCUCUUGCUUCUUUUGUAACACCAGAUAGAUGGUUGCUUGGCCCGGACUCAUGUAUUGGUAUUAUAACACCUUAAGAUGUGAGUCAGUUGUUCUUUAGUUCCCGGUGCCCAAGUAGAAGAAUGAGGCUGUUGAAAGAUCCCCUCUUACUAACGCUAUACAUUAGUGGUCGACCAGAGAAGAAAGAGCAUCCGCAGUUUCAAGGUAUAGUUAUAGUGUUGGCGACUCGGAACCCUAAUGCUUUUUGCACCCUAUUCUUAAUUGAGCCUCUUUUCCAGUGUGACUUCCACCGCUCAACCUCUGCUUCCUGCUAAAGACUAAAGGAAUAUCAGCUUCACUCGGUUCUUAAAGUCUUGUUUGUUGAGAUUGAGGUUCUUCUUCACCGACACAAUCACUUCUCUACUUUAUACUUCUGGAAUAAGAUUUCAAAACAUAGGGAAUGUCCUCAGAAUUAAUUGAAUCUUUUGAUCCGCGAGGCAAGACUGAAUUUGGAACUCCUUUAGCCGACGCCGAGUCAACAACUUCUGUUAGCGCCUCAAAGCCUGUAGCUUAAGAUUCUUAUAGCAUUGGUUACUGGGUUGGUAAAGAGCACAGGGUUCCUAACGCGCCCCACCCCAAGAGGAAGGAUAGGUCGGGGUUGUCAGUUCAUCAAAUCCAGUUCUGGUAUAGAUUGCUGAGUUGCGGUAAACCAUUGAUUUGAAGCUGUUCUCAAGUCAGCUGCUGUGAGAUGUGAGAGUUGCAGACCGGAGAAGGAUAUUCAUAAGAAACAGGAACCAGAGGCAGAAGCUAAGAAUACAGAAAAAGCCAAGCGUAUACUAGUGGAAUUAGUUUCAUCCCCAUAUUCCCUUGUUUCAUCCCUUGUGUCAGUUGCCAGAGGAACAGAAAUGGGUAAGCUUAUGAAUUGCCAGUUUACAGUUUCAUCUUAUUAUAAAGAAAAGUCUCAAGCAGUAGCGGAAUGAAGUAUCUGAGGCUGUAUCCAAAUCCUUAUUUGUAUCAGAAUACGAAGCGGAAUCGGCUGUGGAAGUAGUUCUGGCAUUGUCUUAGUUCUGGCAUUGUCUUAUUAUAGGUUCAAUAUUUCCUUUCCCCGGUGAACUCACAUAUGUAAGCCAGUGAAAACAGGACAGUACUUGAGCCAAGGAUCGGAUACAGAUGAACUUAGCGCUUCAACUUCCUACAAGUCCUUUGUUUAGCAAGCGGGUAUCUCGGGUUCAAGUAAGCUGUUAGAGCGGAUACAGCAGUAGAUGAUUCAAAAUACCAGAAGAGAGGCAAGUCACUGUAGUAGUAGCAGUUAGAGCAGUUGCAAUAAAGAAAGGUGUAUUGUUGGGUUCUUGUUUUCCUGCGUAACACGGGUGGAUAUCCCUCUUCUUUUCUCCUACUCUAGAUACGGAUACAGCAACUGAUCCUUCAACUGAAACUACCUAUUCUCUCGUCGAUUCAUUUAUAUAGCAAUAGCACAGGUGGGAUACCGCAAGGACAGAAAGAUACUCGUCUCCAACAACAAGAACAAGAGCUGGACUCCUACUACUGGGCAGCUACUACCCGGCUUGGCACUGCUUCCAUUGGACUCCUACUACUGGGCUGCUACUACCAGGUCGAUCAUAGGAUUAUGUUUAGAUCCAUAGCACUUAAUAUAGGAUUAUGUUUAUAAAGACACUCGCAACGAAUACACUCGGUAUUCCACAAUAACAGAAACAUCAUUUCUAACAGAAACAUCAUUUACUGAUCUAGCAUCUAAUCUUUAUUCGACUCCUGCAGAAAUACAAUCAACAGGCAAUUGAAUUGGGCCAGCGGGAUUACACUUGAACUCGAGUAGCAUGUCGUCCGCCCUUACCUUACCUGUAAACCUGGACUACCACUAGUUGGGGCUGGAAACCCGGACUUCUCCUCUUGCUCCUAGUAGUAGCUUUCCGGCUUGGCUCUUACUUGAAACUAACACUCCUGGCUCGGCUCCUGUACAUAAGGUAGGAAUUCUCCGAUCAUAAGAUCUAGUACAGAAGAAUAAGGGAUCUACUAAUAAGAUACUAAAACUAAGGGACCUGUCUGAAACUAACACUCUCAACGGGGGAUCUAACUGCCUAACUAUACGGCUGCGACUACUGAUUCUAAGACAACAACCAGUGCUGGAAAGAAUGACUCUAUUGAAGCAUACUUCCAUUGGAAACUCGGAACCAACUACUAGCUAGUAGGAUCGAACUGUUGCUUCUCGGGCUGCCCUUACUCGCUUCAACUCUAGCUAUCCAUUCUUUGACUUACUUAUUCCAUUAUGUACUCCUACAUAGAGAUACUGGGCUCCUUUACGGAGUAGAGUUCUUGCUUGUGAGUUUUUGUAUCGUACUCCCGGGGUUCAAACAACAUCCCUGCCUCUUAUCCUACUAUUGAAGGACUCGAUGCAGUCUUUUACUUACUUCUCCGAUUCUCCAAAUGCUGGCUAUUAACCUGAUAGGUUCCCCAAUAAGCUUCUAUUCUUUAGCUUCAAUAUCAACAUCAACCUGGCUCUAACUCCUCCGCUACUUAUUCUCAAACUCACUACCUUGCGCUUCAGUCUAUAACCCAGUACUAGUGCUUCUAUAUAGCUACUUCAGACUGAAACAAGUGGUAUCAAGACCAACAACCCUAGUCACUUCCUUCAUAACUACUAACUGCCUUCCUCGCCUAGUAACAGACUUCAUAACUAGUAGUGGGCUUCGGGGAGUCGAUAGGCUUCCUAACAACUAACUGACCUAGCCCAGUAACUGAAUGAAACAACAAUCCCUAGUAUAGGAAUGCAACCAGCCUCCCCUAGCCUUCAUUUCCUUCUUCUCAACCUAUACCUAUUGUUUCAUCCUAUUAUAAAGAAAGAAUAUCAUAGUAUACAUAGGCAAAGAGUGACUUAUACUUAGAGGAGUUGUGUUAAGACUUCAUAGCUCAAUACUCUUAUUAUGUUUUAUACCUGAAUUCGGCUCCUCGCCAGUACUUUACUCUGCCCCGACCUAUCUCCGACAAAGAAAGUACUUAUUCUAUUGAUUUACUAAAUGCUAUACUACUCGUGAUAAGAGAUAUAUUCCAAUUCUGAACUGAAAGUCUAUACGAUUGAAGGCAGAAUCAAAUCGAAAAGAAGCUGCCCGCUCACUAUAGCCCUCCGCUCCAACUCCCAGGUAGCCUAAUUCAGUAUCAACGUCAGUAUCAUCUCAUUCUUUACUAACAGGAGCUCGAACCACAAGUGAAAUUCCCUUAGUUUCAAUUCCACAAGCAGGAGAAGUCCAGUCGACAAAAGAUGGAGCUGGAUCAAGAUCAAGUUAGUCAGCAGUGUUAGAGCCUGUUGAGUUAGGAGUGAGCGGUUCCUCGAACACUAGUGGCCCUGCCGCCCUUAAUGCAGGACUCCCGAAGAAAGGUUAACUCUGGAUGCGGUUAUAUCGUAUUUCUUAUUCAUUCCCUAUUCAUUCUAGUUAAUAAUGUCUUUCUUACUUGCUUUGAUAUGAGGUGUACAAAACCCUCUGUUCGCCUAGUGCUUGUUGGGAAAGUUGACUGCCGCGUAACUAGAACUCGCUGACGCACUUGUUCUUGCGGAACUCCCGUUAGCACAAGUAAAAGAUGCAAAUGCUAUAAGGUAUAUCAAAAGUCAUAUUACUUCUCUAAUGGACUAUAGACCUAUAUUAUCUAAUAUACAAUAGGCGUAGCGCAAGUCCAGAAUCAACAGUUGCUUGUUUGGUGCUAGUUUCUUUAAUCCUAUCAUCCUAUAAGAGGUAUGGGGGUGAAGCAGGGAGAGGUGCGAUAUCUCGGUGUUGCAGUAAGUUCAUAGUCUUCUAGUCCCGCUCUAGCAAGCAAAGUGAGUUCUUGUUGUACGGUUGACUUUCUUGUCGGUUCAGUUCUGCAAGUGGAGUUUGCUUUAGGAAAGUUCGUUUGUGUGCGAGUCGAGUAUCACGGUGUUGUAUCAAGCAAGUGUCUACUAGUAGCUCUCAUAUCGCCCAAAGUGUCUUCACCUAUAAACCCAACAAGUAACCACUAGACAAGUCACUUGUUACGCGUCAUCGAGUUACCUGUUACGCGUUAUAAAAGUUUCAUCAUAUGUAAGAAGAAGAUCUCGGAUCAACUGCAGAAGUCAAGUAUAAAGAAUCAUAAAUAGAAAGUUCGUCAGCAGCAAGCGCUAAGUCAAGAAGAAGCAAGUAACUGUAAUCAAACAAAGAGAGGCGAUAAAGAAGGAGGUAAUCAAACAUAUAGGUAGCUGAACCAGCAACAGAACUGGAUCAAGCAACAAGACUCAGUGCUAAUGUUCCAUUUCCAUUCAUGUUUUCCUCUGCGCUCGAUGUCAAGUCAGUGCCGAUUUCGGGUGCACCAUCUUACAACUAUUUCUUAUUAGAGUAACAAAGGGAAAGCCUAUAUACAGAACAGGAACACGGAUCGGAUUCCACUCAUACAUAAGUCAGAAUGGGAUCUCUCUUGCACACUGAUAGAGGGAUGUCAUAACCAAACUGUUUCUUCCGUUGUUUGUAGAAUGGAAGAAAAGAAUGGAACUGACACGUAAAAGGGAAUAGGAUAGGGUAUGGUCUCGUAUAGAAAGCUUGUAAUAAGGGAAUCCGAGUUAUAGGCCUUUCUUGGGACUUACCCGCUUCGCUUCCUUUAGCCUCUAAUUCGAUAUAAGAUUGAAGUUAAGGUGAAACACCAACCUCUAUAGGAUUCAAGUUGCAAAGAGCUGAACCCCUAUUAGACGUAAAGCCAACAAACACGGAUUCAACAAUCACAGUCAAUUCAUAAGCUCACUUUUGAACGGCUUCAUAUCUUUCUUCCUCACUAAGCAUCUAAUCUUGUUUGCCAACACAGAUUCCACUCGGGAUGCUAAGGGCUAACAUGUGGUAGAGUCAAGUCACUAGAGUCAAGUCACAAGUAUUUCUAUACAAUAUGCUACUAAAAAGCGACUCGCGAUGAAACAGAUGAAACACCCCAACCGCCUCCGGACUCUUUUCUUUAACCUAACUAGAAUAAGGUACUCUGGCUUUGAAGCGCUAAGUGGUCAAUGUUUCUUUGGGUGCUUCUUAAACUGGAGCGAGAAAGUAAGGUGUUUAGGUCAGAUCAUCGCUGGUCACAUAGUCGCCCGAGGUAUUAUAUCAGAUAGUUGCCAUAGUCGCCACCAAGUAUAAGAAAUAACAUCUGAAUUCUCUCUUCUCUGACAUGCCUAGCUCCCUCUUUUUUGUCGGUAGGGAGAAUCAGUGCCCUUACUGGGUUAGUUACAGGGUUCAAUGAAUUGUAGCCCGAGUGAAAAUAGCCAUAGGUAGAUUAGAGUCCAGGUCCAGGCACAGGCCCAACAACAACAAGAUCUGAAGCCGGGGAAGACCUUUAGCUAUCGGGCGUAAGGCAGCUAGGCACUACUAAUCUCUGGAAACACAGAUCUUUCAGCAGCAAGUGGUGAUGUUUUCGUAAUAACUCUUAUUGGCUGCCGUUUUUCAGCUCGCUGACGCUCUUUUAACUCGCUACCGUUUAGCUCAGGCUCCUACCGCACAACGUCCGAGCACAGAUACUGUAAUAACUUCGUUAUGACUUCUGACUAUUGCUGACGCACAACAUUAGCAGUUGUUUGUCCCGUUGCUUGGUCAUUAGUAGUUGCUUGGUCGAACACAUAACUAGUAAUAACUGGGGAACUCUAGCGGCCCUGCCGCGCAACAUUAGUAGUUGCUUGGCCCUAUUGUUGUUACUGCCGCACAACGGCGUAGCCGUUGCUUGGCGUCUAGUCUAAGCUUGGCCCCCAACAAGCAAUGGGAGAGAGGCGAGAAAAGAAGCAAGCUACGUUCGAGUUAAGUCCAUUAGAUCAUCAGUAGUUUCAAGAUCAUAAGCAGUGGGGUAUUUCGGAAACAACUAUCAAUCUGGUCUUCAAGCCUUCAACUAGAAAUCCGCUUUCUCUUGCCUUUACUCGGACAAGGGGUCGGGGUUUCUAUUGCCUAUAAAACAGUGUAGCUCCCCCGCUCCCUUAUGAUGACUUUAGAAUCGACAGAAGCACAAGAUCGGAAGAAACGGAAUCAGGGUAUUGAGCUAGGCAUGCUAGAUCUACUAGGUAACUUCCCUCCCCUUUUGCCGACCUAACGGCUUCUUCUCUUGAUUCUACUCCUGCAGAAAUACAAUUAACAGGCGCAGGACUUACUCAUAACCGCCGGACUUAACCGGAGUUUGCUUGAGAAUUAUGGCUUGAGGUAUGGGAUAAGAGGAGAGAGAGGCUUUGUUGCGAGGUGUGGUCCACAGAAUAGAGUUUUCUACUUAAAGAAUCGAUUGUAGCUGACUUUAUCACUCUCACUGGAACACCGGAUUUAGAGUGGAAUACCGAGUUUCGUCUUCAAGUCCUGUGUUCGCCUUCCUCAUCAGUACAAGAAUCCAUACUUUAUUAAACGCACACAGGUAAGGGGCGGGCCUUAGCUCGCUUGCUUAUUGACUUUCGAGCAGAGGAAUAAGAAUAAGGGAAUAUAGAAUCCGACUACUGCUUUUCCUCCUUUAACUUAGAACUUUGACUUCACUACUGGUAGCUAACUCUUGCUUGACUUUCUUUUGAAACUUAUACUGAUGCUAAUAAUAAUUGAGCUACUACUGGCAAGGACCGAACAGGUGCUAUGAUAGAACCCAACUGCUGGUAACAAGAAUUGAUUACUACCUACUAAGACUUUCAUCACUGUUAGCAAGGCUUUCACAACAAAUAGGGAAGUUACACUCACCCUGACUUUCCGUUUAUAGCUGCUGAACCGGCUCUCAACACCGUAUCCAUGCUUUGAUUCUAACUAUCCUGAUUGACUCUUGCUUUGAGUCUACAUAUCCCCUGCACCUAAUUCUCUGACUUGCUAGGGGGCUGAUCUGCAACUUCGCCUACACCCUAUUAGUAAGUCCGCCUUUCCUGUAACUCAGACUUCCCUUACUGUAUACUUACCUUACUGUAUAUAAGGCUUACUAUCCAACCGAACGAACUAAGUCUCACUUUCCUAGCUAACAAACUCAAACUACCGAUCUGGUUUCUUCUGUUAUACUAGUACAGUCCACCCUACCUCUGACUUUACUGAGACCUAUGAGCCUUCCACCUGGUCUUUCAAUCCAUAUCUCCUUGAUCUCCGCCUGCCCACUCCUUGUACGGGUAAUAAGAAUCAGAAUAGUACUUAAUAGGAAGGUAAUAAGAAUAUAGGAAGGUAAUAAGAAUCAGAAUAGUACUCAAUUGGAAGGUAAUAAGAAUCAGAAUAGUACCUAAUAGGUGAGUAUCCGAAUAGCAAUAAGAGUAUAGGAAGUUCACUACAGGUAACAAGGGUCGAUGUAAUUGAGCUACUGAUAAUGCCCGUAAGUAGAAAACUGCUGAUCUAGCAUCCGGUAACCAAUCAGAAUUACCUCCAGGAGUGCAAGAACCAAACCAGUGCUAACAAGAAUGUAACUCACUAGUCCAAGCCUGAAAGCACUAAAGAUAGGGCUCGCGGGUAUAGCACUAAGAAUUGCACUCAGCUAACUCAGGCUCAUCUAAUCUACUUAUUGCUCCUAUCGACUACUACUUUGCCUCACUCCUACAGUUGCUACUAUCUCCUCGCUUCCUCGCCUGUAGACUCCACUCUCACUGCAGACUGCUUUCCUGGCACAUAGUUUUGACUAACAAUUCUAUUUUGGGUAGGAUAGCUCUAUAGUAGUUGGCAUUAACUUGUCCGGUGAAGGGUAAGCAAAAGGGGGGUUGGUUUCUAGCGCGGUGUGUACUUUCAUUGUCUACAAGUUCUGUUAUAGGCUUGACGUCUAUGAAGGAUGGGUUUAAAGCCCCCCGAGUCUGUUGGUAGUUUCUUUAGUGGUGGAUCAAUUCGUUCUUCAGCAGUAAGCAAAGCAGUGUCAUCGUAUCCUGUUGGUUAAGUAUAAAGUGAUCUCCACGAUAGAUAGUCUCUUUCUUUGUUUUCUAAUUCCUUGCUUUGACUACUAAUCAUUACAGCCUUAACCGAGCGCAGAGUUGUUUCAACUCCCGGUAUAAGCUGCUCCAUUAUACACUAUGUUCUGUGUGAAGUUACUAGCCCCCUCUUAUUCUAACUGACUAAUGCCUUUACGCUAAAGAAGCUUAUUUGACUUGUGCCUUAGCGAGCGAAUGUAUUUGACUACUACUACUAUUCCACUCACUUGUUGAAAAGAGUGAAAGAAUAGAGGAUAGACCCGUUACUUUGAAAAAGGAGUGCCAAAAAAGAAGACAAUAAAAUCAGAUAGGUCCGUAGCUUUGAAAGGAGUGCAAGAAUAGAGGAUGGGCCCCUUGAAACUAAUAGAAUAGAGCUACCCACUACAUAUGUAAUAUCGUUCGUAAAAGCAAUUAUUCCAUGCUAUGCCAUUCGAGGACCCUUUUCCUACUCCUAACCUAAUAAGUGAAAUCGACCUACAUUUGCAUUUUCCCGAAAAUGAAGGCAUAGAUUUGCUUUCUUUCCUUCCCCAGUGAUCCUUCCUUUACCUUUAAGAAUGGAGUUUCAGUAUUGCCAGUUGCCUGAGUUCGGGAAGUAUAGUCAAUAAGAUGUAUAGAUUGCUGAGUUGAAGACCGCAUAGUUAUAUAGUAUAGUUAUCAUAUGAGCUAUUGGAUAAGAAACCCUAUCAAAUAAAGGGGUUGGUGCAAAGUUAAUGUCUACUCGAUCAGAGGUUGGAAAAGAAAGGUUCACUCUGGUAUGCCUGCUUGGCCUGUAUGCCCGGGAUGCCUGCUUGGCCCCUACUAAAGGAUAUCUUCUCUUCAAUUUCCUGUUCUUGCUACUUAAUAUAAGGGCAACUAACCACUCCUUUGACUUUUGUCUGCUUGUCCGGCAGGGAAGGAGACUCUCCCAUUAAUAAGUAAGAUAAAAGCUUGUUACCCGCCUAGGUAUUCUAGAGCUAGAGCACCCACCCUCGCUACUUUAUAUUACAAUUGAACUAAGUCGCCUUAGAGAGUUAUAGGCUUUCCUCGCCAUAAAUAAGUGUAUAGGCUUUUAAGCUGGAAGGAAUGUACUGGUCGGGAAGAUACUUGUUCUCGAAAGAAAAGAAUCGAAUUAGUUGACAGCAGGGCUUUCAGGCGGGAAAGGUAGAGUGCAAGAGGCGAGUAGGCAUCCGAUGUUAGUAUUACAAGAAAGAAAGUGAGGGUGCUUGGUCCGCUAGGUUUAGUUCAAUAGGGUAGUGUUUUUGUCUUGUUAAUCCUUAGUGGGUUUCCCUAUUUCUUGUUUAAGUGCGAGAAGCAGUAAAGUGAAGCCUAUGAGCAGGGUAGGACGUCUUUGAGUAAGCAGUAACAGUAUUCGAAGCAGCGGUCUCAGGUUCAGAACAAGGGGGUCAGUUCAGAGGAUAAGUCUUGUCGGGCACUAAGUUCAGUUAGCACCGGUUCAUUUCGAAAAGUCGUAUUUUAUAGCCAGGAAAGGUAUACUAAAACAAACAAGCAAGAAUCAAGGUAAGAAGUAGAAGACUCCGAAGUGAAAUGCAUAACGCAAGAAAAAGGGCAGGGCUAGGUUCCGAGUUGAGAUCUUGUAGUUGUAGUAGAAUCUCUAGUUCCCAGUUAAAGGAUUCAAAGCAGUAGUUCUUUUCUUUGUAGCAGUGUGUUUCUAUUCUCUUUUCUAUACAGUUGUACUCCUUAAGAUAGUAGCGCGUAUCGGGGACAUAUGGGUGAACUGCGGAAUGCAAGUAACCUGUAUAGGAUAGAAUGUCGGGAAGCAAAGAGAAAAGGCAAAGGGAUAUCUGAUUUCAUUCAAGUAGGGAUAGACUAACAGGUGUGUCCAGAGAGAAUGAAACCCUGCAGAGAUAGAUUGAUAGCCAGUAAGGUAAGCCUAUGAGUGGGGAAUGGCAGACUAACAGGCGAGAUAGAAAUGGGAGAUAAAGACCUGGGACGCAGUAGAGCGAAUCCUAUAGUCUAGGGAGUUUCAGGAUCAAAGUGAAGAUAGUAGUAGCUAGCUUGGAAGCACCAGUGACAGCUUGAAGCGAGGAGAGGCAUACUUCAACAUACAAGCAGGCUAAGGGAAUAGAUGGUAAGCCUAAGAGCCGAGGAACGAGUAAAAGAACCGGCAAUACAUAAUUCAAAGUCAUAAGUAUAAGCCUAUAGCCCUGCUAGCAGUGGUUCAACUCCGAGUUAUAAGAACAAGUAUUUGUUGGCAGCGGCUCAAUUCACAAAGACAUAACAGUAACCCCCAACUAACAAAACGGAUUUGGGGGUUUUGAUUCUUGCAGAUGUCCCCUGGGUGCUGUAUUCCCUUCCCGUGUUUAAAUCCUUAGACUCCUUUCUGCAAUGCCUAGUUCCAAGUUCCGUUUGAUAUCCUUAUUACGUUAUGAGAACAAGUGGGUAGGGCACCGUAUCAGAGUGAAGGCAAGUCAAUUAAGCCUUACAGUCCAACUACAAAAUACAAAUAAGCAAUGGGAGUUUUAGAGCUCGAGCGAGGAACUGCAUAAUUGAGGUACGGCACCUAGUUCUUUCAGGUGAGAAAUCAGAAUCAAAGUUGGAGUCAAGUGAUCCGGAUCUCCUUUCACCCAAAUGCCCCCAUAAGAAUUUGACUCAUCAGUAGCAGACCUAAGCUAAGGCGGGAAAACAUAUAAGUUAGCCCUACAUCCCUGUCUUCUAUUCUUUCUCUACAAACUACGAUUCUACCGCUCCUUACUGACUUUCUUUAACACUGACAUGGAAUCCCUGCUUCUUAGAUUUAGUACUCUCCUCUCCUUUCUGAAUCGAUUGUUCCCAGAAGCUAUAGCUUGUUCCACUUGUUCUGCGUGUGCCUCAAUUCAUUCUUAUACUUCUUACUAUCGUCGACUUCUACUUUCAUUUAUUCUCCAGCAGAUGAUCUUGUCGACUUGACUUCUUCUGAUUUAUAUCCUGUUCAAUCUACAGGCUAAGAUCGUAGGAAGAAAAGGAAGUCCUAUUUAUAAGGGUAAGUGUCUUGCUAUCAGCUGUUUUUGUCGGUAGUGUCACAGUUUCAUUCCCUGUUUCUAGUAAGAGUAUUGCUCGUAGUAGAUCUAUUCCGGUAUGCCUAACCACCUAGGGUACAGUUCCAUUUUCUUAUCACUAGUCCAAUUCUAUCCAUUGCCCGUUUUAUUAUGAGAAGCACUUGUUCCUUCUAUUAGGAGUGACAUUCCAAUAAGUACUAGUUCAGUUCAAUUAUGGAUUCCCCAGCUUAUCCUUGUAAGCAGUAGGGGCGCAGCCUCAGUUUCAAGUUAAGGUCUUGUCAGCACUAGUUGAUUCCCUAUAUGGAGUGUUCGAUUCACACUGAGUUGGUUUCGUUGUUGCCUUAGCUGUAGUCGGUUCAGUCUUGUUGGCCUGGGUUUCCUAGUUCCGGGUGUCGGUAUUGUUAGUAGCAGCUCCAUUCCUUUGAGUAGUGAUAGCAAUCUCAUCAGCAGCGGAAUUAGGACUUGCACAAGUUAUAACAAUUCCUUUCUUCGCAUUACAAUUCCUGUUUUUGGGAGUUCAAACACUUCUUUAAUAACUAUGGAUUGCUCCCCCACCUCUGUAAACAAAUACAGAUUCGACUACUCUACUACUUAAGGAUGAAACUGGGAAUUCCACUGAUUGAACUCUUGAUGGCAACUAUGAACUUAAUUCAGCUAAUCUAACUCAUGCUCAUCUACCGGAGUCAACCAAUACAGAUGCAACUUUACCACUACACUCAAGCUUGCUUCUCUGGCUCAUAACUCUAACUCUGACAACCCUUACUAUUAAAGCUUCCACUCUAACAAGUACAGGAACAGAUCCUAUUGCUACUACUACAACUACUACUCCGAUAUUUCACUAAUUCUUCUUUCUGACCAGACCCGUUAGCUGACCUCUUACCUGGUAGCUGACCUCUUACCAGCGCCUAAACCCUACUUGAGAACAGAAGAGCAAAGUAACUACUAGACAAGUAAAGGAACAGACCCGCUUGCAACAGGCUUGGCUCUGUAAACUAACUAUUCCUCUGAUCUUGCUAAUCUACCUCGACUCUGGACUAGAGCAUCUCAGCUAACUUCAUUCGGCUCAUCCAACUUGAAACAAGCACUCCUGGCUCAUCCAACUCGGGCAACGAAUCAAGAUGAAACUUGGCCAAUCCACUACUACUACAUUACAUCUGGUGGAACACUAAGAAUUGAACCACUGUUUCCUUUCUAAUAGGAGCUUGUUUGUAGUAGGAUUCGGCAUUAUCUUAGUUGUACAUAGGCAUAUGGAUGCAAUAAGGCUACUCUCGGCGGGGUGGAUUAGCUUACAUUCGCUACUGCUGCAGCUUGUUUGUUUGCGCCCUAGCUUAAAAGUGCUCUAUGCCCAACACCGGGAAAGAAGAGUGUUUUGCCGUUGAAGCGCGAGCUUAGAUCCAUUUUUCUUAUGCAACUUAACAACAGAAAUGCGCGUCGUACUGAAAGUAGAGUCUCCGAGUUAGUGUUAGAGUCUCCUUUAGAAUAAUAGGAUGGAGCUAUAAGGGGAAGAACCAGAGUGCUGAGCUAGGUAUGCUCAAAGAAUCUAUAAUAAGAGAAUCAAUAGCCCACUAUAUGGGUAAGAACCAGAGUUAUGAGCUAGGUACGCUAGCCGAGUUAGUGUUAGAGUCUCCUUUUUAGUAUCCAUGUGUUAGAGUUCCCGCUGCUUUCGAUCCACCCCUUCCCUUGCUUUAAUCAUUUUAUUGAGUGCACCACUACCACAAAUAUAUAAUAGUCAACAACUAUAAGGAAGAAUCAAGAAUAAAGUAGGAUAACUUCGGAUUGAAAACUAUCUAAUGAACCCACGCACCCUGCAAUAACUCUAUUAGAUUAAGUUAGCACAACGGAACAAGGCGAAAUCUCUCUUAAGGAAGAAGCCCAGCCCAGCCCAGAACAAGCUUUAGGCAGUGAGGUGAUGUGACCAGUAACUUGUUAUUCUAUAAGUUGUGCCAUGAAAGCAGUCAGCAGAAGAAGUAGCGUUUGUAGAGUCUCGAGUUGGUUACUCAGAUACAUGUUGGUUACUCAGAUACAUAAGUUGUGCCAUGAAAGCAGUCAGCAGUCUUAGGUUACUAUCCUUUAAGCAAGGGUGAAAGAAUGAACACGCUAAAAGAGAAAAGGGGCACCUUAUAGAGCCGAGCGUAAUGGGUCAAUAAAAGCAGAAGCCUUAGCGAGAUCUACUGAAGUGGAGUAUCUUAAAGCAGAAGCCUUAGCGGGGUCUACUGAAGUGGAGUAUCUUAAAGCAAUGCAACGGAGUCAAGCUCUUUAGUCAAGUAAACAAACCGUAUUGCUUCCAACAAGAAACUACUAACGCAGAAGUUCAUAACAACACUGCGAACUCAAGUAAAGUAACAAAACACUAUUUUCUGUGCUUCAAAACUCCUAAUGCACAACAAGGCCUUGAGCCAGAUACUGGUAUUAGAGCUAGCUUAUAUAGUAUUUGUAUCAGGUAUUAGAGCUAGCUUAUAUAGUAUUAGUAUCAAUCAGCCCUGCCCUAGCCUUGCCUGUUUCAUUUCACUGACAAAGAAAAGAAGCAUUGAACUAACACGAACAUUAUAUGGAAUUGGGUAAAAAAGAGAUGGGUAGGUUCUCCAAAGAGCAUAGGUAGGUUGUUUCUACUCGUAUUCAAAAUAGAAAAUAAUAAUAAGAAUUUUGGAACUUGCAAAGAAGUCAUCAACGGCUUGCGGAACUCACAUUAGCACUUAUAGGUUACUAUACUAAAGAAAGAAGCGACUCUCGUCUCAGGUCAACAACAACGGCGCUAACAGAAGCUUGAAAGAUGGAAUUGACUCUUGACUUGUGCACUUACGGAGUUUGCCCCACCCUACCAGAUAGUCAGCCUUAGCUAUAGGCCACACCUGCCACGCUCAAGCAAGGACAAGAAGUCUCUCGCGGAUACCCAUACUUGCUCGAAGUAAAGUAUCUCGUCUCGUAAGGUAUCAAUCAAUUCUUCAAUUCCUGAACUUUAGGGAAAGAGUACUUAGGCGGGUUAGCAUACUUUACAGGCAAUAAGCAGGCAAUAAGAGUUUACGCGGAUCCAACAAGGGAUUCAACUCCAAGCGCAUAAGCAUUAGAUCCUUUAUCUCUUCUUACUCAAACACCAUUUGAAAACCACUCACUUCCUGGAGGAACUCUAUUUUGUGACCAAUAUCUAUCAUACCGAGCUAAUGAUUCUGUUUAUUAUCUUUCUAACUUAACGGAAACUGCUUCUUCCCCGGAUCCGUAUCCAGAUCCAGCAUCUGCUUAUACCUCUUUCUCCCCUGUGUUACAUAGAUAUAUCCAUACUAAACUAGAAACGCUAGAUUCCGAUUAUGAAAUACACUGUCGACCCGACCACCUCUACUUAUAAGUGCAGAAUGUCAUUAAGCAACUUCUCUCGCGGGUCCACGCAUACGCACAAAAUGCAAUUGAAAACUCCUAAUGCAUAAGCCAAAGAAGGUAUUGUUUUACUGUCUAUGAGCUCUAAAACGGUGUUUUGUACUUUCUUCUUCUAUUGAAUAACUAAAAAGCUACCACUCGGGUCUAUCAGACUCACUACCUUAUCAAAUAAGUCUUCCUUUCGCCUCUAAACUCCUUACUAGCAAAGGAAUCAGAUUUAGUGUCCCGGGUUAUAAGACCUAGACGAGAGGGUGACUUCACUCGACUUACAGGAAAGGGUGACAAGUGUUUCAGUUAUCCGCAUACUGUGUCAAAACUCACCUCUUUAUGUUGAACAAAAGAUUUCCACAUUACUCCGCUCUUCUUACUAAACCUACACCAAUAAGCUCCCGUAGCAAUAUAUGCCCAUGUGUUAGCAUCUUAGGAAGCCUUGAUAGGAUAAGCAUCUCCGUCCAUGGUAGGAAUCGAGCCAAGCGCAACUUUUAGGCUAUACUUCAAUCAAUAAUUCAAGGCUUUUAGUCAUCGCUCUGUGAAGGAGUGGGCGAAUCAACAUCCGGCAAAGGCACUGCUAGCGCACUCUCGUCGAUCCACCACAAAGGUUAACGACGUAUAAGAGUUUUGAAUCCAAUGGGGUAAGCUCUAAACCAAGAUUGGAUACUAGGUAAAGAACUUAACUCUACGCACUGAAACAAGCGACGGAACAAGAAGAAGCACCGCCCUCCUUACUCCCUAAACACAAUGACACAUGAACUCAAACAUCAUUUCCUCGCACCCUCUGGAUACGAGUGUAAUUGAAUUUCCUCGCACCCUCUGGAUACGAGUGUAAUUGAAUUUCCUCGCAACCGACCUAUACUUGCCUAUUCUCUUAGCGCCUAAGCUUGUUCACUUACUGAUGCCUACUGAGUAAGUCUGGUCCCGGACUUUUACUGUUUGAAUAAUUCAUGGAAUCUUUCUUUCUUGCAGACAAUGCUAGAACUACACUUGAUUGACUUCCUACUUCGCGCUUGCUGCUGAUUGACUUUAUACUGUAAUUACCCGAGAGUUGAUUCUUCCCCUAACUGCCCCCACUCGAUAAGAAUGGAAUGGAAUCUCUGCUGACCUGAGCUUUCGCACACCAUCCCUUUCUUUGGAAUCUGAUUAUGAUCGGCUUGGCACAGAUCCAUCUUUCGCUUCUGAUCCUUCACUUGCUGUUGACGACUAAAUUGAUUAACUACUUCUUAUCGGUUCGGCUUCAUAUCCUGCUCCUAAUAGAGAUGAUUCCUUGCGCUUAGACCAGUUCCAAAUAUGCUUCUGAUUCAAUGCGCUCUUCCUAGGUGAGAGAAAUUCCUUUCUUUAGAGUCAAGAGAGAGAGCAAGCAAGUGGUUAAGUUACAGAUGCAACAAACAACGGGUAGAAUGAACAAGCAAUGGAUCGAGUCACUACUAAACAAGCAUCAUUUUUGGAAUCCUUUGAGCGCCUUAGAUGAAACUCGGGAUUAACGGAGAUUGCUGCUGUCAACGCGGAACUCAAACCUGCUUGCUACUGCGGGAAGUGACUGUUAAUAAGUUGUUCCAGAGGUCUUUCUUUGUCUUCAUUUUCUUUCUUUGUCUUCAUUUGUUUAAGAUCACUACAAGGGGCUGAAGAAGGCAAUAAUCUCGGUGUUGGACUCGGGUCUCUGUUACUGUUAAGAGAGUUCGUGCGGGGGCGGGGUGUGUUAGUGAGUGGUGCGGCGGAUGACUCUCGGGGUGCUAAAGGAAAGGCGAGCAGUCUGAGGUCACUUUAAUGAAAGAUGUAAGCAGCGAGGAAGCAGUUAGGUUACCUUCAAGGAGUGGGUGCUUACGUGAGUUCCAGAGUUCGGUUCCGCAGCCUCCGCAGUUGCUUUAUAUUUGACCUACGUCUCAGCAGUUGAUCUUCAAUCAACAAAGAACUCCUUAGCGGUAAACUCGCAAACUCCCUUACGAAAAUCCCUUCCCUUUUCGUUUGCCCGAAGAAUCCAAUCAGUAUUCAAUCUCCCAUAUAAGUUGAGAAAGAGUCGUUUUAGGUUGUCCCUUAUUGAUAGCCCCGAGUCAGCAUUUAUGAGCUUAGCGGGUGGAUAGUGCAAUAAGCCUAUAUCGAUCCUACCACCUUUCAAAUCCAUAUUUUGGAUAGCCUCUCGCCUUUCGAAAUCAGGUCUAGCAUCAACUCAGUCAGAUCUUCUCUUGUUUGCCCGCUUUUAUUAGGCUUCCAAAUCAUCUUUGAUCGGCAUUUCGUGCCUGCAUCCCUGAUCCAUUCGACCUUUUCUCUGUGAGUGUAGUUGUAGUAAGGUUAGAGGCGCCACUAUCAGAGUAGGCCAGGCGCUAGUUUCUUUUUUCUUAUAUGUCUUUCUGUCUCCGAAGUCCCUUUUUCUCAAUGCUGUCUGUCUCCGAUGAUCCAAAUCUUGCUUAUUAUUCUAAUCUAGCUUCAUAUCCAUCUUCGGCUUCAUAUCCUACAAUAACAGUCCAUUCAGCUGCUGCUUAUUCUGAUUCUAGGGAUUCUUCUUGGCCCAUUUCUUAUUGAUUAUUUCCCCUAUCCCCUGUGUGCCUUGUCAACAACUACUUUAUUGAAUCUUGGUUGCGCAGAGUAAACCUUUUAUGUUAUUGAAUCCUUCUUGACUUGCAAAUAACUCGCCGCGCUACUGACUACUAAGCUUGGCCCAGGAGUGCAUACCGAAGCCCAUAUCCAUUAACAGCUCAUGGGAAUGGUCAUAUGUGGCAGUAGGCAUCAAGACCGACCCUUUCAAAGAGCCUAUUCUAUUCCAUUCCUCAAUAGAGGCACAAGCUAUUAUUGAAAUAUGCGUAGUCAUAGUGUGCUCAUUUAACCCAUUGAAGUGAAGUCUUGUCUUGUCCACCGAUUGUGGGGUAACGGGAACUUUUCUUUGGGAUUCGCUUGGUUAAUCGUACUUCCAAGGGUGUCGUACUCCAGCUUGCCAGGACUUUUGACUGGCCUAGGACCACGAGUCAGAGGCGCAUCUCUUGUCUGUCUCACGAUGGUGCACCACUAAGGGCUUUUCCCUAACAGCGGAUUCCUAGAAUGGAUUAGAAUGUCAACUGAAUCCGGAGUGCAUCAUCCGCCCCAAAAAGGCAACUUCUUUCUUGGUGUACAGCGUCGACUACUGAGUCGUCUGCCUCUUCUUAAGAGAAUUUGAUCAGGCACGCGUUUCUCUAUAGAGUGUCCUACUACACACACCUCCGUGAAACUCAAAAAAACACUUCUUUCUUCGGGAGAAUCUAAUUAAUAUAAAUAAUACCUGAGGUCGGGAUCGAGGAACUACUGCUGGAGAACUGCUGCUUACUAACUGAACUUUCCAUAUCGUUUUGAAUUGGGAACUUCAAGUAUCGUUUGCGUCGACAAGCGAGUUCCCCAUCUCAACGUCUUCCUUCUCAUGAUCCAAAAACCAAAUUCACUACUGUCAACUAUUUCCGCUAUUCUUGAAGCUAAGUCGACUAUUCGGCAUUCAACAUUCUUCAGAAGUACUCUCUUAUUGCGCACCGUCUUUUCAAGUUAUCGAAUUCUUUUUCCCUUGCGAGUUCCGUUGCUUUAAGAUACUCCCCGUACUCUGUACUUUUAAGAAGGUCAUAAUCAAGGUGAAAGGCAGGGCUAUAAGGCUUAUUUCUCUAAGUGGAAGGCAGGGCUAUAAGGCUUAUUUCUCUAAGUGGAAGGCAGGGUAAACGAUACUCUUAUGUGGAAUCUAUCAUUGAGGGUCCGCUCUGAGAAUACAUUAGUAGCCUCAAAUACUGGAUUUGCAAGCACAGAGUCAAUACAUAAUCCUUUUAGCACGAGAAGAUCAGAUCAGAGAACUCCGUAAGCAGAAGUCAAACAAUCAUUUCAUCUAUCGAGCUAAAGUCAAACAUUCAAAUCAGCUGUUGUUUAACCCGCUAACGCACCCGCUCCAGAAUGAAAGGAAGUAGUAGGAAGUAGUUCAAGCUUAAAGCAUAUAGUAUGAUUAACUCGGGACUGGAACUCCACAUUAAGAAGAACCUAGGGCUGCUGAUGAUUCGGCUUCGCCUUUUUCUCCGGAUCCUUCUCCAAAUGCUUUUAUUCUCUUGUCCACUCUACUAGAAUGGAAUUUGAUGAUUCGGCUUCGCCCACCCGACCUCUCCUUAAACAUUAAUUUCCAUCUAUCGCUGUCAGGUAAACUCCCUUUAGCCGCUGAUACACUUAUUCUUGUUGGGCUGGGCCUGUCUGUGAACAAGCAGUAAAGGUCAACUUUCCUUCCCACGGAGUUUGCAACUAACUUGCAUUCGGCUUCAGUCAAACUAAGAAAGAAUUUCCAUCUAUACUUUGCGCCUACGCCUAUAAGAUUGGAUUUGAGAUCAGUUGCACAUGGGGAAUUCCGUAAAUACAUAGCUUGUUAACCUUUUGAAUUAGCAUUAGCGAGUUAACCCUUGAGAACUGCUUCCUUAUAUGAUGAAACAUAUCCUUAAAAGAAAGCAAGCGCCUUAACCGAUUAACUGCGUAGCUACGUGAGAGAAAAGAAAAGAGAUGAGCCUAUAGCCCUAUGCAUUCUAUUAUAGAGUUGAGUAGAUUCCGCUUCAACAUAUGAUAUAAGUGGAACUGGGCGAAGGAUACUUCCGGACAGAUGCGCUUUCGCCAACACCGAUACACCUCUUCUUCACGGCAACACUUCUUAUUACUCAGAUUACCGCUCCGGGGGGCUAUACUGAGUCUAUACAAUAAAUACUUUCGCUUCUAAACUCAUCUGCGCAUAUGAAAGAAAAGAGUAGUAAACUACGGGCUUGACGGAGCUUCUUCUCUCGUUGACAACACUGCACCCUUACAAGACUCUCUGGGCUAUCUUUCUGUACAACUAAAUAAUGAGACCAGCCCUGGAAUUCCAUCUGGGUUUUCCCUUGUAGUGGUCCAGUCCAAGCACCGAACCGCGACUUGACUUCCAUAACUAUCCCAUCCCCGCGUAGUAACUAAACUAUACUUGCAGACCCAAUGGCUUUAUACCCUUACUUUCGACCCUUGCUUGUUCCCCGAACUUCCUUAACUGAGACCAUUGCACUUUUUGCUAACUUAACCUAUGUGAAACAGUGCUAAUAGAAAAAUCCCUUCAUGGAAACUCUCCAACUGGACUUAUAAUGAAUUUCGCCUAAGAAACAUAGACCCACUCCUUGACCUGACAUUACUUAACGCUUUAGUCAAGUCAGAAAAUAGUACAUUUCCAUCUUCGGCAUCAGAUCCAGCUUAGACAGCUUACUUGAGAGCUACUUCUUCUGUUGGGCCAGCGCCAGUACCUGUAAUUGAUCCAUCCCCUUAUUCCCCUUAAACAAACAGCCGCAGAAUGGAAUGACACCUUUCGAGCACAUUAUGGAGAUGGUAUAGAAAUGGGGAAUAUGACCUAAUCUAUACUUCACUUUAUACUUUACUGAGUUUUGCUUGUUUGCUUGUUCGGGACUUGGUCAUAACUUGGCAAAUGGAGAAUCUCUCCUCUGAUCUUGCCUCUGCCCUUAUAAUAAAUGGUAGACUCACUACUUCCCGCCUCAGAUCUUCCUUCUUCUAUGGGAACUCUACUUUCAACAAAUCAUUCUUUACUUAGCUCUCCCUCUUACCUCUGACUCUUGCUCCUCUGUUGCUAUUAUACCUAAGGCAACUAACACUCUCCUCUGGCUCUGGCUCUUUAAUAAGUGCUCUAGAGCUUAAGUCUCCUUUCCUCUUGAACUCCUAUUUCCUAGUUUCCUAUUUCCUCUUUCUCUAGAAACUCAUAGCUUACCGCAAGCACCUAAACUAGUCUCUGCAGAGGCAAACAAAGGGCCCUUACUAUCAUUUCUGCCAAUAAGUCAACAACUACGGGAGGGGUGCCGGUCUUCAAGCCAACAGAUACUGAAUGGAAUUCCGAGGGAACAAACAAGAGUCAGUUUCCCAGUCAGAAGAAGUUCAUUCUACCCUAUAAAGUGGAAAGUCAGCAGCAAGCGCAAAAGAAAGUCAAGGUGGUCGAGGAAAGUCUAUCAGAGAAAGAUGUAGAAGAUGGAAAGUCGAAUGGACGACACUUUACUAAGAUCUAUACUAUGUGCCCGCUAGCGGAGUUCUCUUGUUCGCAAAUCCAGAUUGAGUCCAGGCCAUAUAUUAGAUAGAGACACUCUUUCUUUUUCCCCUUCUCGCCAUUUGUUGUAAGAUAUGCUUUGUUGUAAGAUAUGAUAUAUGGCUGUUUGGUUACUGAAGCAUAUCCAUGUGCAAUAAUCAGAUUCUUGACCUGUGCUAUAUUACCAUAUUAGGAAGCUAUAGAUGCCGGAAGAGAGAAAGAAGCCCAAUUCAAACAAUCAAUACAAAUAGAGAGCUAAAAAAGUGCUAUAUUGCUUCAACGCUAAGGUACCAUUUCGAAUGUCCUUCCUCCGCGCUAAGAUCCUUCCUUUACUGUUUCCGUUCUACUUUCAUCGCUAGUUUCAUCCUAUAUUAUGCAUGUUUCACUCGGCACAAGAAAAAUGACUGGUUGACUCUCGCCCUACUGCUCGAAAGAAAAAAGUGUCAUAUUUCUCAUAUCAUUGCUUAACACAAGCACCGAACCCAUGCCUAUUAAGAAGUGAAGAACCUACUAUCCACCAAUCAACUACUAGGCACCAAUACUAGGCAAAACGGGACCCAUACCUGAACUAACUCUAUCUGACUUGCCGACUUCAACUCGUCUUGAUUGAUUUCCUUCCCUAGUGCUACUCUCUGGCAACAAUUAACUAUAUAAGAAUUCUACUCUCUAUAAUACCUAGGCGGUGUAACAAGACUGAUUCAGUUGCUCCCUAACCCGAUCUUGACUCUCUACUUUAAGUUUCAGAAUAUCUUGCAGCUUAUGGAACUCUACUCACCAAGCUUAUACAAGAGUCGAAUCUCCUUCUUUAUUUCAUAAUUCGUUUAAGUAGUGGGGUCGAGAACUUGAACUGGGCAUUCAACGUCAACAAACAAGGAUUGAACUCACCAAUCAACCUAGAAAUCAAAAGUAUAUAUUGUCUAAGUAGUCAAAGAAUUCAACUAGUUGUCGACUUGGGUGCUAUGCCCAAUAUUCUGCUAUUGCCUACCUAUCCGAUGGCUGAGCCUUUAUCCUAUGCCUUUUCAUCUAAUCCAACUCAUUUGUUUUCAACUUGAUUUGAUAUCUGAAUUAGGCUCAUCUACUUACCCAAGGCAACAAGACCUAUGGCUACAAUUUCAUAAUGCCACUAGUAGUUAAGGCCACUACUCGGGGAUGUAAACCUAGACCGCUCUACUACACCUAUUGCUACUAAUAAAGAAUUGCACUCGGAUCAUCUACUUCAUAAGCUAGAUCAGCUACAGGCAGAAUAUCUUCCUUCUUCAAGCGAGGUAUCUUCGAAGCACCUUUGUAUGCGAAGGAGCGGUCACUGGAACAAGACUUGUGGAACGGGUCGAUAACACACCUAUGGGCUGGGCUAGAUAUGGAACUAAUUGUCCUGAGAAGAAACCCUAUCAAAUGAUAUAUUCUCUUUUACAGAUGAAACUACUCUACUACUUGUUUAAGGGUCAAGGGUCAUCGCCUAUGUCUUCCAAUUCUAUUCCUCAGUUGUUUUUGCUUGGCCCGAUCCUUUACUUCUUUUAGAGGGUCCGCUUGGCCUCACUACUAUAGUUACAAAUCUUGUAGUUGCAGUGAUUGGCUUGACCGAGUUUCAUCAGUUAUCCUUAAUAAGAACAUAUACCUAAUUGAGUAUGGGAAUAGUAUAGAUCAUAUCCAAAGAAAGGGAACUCGUUUCUCACUUUUUGGAAUGUUUUUUCAAUUAGAAAUUAUUUCACCACUACUCAGGUAGUUGCGGCGUUAACUGGGCCCUCUCUUUGCCUUUACCUGCUUGCCCCCUUGUUGGAUCUGUUCUCGUAUAGUUUCAUCUGUUCUCGUAUAGUAAGUAGAAGAAAAGACAUAGCUUGUUCACCCUUUCGCCCGAUAUACCCGGAUGAAAACCCUUCUUUUGAGUCCAGUGUUUUAGGGCUGAUUGAUACGGCAGGGCAAUUCAUAGUUACUAGUGGCAUUCUUAGUCGAGCUGGUAUAGUUGACUUUUGAACUCACCCCUCGUAGUAGUUUUGACUUGUAUGCUUGGCCCUUCCACCGGCAAUCCAAUCCACCGGUUACGGACAUUCCUUUCCUCAUAAGGAUAGUCUAUCUCAGUAUAGUGGGCAACUCGUUUUUCAAAGAUCAAGAUAGGCAGGAGUCACUUUUGUAUCGACAUAUAGCUGCAAAAGUCCUUAAUUCUAAAUAAGUGAGACAGGGAAGACAAGCCAGCAAUAAGCAAUGGAAGCAAUGCCCCAGCUUUUGAACUCAACCAGACCUAGGAACUGCAAUGCCUGUAAAAGAAAGAAGUAAAGCUUGCCAGUCUACUCAUUGCAUUGCUAUCUGAUAGCCAUUGGAAACCUUCUCACUAUUAUCACAUAUAGAAGAAUGCUGCUAUUCGGACAAUCUUCUUCUAGCGAGUCAAUGUCGGAUAAUCUAGCAAGAGCUUAUAGUGCAAGGUGCGGAAAGCCGGAUGGAGCUUAAACAAGUGGGAAUCAAGACAGCAACAAGUCCCAUGUUGAAUGAGAUAGCUUGAAUCUUCCAAUCUUUCUGAGCUAUGAAGUGGAAUAGGCUGUCUUCCCUGUAACUCGGAAGGCGGAUCAAGGUACAUGAACCACUACCGGUGUUGAACCGCUCCUGCCGCUACACUCGAAGACAUCGGAGGUCAAAGGAAAGUCGACAUCGAUAACAGAAUAAUAAGUGGAAGUUUCAGUUUCCAGUGAAAGUUAAGGAAAAGUGAUGGAAUUCUUUGUUGCUUCAGUAAAGUGAUAGUUUAGGUCGGAAAUGCAAAAGAUAAGGGAAUAGAGUAUUGCAUAGACCCCCACGGAGCGGUAAUGAAAGAGGUGAAGCUGUAAGAAAGUAAGCUGCCCAACUUAGAUAAGCGAGACCAGCCCAGGCAAUGAAAUCUGUGUAAAAGUAUCAAUGAAAGUAGGCGAGAGGCCAAAACGAAGCCAAGCCCUUUGUUUACUCGAAUCUAUCAUAAGAAGCAAUAAGGUAUAUUUGGAUUAGGAAUCUGACCCCAGUAUCUAUACGAUCUCGAAAGCCAUCCAUAUCAUAUAUCAUGUCAGUCCUCGUUCCCAUAUACCCAGUGUAGUAUAUGAGUUCAUAGCAGAUUCUGGCUCCUAUUUCUACCAUUUCAUAUUGAAUAAGUUCACGAAGUACUAGGCGGAGCUACUAUUGAGACAGAAAACUCCACGCCGAUACCUAUUAAGGAGGGCUCUCCUUUUUCAUUCCCUUUCUUUCUUCAAUAAAAUAAGCUAAGUAAAGAAGCGAGUUCCCUUUCCUGGCCAGUAAAUGCCAGCGGGAGUGCCUGUUUCAAUUCCCUUUCGAUUAUCGCAGUCGCCGUAUGCUUCACACGUGGUGUAGCGAAAGCAAGGUCAUGGUAUAAAGGCUUGGUUCUCUUCUCGGUCAAAAGCCUAGUUCUCAGUUAGCUAAAAAGAUAUGGGCUAGAGCAAGGCAGAGGAUUUGAAGCAGGUCUAGUCUUCAAAAGCAUCGAUUGGCAGAGGUUUUUUUGUAGCCCAUUGUGAUGAAUAUUGGAAGUUGGAGUUGAUUUUGAUGUCGCUAGGAGUUAUCUUACACCCUACCAGUCUCCCUUUUUGAAAGCCUUUCCGUCCCUUUCCUGUUUCGAUGAGUCAUAAAUGGAAAAAAGCUUAAUAAUCUACUUUCGAGCUUUUCUUCUCGCUCCAAGUUCAUCAAUUGCAAACUUACUUAUUACUUCGAUCGAGCAAGAAUUGAAAGCAAAUUGGAGUCUACAUAUAAGAAGUGGUUUACUUAGGCUAAGGCAUUUCAGUUUACACCCCAUACUAAUUCAUAUGUUAAAGAGUCAAGCGCCUUCCCAUACCCUUAGGAAAACCAGUGUGAAAGCAAACGCAGAAAUCAAUAAUGUGUUUGUUUCUUUAAUCAAAAAAGCAUCGAUUGCUGUUCGAGUCUGAAGGUAAUCUCUUUGGAAAGGAAAGUUCAAGUUCUCUUGCUGAGAGAGAGAGUUCCUGGGAGUUGGAGUCUCCAGACGAGUGUCUCUCAAGUGGAGAUAUUUUCUGACUCGAUCCAUAGGUAAGGGAUAGGAUCUAGCAAGUAUGUUAUUACGCUUAGGAAAGUUCCCCGUCAUCAAAUUCGAAUCCUUCUGCUUUCGAUGGCGCCGAUCUAAUAAUAUACCUUAUAAAUCCAAUAAUAUACCUUAUAAAGAAAAGAUCAAGACUAUAUAAUCCGCUAGCCUAGUUGCAGGGAAUUGGAUUUCUCAGUGCCCGUUGGGAUAAGGUGGAGUCUCUUGGGGCUUACAUCUCGCGCUGUAAUAGAUCUCUUUCCCUUAAAGGUGAUAGUUUCUCUUAAUAAUUCGUUCUUUCCUUUCACUCUAUCGAAGGAUAUGUGUAGGUCUAAGGCGCUGAUAGAUUGAUUUCCUUUCCAAGUGCUAUCUAAGAAGUGAGUGCUCAAUCGAGUUUCAAGUAUGACCGAGUAAUAGGAUUACAGCUUAUACAGGAAUACCCUUUUCUGCUUUUGCUUGAUUCGAUUCAUAAAGUGCUCAAAGAUAAGUGCGUUUUCAAUACCUAAGGCAAGUGUUCUAUAAAUUCGUUAAUAAAGUCCGGGUAGAAAUCAAUACGGAUGGAUUUGAUUGAAGCCUAUAUCUGCCGAUCUUUUGUUGCUCUUGAGCGAACGAAUAGGUUACCUUAUUAUUCCAUAUCCCUCUGCUGGAACAGAAGUCGAGUGGAUCAGUAGCAUCUUGGUAUAAGUAAGUACCGAUAUCGAUAUAGAGCAAUUGUUGCCGGCCUAAAUAGUUGGGCAGGAUAACUCCUGAUAGAUUAACCGAUCUGAGUUUGGUAUUUCCAUUCCUAUAGGAUUUGGGCGGAAUUCCUUUUUGAGAGAAAGAACCAAAUCAAAAGAAAAACAAUGGAGAUCCAUUCACCCUGUCUUUAGAUUCUCAUUCUAUGCUAGGGGGAACUGUUCUACUUUCAUGCAAGGCUUAUUGACGCUGAUGUUCGAAAUCGCUCUGUGUCCAUCUUUACUAACAUGCCUUUGAGAAAUAGAGUCCUUGGUUAUGAUUAUACUGUUCUAUGCCCUCGGGUUCCUUCACUCGCUUAAGAGAACUAUAUUCUUUGCUCUUUCCCCAGACACCGAGACUUGCACUUUUGACUGACAUUCCGCUUGUGUUCCGUGGAGUAGCUUCUUUAUCCCGUCGCAGGAAAGGAGCGACUACUCUUGCUUGGCCGUUAAGAGUUCUGCUAUUUUCUUCUUUUGUGGGGCAUCUUAUAAUCCUUAGUUUUGCUUGCUUCUGUGAGCAUAUCCUGUUCAACGAGUAUGGUUUCUUAGCUACUGGCAUCCUUUCCUUCGUGCUAACAGCCAAAGACCCAUUUGUCCAAUCCAAACCUAUAAGGCGCACAAAGAAGCACUUCUCUUACGAACGUUGGAGCAUCACUUACUCGCGAAUCCCGAAAGACAGACUUCCUGAGCACUUGCCUAUUUCUAUUCAUUUCUAUUCCUUGCCUAUUUCUAUUCAUUUCGAUUCUAUUAUUCUUUGUUAGGCUAUUCGCGGGGAAAAAGAAGGGCCUUUCCUCUUGGCAUCGAUCUCAUAUCUGUGUCAAAGAGCGGAGAUUCUCUUAUCUAUGUCUCUUCUAAACUAUGCAUGCCUGCUCCUAAAAUGCAUUCUUUGUUUAGUUCAUACACUGCACUCCUUCGCCACCCGGAGACAAAGAUUCCAUAAAUGAAGUUUCCUGCAAGCGCAAAGUAGACCAGAGAAUCAAAAGGAGAACGAUCUAAAGUAGAAAGAUACGGGUCUCAAGUAGGAGUAGGAUCUUAUGUGGGUAAAGAAUAUAGAGCUGGUGAGGAAGCCGGGUUCACUCAUAGAAUUAUUCAGAAGCUAACUACAGCGGAAAAGAAGAAAGAGUCAACCUAAAGCAUUAAAGAGAGAAACAGCCCUUAUGUUUUCAAGAGAAAGAAGAUACUUGCUAAGAUAGAUAUACCCCGUUUUGAAGCAAUGCUCUGUUAGGUUAAGAAUUGAUGGAAUAUGCGGAUCAUGUUAUUCAAGCAAGGGCAGCUUAUUUAUUAGAUGGGGAGCGGGUAGUUACAUCAAAAUAAGUAUAGCAAGCCCGAGUUCCCGGUUGAGUCUAUCAGGUAGUAAGCCGAUUCCCUCUUUUGCUUGUUUCGACCUUACCGGUAUUGUAUUGGUGACAGGAUCCGGGUAUCGAGUGCAACUCUUUCCAUUAGUAGUCAAAGGCUAAGUUCCUAGUUAAAGUACUUCCAUUAGCUGUUCCAUCCGCCAAGUCACUACCACAGAUGAGACUGACAUCGCUACUAACGACACAACUAGGCGAUUUAGUUACUACCGGCAAGACUUCACCUAGUACUUCCAAAGCAUUACUCGACCCACACAGGGUUUAGUAGCCCCUGACUUGCUUUCGUUCUCGUAGUCGUCCCUGGCGUUCCGGCUCAACACUUAUACCAUUACUCAUGAGAAUUCAUUGUUGUAGCCCAAGCCGUAGUCUUAUGCCACGCCCAGAGCAGAAAAAAACACGAGUCCUCUGUGUUUCAAAGCUGACACUACUAAGCCAUCAAGUCACCCAACUAUUAGAUCCACCCUAGUGUUAUAGAAAGAAAGUAUAGAUGGUAAGGCGGGGAAACAUAGAUAUCAGAUCUGAAGUAAGUAGUCGAUUUCCUAUUGAGUAGAGCAAGUCUGCUCCAAGCGAGUAAGGAUCUAAAUCAGUAGACACAGGGUGAGAUCGAGCUUUGAGGUAGGUGGUGGCAGUAGAUAGGUCAUAAGUAAAAACAGGCCUAUUAGCAGUAGUUGGUUUCCCGGUUGCUAGUUAAGGACCUGUUAGUGCUAGUGGAAUUCUCUUUUCUUGGAUUCAUUGCUAGAUGCGCUAUAGAUUAUACCUAUGCUUCUAAAUGCCCUAAUAAAUAAGUUCAUUAAGGGUUGCAUUAUGGUUGCAUUCUUAGAAGAACACGGAUAACUAAUUGAAUAAUGAAAAGCGAUAAAAGAAAGAAACACAUAAUAUAGAAUAGAACCCGGGCGGAAAAGACUGCUACUUACUAAUAUAGGAAUAAAAGAACUACUAGAAAGAGUCACUACCUGCCCAACAAACAAGACAACAACUCAUAAGUAGGAGAAUGCGAUCAAUAACAGGAAGACCAGAACUAGCGGUGUAAAGAACUUCUAUAAGAAUACUGAAUUGAGAAGGACACUUGGAAUCCAGCCGUAUAGGAAUAACGACUACCAUAUGGAAUGCAACUAACAACCAUUAGCCUUAAGUUGCUACUGAUAGGGUUCAGUCGGAAUACACCGAACUUGGUCAAGCGCCAAUACUAAUAUAUCAAUAAAAGAAUUGCACCGAUACCAAUAAGGACGGAACUACCAGCCAGCAGCCAGCAGCUGACGCUGACCUUACUUUUCUUCUUUCACUAAUGACCCGGAACCCUGUCGUCUGUAUUGCACCUCGGAUUCUUACACACUCCAUAGAGAUAGGCCUUACUCAUAUAGCCAUAAAACGGAUAAUACUUUCUAUUAGAAUAGAGAAUUGCGCUGGCAUUAGCAGGAUGAAACCGCUGUUUUUAAGGCUGCAUUUAGACAAAAAGAAAGACUUCUUAACGAAAUGGGAGGGAAUUCUUUCACUGCCGGGCAUGAUCCUGAUCCUGUCUCCUUGCUUACUUUAACUGAUUAAGAUAAGACUUGCUCUUUGGCACAAGAGAAUCGAACCUUAUGGCACGUACUCAAAACAGGCAAUCCGAAUAAACCCAAUGAAACAAACCAAUAAGAAGAAUACUAGAAAUAGGAACUAAGCCUGGCAACUACUACCCAUAAUGUAAGUAUUAAUACGGGAGGGCAAAAAGGCAAGUAAAUAAGGAUCGAACUAAGGGAGAAGGAUUGUGCUACUGGGUUGAGUUCUAUGAGUGAAUUUAUUGAUUAUGAGUUGGCAAAGGCAAAGCAAGGAAUAGCUACGUUAUAAUGAGUUAUUCCGGUUUCUCAUUUGUGUUUCUUAGUUUCAUUCCCGUUUUCUUGUUUCGUUAGUGCACAGUUGGAUUCGUUAUGGGCUGUGUCUCAGCCAUGCCCCCCAGGAGAAAGUAUCAUCGGUUUCAGUUCUAUUCAGGGGUUAUCGUCAGAGUAGGAAGAAAGAUGUUUGCUGAGCACCUGCACCAACUGUUAUCAAGGGAAGAGAAAAACAACUACCUUUUUUCACUAAGAAACUAGAAGCAAACUACUAAUAAACUAGAUUCAAAUCUCAUAUAAGAAAAACAUUCUAUCUAACAUGCAUGAGUGAACAAAUUAAUAGAAGAGUGGAACUGGAACAUAGGCAUUUACGAGCUAGCUACUAUAAUACAAAGAAGGGAUAGGCAUAUUUCAAAAAGGCAGGACAGACUUGAUCGAUAGGAUAGUAAGGAUGCCGGAUAGCAGUUUCAGAGCUAAAGCAAGGGUCGACAUACUGAGCUCGCUGGGGAGAUGCUAGAUGAUAAAAGGAACCCCGAUUUCGGUAUGAUUGAAUAUACCACUUUUUCUUAAGGUGCUCGCCCAAGGCUAAUUAUUAUAUCUUAUCUAAUGACAAAUCAUUCUUUCUUUCCCACUUGGCACUUGUGGUAGCUUAGCUGCAUUCCGCUUACUAGUUUUGUUGAGGUCGCUACUCUUUCUUCUCCUUGUUUAGGUCGGCUUACUCUUUCUUCUCCUUGUUUAGGGCGCUUACUCUUUCUUCUCCUACUGAGUUGUUUUAUGUAUUCUGGAAAUGACUGAUUCAGCUAAGGAUCUUACUUAAGCCAAAGAUAUCGUUAUGUUCUUAUUAUUGAUUAUGUCUAUAAGGGGUAAUUGACGAAUUACUAAUUCCAAAAGAGUCUUGACUAGCGCCCAAAGAGUCAAAGUAGGGCGUGGCCAAGCGGUAAGGCAUCGGGGUCCCUACAUUCGGAGGUUAUAAUCCUUCCGUCCCAGAUCGUUUCCAUCAUAAACUCAAGAUGGGAUCACAUUGUAUCCCACAUAAGUGUCAAAAUCAUAAAGAUAACAACCUUUUCUUUUGUUCUGAAUUAGGAGAAUGGAUUCUUAGAAUCCUAUUGCUUUCUAUCUUAUAUCUGACAUGUCAAAAAUCAAUAUAUUUGGAAAUCCAUGUAACGGGGCGGGGGGAUAUUUUGAUAUGGGGAAUCUAUUGGAACUUGAUUGUAAGGUAUAUAUGGAAGAAUUGUUGUAAGGGUAUAUAUGGAAGAAUUGUUGUAAGGGUAUAUAUGGAAGAAUUGAUUGUAAGGUAUAUAUGGAAGAAUUGUUGAACCGGUGAAAACAAUAUAUAAUAUAUCCUUAGAAUUGGAACUAGGCCUAUGUAAUCCGCUUGCUAUCCCUAUAUGUGUCUAUGCUAUCCAUGCUUUCCCUAUAUGCUAUCCCUAUAUGUGCUUAUGCUAUAUCAAAUAAGUUUCUUGUCAUUGUUGUAUUUCAAUAGCAAUGGCCUUUCACUAAAUCAUUUUAGGAAGGGGUGGAGAUCUCUUCUUCUUCAAAUAUCCACGAUUACCCCCAGUUACAAUAUGAUGAUUCGUAUACUUAGGGAAUGAACUAUCCGCUAUGAAUUUGGAGCAACUCAUUGUGCGUCGACUUGGUGAUGGAAUUAUAGAUCCAGUUCUUUAGUCAUGACUAUAAAACAUAGUUCCAGUCAUAAUGCUGAAGUGAAGUCGGAGAUCUUUUCAAACAUUCUUUUAUUAACUCUUGGUUGGUACUCGAAGAAGUAUGAGAAAUCCAUAGUAUAUCAACAAGAAAGGCAGUGAUUCAAGAGGAAUAAUUCCUAUCGGUGAAAUUCAUCUCUUCUCCCAGAUCUUCUUUGUAGUCCGGUAUAUGUCUGAAUUCAUCUUGUCAGUGUCAGUUAGAGGAAUUGUUUGACUUGGCUGCUUCCUUCGAUAAGUAGGUUCUUCCUUUUUUUGACUAUAUACCCCCUCGCUCUUCUUCUCCGUUUUGUAAGUGAAUUAAAGACGAACAUAAGAAAUAGUUGAACGAUCCACUUUUCUAUCCGGCUAGAAAUCCCAGAUAAGCAGUUUUGCCUUCUACACGUACUUUUGCCAAUGCAUCGGCUCUCUGUCCUAAAAACCACACCCGAAGAAAGGCCAGCCCAGAGCUGCUAUUCUAGUUAUUAUAGUCAAAAAGAGGCUAGGCAACGACUCUUCUUUGGUUAUUCUAGUGAAAAGAGGCUAGGCAACAACUCCUCUUUUGGCGGGAACACGAGCAAAGGCAACUUCCAAGUCAGCGGGUACUAGCCUGACAGCCCGACCUCACUAAGGAAUAGAAACAUAGAAAGGCCCUCAAUAAAAGGAAAGAAAGAGUCUCUUCCCCGGAAAACUCUCCUCUUGGUCAGCUGCUCCUCGGUCUCGAACGGUCCCCAGUUCGUUCCUUAAAACAAGAAUCCGCGCCUCUGGUCUUGUCUUGAAAUGAAAGCAAUCUCCUCUGGAAAGGCAUUACUGAGACGUCCGAAUCUCUUCUUAUCUUAUAUUCGAAGCAAGGACAUGUUGGCAGUGAAGUUCCACAGACGUGGUCCAGACAGAGACUAUACUUUCCCUUUCCAUUAGGGUUUUCUAUUGACCACAGACACAGUGCCCCAGAAAAGGCUUAGUAUUCGAUACUGUCGCAGGUGUCCCUACGGCUUCAGGCAGUUCUAUAGCCCGUGCCCACUUUCCCCACCGAGUCAAUCAAAAGUGUUUUGCUUUGGCUAAAGCCCUUUUGUAGAUCCAUGUGGGUCUCCGCCUUUGUCUUUUAGGCUAUAAGGUUGGCGCCCCCCUUUCCCCUGCCCCCCUGUCGUUAAAGAACUUAUUUAGACUUUCGCUUUCGGUUUCAUUUCAUCAGCAGUGAGGGUCUAGAAAAAACUCCUUUCACUGGUUUCCCCUAUACCCUAAGCCGGGCGACGUACGGUGUGACAGACAAAGAAGAUAUGCGUGGGAUUUAGUACCUUACGAAGGGGUAAUCCGACAACCUGUUUCAUCCAACGACAUCGAGGGAAACCCCAAGUCUUCGGGGGCAAGUAGACUAAAUGGAAUAUGAAAUCGCGGAUACACUCGGAACCACUCAAAUCAUGACGAGGUGAAAGCAAACUACUGCUGCAUUCUCAAUAUAUCAUAAGAUCGAUCUCAAAGUAAGGGCGGCAACUAUUAAUAUAAAGAAGGAGAGUGCGCGCUUCCCUUCACUGAUAAGACGGUACGAAAAAGAGUCUGCCUGCAUGAUCGUCCGCUACCUUAGAUUAUACAUCUGUCUUCGCCUAACCAACAUUACUGCAUUGGAUACUAGUGCAUACAGAGAAAAGCCCCUCUCGCUCAAGAUUUCAGGAGGUUACGACCUACUUUUCCUACAAAAACUCACCGCUUUAACUAACUGAGCUGCUUCCACUCCUUAAAGCACUAUCGCUUCCUACUGCUUUAAGUACCAAAAUAGUAUUAGCAUAUAAUAAGAUGAAGAUGCUCGAAAGGGUUCUUUGUCAAGCCAGAAAGCGCAAACCAAAGUUUUUCGAGAGGCCGACCACUUGAGACGGGUAUAAGAACUCACCCUUGUUAGGAAGUUUCCAGAGGGGCGCUUCAAUAGUGUAGAAAUGGGAAUCAAAGACGGAGGAGCCUAGCCUGAUUCUCCUGCUUCCUUCCUUAUCGCUAACCGAUGCUAAUCAUGCUUGACUUUACCUCUGAGAUUGUCCCCAGGCCCUUCUCCUACCUCUAUUGAUGGAAAAUAAGUAGGUCUGUGGUAAUGUCAAAGGUUCCCCACACCUUCUUUGUCUGAGUGCUGCCUCCUUCCUUCUUCCCGUCAAUCAUCGUUAAGGGUUUCAAAUCCAUAGGCGCUGCUAAAAUGGCUUCUUUCUGCCUUGGCUAUAGGAACAUAAUCUCCAUAAUAGGGCGGUUUGCUUCUGAGUAGUUCUGUCCUUCCCUCCCCUAUCCGAGAUGUGCUCUUGAAAGAUCUCCCUCUUCAGCUUGGUUAGGUCUUAGAGAAGUCACUUCUUUACCUAAGGUUGUAGCCAAGGGGAUACUUGAUUCUUCUAACAAAGAAGUAGCCAAGGGGAUACUUGAUUCUUCUAACAAAGAAAGCAAAGGAAAAUCUAUUAUGAGAGAAUCUUCCUUCAAAGAUGCUUUUCUCGAUUCCCCUACAUCUACGAAUGGCUAAAUGCUUUCUCACGUAGGGCUUACUAUAAGGGAGGGGUUCCGCUUUCUUUCAUUCCUAAAGAAGGAAGGGGAAGGUAUUUCCUCAUAAAGGAGUUUGUUCUUAGUAGCAGCCGGAUACCUUUAAAGAGAUAAGUCUACCUUUGUUCCAGCCAUUCUCAAGAUCUUUCAUUUCCGGUUUCAUAAGAGAGGAUAGCAUAUAGCUUAGCCUCAUUCCUAUAGCUCAUAGAGAAGUUCCUCUUAUCCAGCAUAUUUACAUUAGUCAAAUCCUACUGGUCGAUCAAUGGUUGUGCUUGAAGCCUUAUUCUCUGUAUCAGGCAAGAAGAGGAAAGGAAGGUAAGUUCGAGAUAUAUCAUAAGAAAGAGAAGAAAGAAAGAGAUGAACUCUUUAUAAGAAAGAGAAGAAAGAAAGAGAUGAACUCUUUGGAGCGCUUCUCGGCGGUAAGACAGACCGUGAAUGAAUAAGAAAGAAAGAAGAUAUAGUUCUAUUUCCUGCAUGAGGGAAAUCGACCGAUGGACAUGCUUGACUUUACGUAUAAGUAGUGCUAGGAUUACUUGCCUUAUUACAUAUGUCUUGCUAGUAUAUAGCAGUAGUCGGAGUAGCACUAGGAUAAGUCGGGGUCAGCACUUAGUAAACCUUUCCACUCAUACUUAAUAGUAUACCAUCACUGUUAGCAGACUGUGCCAUUCCUUACACUGUUAGAAUAACUUCUCAUCUCCCACCUUCUAUAAUGCGCAUAUUGAGACUGAGCUUGCUUGCAUUAAGCCUAUCGCCUGCCUCCCUAAGACCUUUCUAUUGUGCCUGUCGUUAACUCCAGUGUACCUUCCUUUCGGAGAGUGCCUUACUCUGAAGUAAUAGACUGAUUAGAUUGCCGGGAGUGGAUUCUUCUUUUUACCAAACAUAUGGGAAAAGGAUCCAAUCCAAUGACUUCGAAAGAAUGGAACGAGGAGCAUUCCACGGCCGGGGGAACAGAGGUAUCUCAUGGUUAGUUCUGUAGAGUAGCAGUAAGUGGGGAAUACUAGCUUGCUUUAGGAACUUACUAACUUCGCCGAGGUAACUAUGUCCUCAGCCGAGCCAACUUCAUCAGCAGUUCUAUAUAUGGGUGUUGUCGACACAAGAGAAGAAGCACAAUCCGGAUUAGCAGAUGUGUUUUCAAGUCCACUAUACUCAAUAAUUAGCUUUGCAUUAAAGUCAAGGUUGUCGACAGGAGAAUCUCAAGUGUCUUUCUUUUCUUCUAUACCAAAAGCUCAAUAAGAGAGAUAUUCAAUUCAAAGGUAGACAUCAGAAGAUGCUGUGCCAGGUAAAGUCAAGUUCCGGGAAAGAAUCUAUUACUGGCCGGGGAAGGUAAGAAGAAAAUACUGGCUACGCGGUUCAGGGAAGAGAAUAAUAAAGUACUUCCGAAGCAAGGUGUCAUGGAGACGCGACAUCAAGCCAAUAAUCUCUCUAUACUGUAAGUUAAGGGUUUAGGGCCGCCGGUGACGAAGAAAACACUUUGAUCAGGGUCCUUACACCUUUCCAUACUAUAUGCAAAAGAGAGAGAUUCCGCAAUUCCAGAAUCCGCUGGAGAAGGUUAGGAAGCAGUUCUGGUUUUGCCGACGAGAUCAGUAGAGUAUCUUUCCGUGCAAGUGAAGUCUACGAGAUCAUCCGGAUCUGAAUAAGAAGGGAAGGAGUGGAGUCAGAAGAAAAUAGCCAGUACCAUCUUCUGCCCUACCCAAAAGAAAGUAAUCCUUCCUUGCCUACCCAAAAGAAAGUAAUCCUUCUUUGCUCUUCCUUUCAUGGGGUUUAUUCUGCCGCAAUCCUUCUUUGCUCUUCCUUUCAUGGGGUUUCUUCCGCCGCCCUUAUUAUCUGUCAACAAACAAAGCAUUAGUUUGAGAGUGAGAUUCUGGAAAAGGAACUAAAGCAGAGGCUUUAGAAAGAGGAUCCGACCUCCCGAGCUUAUUAUCUUUAGAAAGAGGAUCCGACCUAGCUUAUUAUCUGUCUUCGGCAGGCAGGAUCGAAUGAGGAUGAUGGGACGAAUGAAUGCUUUUGAAACUACAGUUAAGAGCUUGCUUCAUUUGAUGCUAAGGAACGGAACCUUACUUAUCUAAGUUGCCGGAUAGUGGGAUAUGCCGUACUCUGAUUCAACCGCUUAUGUUCUUCGCCAAUGUUCCAAGGAUAAGGUUGAACACCUUCUAACAUAUACUUACGGACUACUCUGUUUUCUCACUUUUCGAAAUGCUCCUAAGGUAAACAACAUUUUGGACUAGUGGAAUUAGGAGACAAUCUUCUAAAUGUGCCAAGAAAGAGGUGCCCCAAUAGAUAGCUCUGCGGGACAGAUUCCUUCUUUGAGGCUUGGUAUGAUACGGUUCAGUUCCCUUUCUGCAAGGGCGGUGGGCCUGGACAAGUACGCUACUAAAUUCCACCGGAGUACUAAGAUCUAGAUCGAGACUAAGCUCUCAGCCAAGGAUAACUUAGAUGGGCUUCUUUCCCCACUAUUCAAUCCUUAGUUAAAGGGGCCGGUCCGAAAGCUCCGUUUUCUAUACAGCCGAACGCAUAAUUCCAGUUAUUUAUUGUCUCCAGAAAGCGAAACUACUAUCGUUACGCUGCACCAUCAUACGCAGGAAUGGAAUAUAGAGAACCGCUUCUUUAAUACCUUUCAAUAAACUCCUCACUUAGACAUGGCAAAACGGGACCCAUAAUAGGAACCCGUGGAUCUGAAGUCAACGCAGAAGGAUUGGAUUAUGCCUGAAUUAAUAGUAAAGGCCCUGCUUUCCAGGGGUGGAUUAGAGUUAGCAGAGAUGAAGGAAGUCGGGGGUGCUCCUACU